Molecule: long non-coding RNA, 93741 nt
Filed under: Podarcis lilfordi (Lilford's wall lizard)
Lineage: Eukaryota; Metazoa; Chordata; Lepidosauria; Squamata; Lacertidae
Source: RNAcentral
GCAGAAGCAUGCAACAGACAGAGGCCCAUGAUUAAGGAAAACAUGAAGGAACCUGAAAUGGCUAAGAGGGCAAAUCCAGCCACAUCAGUGUCAUCUAUGGGGAACUGAUUUGGCAUGAACGUAUGGAGUUUAAAGGAGCAGUGUAGUUGGCACCCAAAAUGGUUGGGACUUUUUUUAGAGCAACAACAACAACAGUGCACAAGUAGGGCUUGUGGAUUUCACAAUUGCUGACUGUGGAGGAGGAUGAUUCAACAAGGCACAGCACACAAAUCCAAAAGGGGCUAAUCUGCCUCCAGGAAGGCUUUCUCUCUGCUGCUCUGAAGUGUAACAGAGGUCAAGGAAAUCCCAGAAUGCAAGCAGUGAAACUGCCAUGUUUUUGACAGUAAUUGUAAAUAUUUGGCAGUAAAGCUGACGGGAUACUGACAGCAGUGGUAACUCCUGAUUGAGGAGAAAGAGGACCAGCUCUUGUUGGGUUGGGUGGAUUUGUGGCCCUGCCUCAAAGCAGUUUCAAUUGCCUUCUGUGUCCUUCUAAAACCCAUAGUGAUUGCAGGUACCAGACAGUGGAGGGUAAUGCUGUUUGUGGGUUCUUACAAGUUCUCCAUUCCUAUUUCCAGCCCCUCCCUCUUUUUCUCCAUGUGAUCUGUCCUGCAAAUGCUGUGGAAUCCUGGGUGAUGGGUGAGAGCUCCCCAUGAGAAAAACUGAAUUUACAUGUCAAUCCCUGAACAGAGGUAAAUUACUCUAAAGUUAUUUUGGAUCACGGUAUUUAUGCUUUAGAGUUCUCUAAGCGUUUUUUUACUUCCUUGUUCUGCAAGUGUGGGUUCGGAGUUGCCUGUGCCACAGAAGCUGUUUAAAAACUUAUUGUGGUACUGACAGUUGCAUAGAAAGCCUAUCUAAAGGGGAGGGGCAUGGUUUUUGCAUGGUGUGGAGACAGUGUUUUUCCUUUCACUGUACAUUGGUACCUUGAAAGUUGAACAGAAUCCGUUCUGCAAGUCCGUUUGACUUUCAAAACAUUCGGAAACCAAGGUGCGGCUUCUGAUUGGCUGCAGGAAGCUCCUGCAGCCAAUCAGAAGCCACGGAAGCCGCAUUGGACGUUCAAGUUCCAAAGAACGUUCACGAACCGGAACACUCACUUCUGGGUUUGUGACAUUUGGGAGCCAAAACGUUUGACUCGCAAGGUGUUCGGGAUUCAAGGUACAACUGUACUAGAAUCCAAAGUUAUCCAGUGAAACAGACUAACAGGAGAUUCAAGACAUCAUUAAGUUAUGGUAUUUCACUGCUACCAGUUGUGAUGGUCACUAGCUCAGAUGCUUUUCAAAGGGGGUUAGACAAAUUUAUGGAGGAUAAGGUGAUAAAUGACUCCAAGUCAUGAUAACUAGAUGGACCUUUCAAGUUCAGGGGCAAUUGCUGAGGAGCAACAAGAAGGCAAAGUCCUGCUUGGGGACUUCCCUGGGCUAUCUGCCUGGUCACUGUGGAAAAUGGGAAGCUGGACUUUGGUCUGAUCCAGUGGUGCUCUCCUUCCUUCCUUCCAGUUAAAUGUGGAGGUCUGGUAAAACUUCUUUGGUGCAUCGCUGAAAGACAAAGCUUACAAGCAGCCACUUCUCUUAGUGGAUGUAAGCACCACUCGUUGAGUUCAUAGGCAGCCAUAGUAGCAUGUAGGGGAAUCCAAAAAGUCUGUCAUAAAAAUAUGAUGUGAAAAUCCAAAGCGAAGGAUGGGGAAUCCAACAAAGCUAGGAUUAUAUUUCUUUGUAAGAGCUAUUUUCCAUAUGCAUAAGUUGGAAGGAAAAUAAUAUUGCAAAGGUUUCAGUUUAAUUUUUUUUUACCAAUAUACAAGCUAGAGUGAGACAGCUGUGUUAGUCACAAGGUAUACAGGCAGGGUGAAUUACACAACUCAGAUCUUCCCAAACUAGAUAAAAUAAAAGUCUUUAUAGUACUCCAAAGAAUCAUGCUGCGUUCGUGCUGUUUAUUAGCUUUGAUUCCCCCUCCCCAUUUAAAAAAUACUGCUACUUUCUCUAUAUUUGUGUGUAUCUUAUUUUAGAAUAAUUAUAUCAUCAUUAUGGAAAGACCACAGUGGACAGUUGGAGGUCAAUUUAAGUUUGGGAAUUUAUACCUUGAUUUGGGAAGUGCUGGCAUUUAUGCACUAUUUUAUGUAAGUGGUUGAAAUAUAUGUGAAGCUAUAAAGAGCCACAAAGCAGUUUGUGGUAUUGAUGUUUGCCUCUGGUUGUAAAAGUAUAUAACUAGUGGAAUAACCCGCUGAGUGUUAAUUCUGAGCAAGGGUUAUUUACUGUAGAAUGAGUUAGCAGCAAAUGUGAAGGAUGAAGAGAAUAUUAAGAAACCUUUGUUUACCUGUACCAUGUUGAUUGUCGGUGGUAAAAGUGGAGCAGCUCUAAUAGAUCUCCUUCCUAGCUCAUGUUGUUGGCAAGUAUAUUGUUUGGUGGCUAUGGGAUAAAAUGCACACACACAGUUUAAAAAGAGGAGCCGAUUAUCUCCAGAGACGAUAGAUACUUUAUUGUGUAAGAUAGAUACUUUAUUGUGUAAGAUAGAUACUUUAUUGUUACAUAUUUUUAAAGUACAGUGGUACCUCGGGUUACAUACUCUUCAGGUUACAUACGCUUCAGGUUACAGACUCCGCUAACCCAUAAAUAGUGCUUCAGGUUAAGAACUUUGCUUCAGGAUGAGAACAGAAAUCGUGCUCCGGCAGCGUGGCAGCAGCAGGAGGCCCCAUUAGCUAAAGUGGUGCUUCAGGUUAAGAACAGUUUCAGGUUAAGUACGGACCUCCGGAACGAAUUAAGUACUUAACCCGAGGUACCACUGUAAUGAAUGCAGUUGCAUUCCUCAGCUUGCAGUACAUUCAAACACAAGACUCAGCUGCACAUUUCUGAAGUGCAGUCUCUGAACAGCCAUCCAACUUCAUGAACAGCAUGCUGGAAUGAUGACCAAACGCCAGAGAUUAGUAAUAGAAAAGACAAGUCUUCCUUGAGAACUUAUCUGUCUUCCUGACCCUUCAGACUCUUCCCAGGCCACACCCCCUUUCUCCAGGCCACACCUCCUUCGCAGCUUUGCUUUUGCCUAGUUGGAAUGUGUCCUUGACUUCUGGAAAUACCUCUCACAUGUCUGCAUGAAGGACAGAGAAGGGUGUGUGACAGUGUUAGAAACUGAGAUAUGAAAGCUAGGAGCUAAAUGGCACCUUAAACCUAGGUUACAGGUGCAACAGCAGAAUGUCUAGGUGUGCUUUUUUAAUAACAAGAAUACACAGCUGAAAAUGAAUGAACUGCAGCUAAAAUAUUAUGUUCAUUUUUCACAUAGCCUAGUCCUUCCCCUGCCCACCCCCCUAGUAUUCUUAAGAGGGUCUCUUCUCUAGUCUUCAGAGAGUAGCUGGAAGUGGGGAGGCAGAAAAAGUUCCUCCUUUCCUUCUACUCUGCAGUUUUAUUCUGAAAUCUUAGGCCCAGUACUGUGUCCACAGCUCAGAAACCGCUUGCACUAAUGAAAUUUAUUGUCGCAAAAUGCGCCUAGAACAAUGGGAGUUUCGAACACUGGUGUGUGAGUGUGUGUACAAACUAGCCUACUGUACAAAGGUAAAAUGUGUGUUAAAUUGUUAAACCCACUUUUGCCUCUGGCCCCAACCAACCACCCACUUAUGGUCCCCAGAAAGUUGCCCAGAAAGGAAGGUACCUUAGAUCAAGUACAAUAGGUACUGAUCAUCUCCAAACUCAACAGGCAUUCAGAGGAGAUGCCUAUAUAUUCAUUGCCAGCUCAUCUUUUUUCAUUGCCCGCUUCUGGGUCAUUGCUUGCAAGUAGAUCCUCUUCAUCUUUCCAAGUGGAGGCUUCCUCCAGAGCAGAAUCCUGGCAACAGAGCUUUCUGGCAGCCAAAUGGUCACUUCUGUGGCAACUCUAGGAUUCCCACUGGGUCCAAUGCCAUUCUUCAUCCUCAAGCCCCAGGGUGUGAAGGGACAGAACUGGGGAUCGAGGCAGGACUCAGCAUCUGACUGGAUGGGUUAUUUGGGGGGCCUGCUCCUGCCAUAGCUGUGAAGACACAGCUGACACAAGGCAGCAGAUGUGGUUUAAGGGAAUUUACUUGGAGGCUUGCAAGGAAAAUGGGUCAUGCCACCCAGCCCUAAAUGGUGCGAAUCUAAGCAUCUCAAAGCCAGCUAAAUCAACUGCCCAGGAUCGUGUGAGAGGAGGCAUCAUGGCACAGUCACAUAAUCUUUGUUUUGACUGCCAAACACUUAUGCUGUUUAAGCCGAGUUCGACAAUAAAUGCCUUUGACUAGCAAGUAAUUAGUCCUGUAACGUGCAAUUAGUGAAAGGUUAUGAAGACUGAAAGGCAACAUUAUUUAUUUCUUUUUAUCUCUUUCCUAUUGAUUUUUGUUUUAGAAGCAGCCCAACUUCUUAUUAAACCUACUAUUCCCAACUACACAAAAGCUUAUGUAAUGCUGCACAGUAUUCUGUUGUGCUUUGUUAACCUCACACAAAGCAUGCCUAGCUUCAUGUUAGACUAAGCUGUGGCCAUACCAUUAGGGAGAACGAGGUGGCCUCCUCAAUUGACAGAUGCUAGGGGGUGGGUUGCAUCAGGCCCUCCCAGCUAUUCCUCCUGAGCCCCCUCUGGCUGCUCUCCUGAGCACUCCACCCCCCGCAGGCUGCUCCCAUACUAGCAGUUUUGCUCGUUGCUGGCCUGGCCUGGCAGUCUCGUCUCAUUCUCCUACUGCAGGGAUAACUUACAUGGCUCCUGCCACAUGUUGGACUGCGAUUCCCAACAUCCCUGACCAUUGGCCAUGCUGGCAAGGGCUAAUGGGAGUUGUAGGCCACUGCCAUCUGGAGGAUACCAUGCUGGCUACCACUGUCCUAGUGUAUUGUGAUUGGGGUCAGGCAAAUAAGCAGCCAGCCCAGGCCACAUCCUCUUCCAGGCAGGUAUUGCUCUGCUCAUGUGACACAUGCCUGCUGGUACCACCGUUGCUGCAUUGCAGCACUUACUAGAGUCACCAGAUGGAGAGAUGGGUGAGUGGUAGUGAAGUGUUGAAGGAAAGGACUUUGUGUCUUAUGGCCUGCUCCCAGUGCCUCCAAGUUAGCCUGUUGCCCUCUGGUGCAGGACACCGUUCUAUACCCAGUGCUGAAAUAAAUUUGAACUCCUAGCCUGGGCAGCUGUUAUAUGUGAAAUGUGGGAGGACCUUCUUGUACUUUGUCUCAGGCAGCAAAAUGCCUUGGGCUGUCCCUGUAGGCCGCAGGAAUGUUAUGAAUUGUUUUCUUUCUGGUAGGCAAGCGAAUUGGCAAGAACGAAACCCAGAAGCAAUCAAGGAGAGAAGCUAUGUUCUCUGUGUCAUAGGUGGUAUCAGCUAGUAAAUUCCCAGGAAAGACAAAGGAGGCUUCCCAAUAAGAUGGUUAUUGUGGGAUGGGCACUCCUCAUGCAUGCAGUUGUGCUGUUGUUUCCAAUUUUGCAUGAUGUCAUUGGCAUCGGAAUGCAAGCCUGUGUUUUCCUUCCAUUUAAUCCUGGGUUGCCACAGUUGGAGGUAGCAAUGCUUCUGAAUAGUAGUUACUGGAAACCACAGGAGGGGAGAGUCCUGGGGAAAAGCCUGGGAGAUGGCAGGUGAGUUGAACUUUGCAUCUGCCUGGAGCAUCAAGCAACUGAAAAGGUGCAAGGCUCAGUGGUAGAGCAGCUGUUUUGCAUGCAGAAGGCCCCAGGCUUAAUCCUCUAUAUUUCCAGGUUGGAUACUCUCUAUCUGAAACCUUAGAGAGCCACCGCCAUUCCGUUUAGACAACAUUGAGCUAGAUGGCUCUUGGUCUGACUCAGCGUAACGCUUCCUUUGUUCCUAUACACACAGGUCCAUGGAAGCCACCGGUCUAAUCCACCUAAGGAAACAGGAAUACAGAAGUGAUCAAGCAGCUGUCAAAUGCUGCGGAAUACACAAAAUUCAAAGAAUCUGAGUCAAUAGCAGGCUCUUGAGCCACUUAGGAGUAGGCAUGUGAUCUCACCAAAGAGAGAGCUGGAGGCUUUAUGUAGACAGCCUCCCCUCCCCCGCAAAAAAACCCUCCACCUGAGUUAUAUCUGAAUUUUCUCCUUCAUUCCCCAAGUUCCUAAGCAUGCAUCUGCAUGACAAUAGUUGCAGUUUGGUGACAGAUACAAUUCACUUGCCUUCUGAUUCAUUCUCGACAUUGAUUUAGCUGUUCUGAAGAUAUGAAAGUUAUAAAUUUGUUAAAUGCUUAUAGGCUUCGGCUUGGUUUUGAAUUGUGUUGUCAAAAUACAAAGCGUUUUCCAGUCAAUAAUAACUUGUAGAGCAGAAUUGUGUGCAGCCUGGAGAAACGGCAGUUUCAAACACAUCAGACCUGUUGCCGUCCUCAUGUUUACAGCAAGAGAUAAGAUUAUCCAGGGUCAGUUUGGGAGUCCCAGGAAAGCCUUCAGGCCACUGGAAUAUUGCAUGCACAUCUGUUCUCCUAGACCAGUGGUGGUGAUGCUUAGUGGUGGUGAUACAGUGGUGCACACCUGACCUCCAAUCAGGUGCUUUGCUGCUGAUUACUGGGGGGCAGAGAGGAGUAGCAAGAUGGUGGCAAGGCUGGCACAGUGCAAAUGCACCAACAGAGCUAAUCUGGUGCUCCUGCUGGUGUGUUUGCGCUGCACCUCCACCUUUCCUGUCCACCUCUUCUUCCCAGUCUGCAGCGAUAGCAUGACCAAAUGAAGGUCCGGUGACCAGCACUGCCCCACCAUGGUGUCCACUACUGGGGAGGGGGCUGUAGUUUUCCAACUGCUCUUGAACUAUCAUCCCUCUGGAUCAUGCUGGUGGUGUUGAUAGGAGCUGGAAUCCAACAAAAGAGGCUACUUGACUUAAAAUAGAAGUUUUAAAUAGCAAUCAAGUUAUAAAUAGGAGUGCCUGUACUCUAUUCCUACUGUAUCAGAUUCACGUGUGUCUCUUACCUGUGAAGAGAGUAAAUUGCAGAGCUUUCUAAAGAAUCACAGGAAUACCUAUGCCAUAUAUACUACAAAGGUUUAUGAUUCAGAAUCAUAUACAUUUUUGUGAUAUUAAAGAACCAUUGCCUUACUGGGACUGAUUACACAAAGCCAUAGAAAGCUGUAUUUAUAGCAUUUUGUCCUAAUAUUUCAGCAAUAAAUCAUCCCUAUCCUUAAUUGUACUUUGUUUCCUUGACAUUUAAAAUCUGUAAGCUAUUUGAACUAGUAAUUUAAGACCUAUUGUUAUUUUAGAUUGGGAAUUUAAAUUUGCCACCUGUUUAAAACAAAUUGCAGAACUAAAGGCUGUAUUUCUUGUCUUUUAGUAGAAUUCUUGUCUCAAGGUAGAGUUUAAUAAAAACCCACCUCCCACCCUCUCACUACAUGGAGUUUUAUGUCUGAGAAACGAAAGAUCAACCUAUGAAGCUUCUUUUUGGAUCUGAAACUUGGUGCAAUGCUGGUUUGCGGAGCGUGGGGGCAGCACUGUCAAUAAUAAUUCUGAUCUAUUUACAAACCAGUUGACGUUACAAAAUUAUGGGAUUUUCCACACUUGGUUCUUUAGUUGUGAUUCUGUCAGCAUCUUAUCAAAACACCCUUUUAGAAAGCAUGAAAUCAGAUCUCGGGAAUUAAGGGACAUAAAAUAUGGAGAACAAAAAAACUCUUAAAGGAUUGCAAGAGGCAAAUAGCUCCUAACCAAAUUUUAAUUGAAUCAAAAUAAUACUCUUAAGGUAGCUUUCUUUGGGGUGUUCUAAGCCAUUAGAGGCACGGUUCCUAAAUGCAAAAUGAAGAGGGGAAUAAAUUACCCAUAGAAGACAUGUAUUUGUCUUCCCUUUACUUGCUUGUAGGGAUGCGAACUUAUUCCCCAGCAAAGAGCCCCCCCCCCACUAUGCCGUCCCUGGUCCUCGCUUUUGCAAAAACAACACAAAAUGCAAGAAGGAAGCAAAAAGCUGAAGUGAGGACUGUGAGCUGCAAACAUCCAUUCUACCCCCUUCUCUCCCUGCCAUACACCCAUUUCCCAAUGUUUUGUGUUGUAUCUUUGCUAUGGAUUAUGAUUGCUGAGAGCUAAUUUUGGCAAGGAAUUAGGCCAUAAAUAUACAAACUAAAUGAAAAAAAAAUGCAAACAAUCAACAGGAGCAUUGAUUCUGCUGUGAUCACAGCAAUGCCCUGUAGAGUCUGCAAUGUAGAUAGAUGGAUGGGCAAGGUGCCUACAUUCACAAUUACUGUUGAAACAGGGAACCAGCUGCAUCACACUUAUUGAAAUAUUCUAGUAGGUAAAUAUAAUGCCAAUCCUUGUCUGACAGCUCUGACUGAAAAGUCAAAGUGCUGGUGUUGACCUAUAAAGCCUUACAUGGCUCAGGACUUCAAUACCUUAAGGUCUUCCUCUCCCCAUACAAACCGACCUGGACCCUGUGCUUGUAAUCUGAGGCCCUACUCUGUGUCCCUGCUCCCUGAGAUAUUCAGAGGGUGGCAACAUGAGAAGGGCCUUUUCUGUGGUGACUCCCCGUUUGUGGAAUGCUCUCCCCAAAGAGGCUCCUCUGGUGCCAUCAUUACAGGUUUUUAGGCACCAGGCAAAACCAUUCCUUUUCACCCAGGCCUUCAACCAUUAAAUAAUCUAUGGCCUGUUAAAGCCGGGGAUGGACAGACUGUUGUUAUGAUUAUUAUCAUUUUGCUGAUUAUUACUAUUCUUCAUUUCAUGUUUUUAUUAUUAUGCUGUGUAAAAUAUAUUCCUAAUGUUGUGCACCACCCUGGGACCUUUUGAUAAAGAGUUGUAUGAUGAUGAUGAUGAUGAUGAUGAUGAUGUUGUUGUUGUUGUUAAAAAGUCAGGGGUGGGGGAACUUCCAUCCUAAUUAAGCCCAUCAGACCUCUCCACUCGGUCCACAGGGCCAUCUUGGCAGACCCAUGCCCAUCAUUUGUUCUUUAAAGCACUGCACAGGGCUCUUUAUAAGGACCCUGAUCACUGCUUUGAAGUCCUGACAAUCAGCUGAUUGCUGGGGCUUCAAACUGCCAUGUCAUUUCCUCCAUACCUAACUACACCCAACUACUGGUGACAGGCUAAUACCUUCAUUACUCCUUUGGGCAGCUGGCCACUUGGAACCCAGCUCUGUCCUCCAUUAGAGAGGAGUGGUCAGGAGGUUAGGAAGAGCAGUUGGAGGGUUUCUGCUGCUAUCUCCCAGCUUCUGCUGCCUGAGGUGGUUGCCUCAGUUCACCUGUUGGUUGGACCAGCGCUGAAGGUUCCACACCUGUGCUCCAGGUUGUUGUGGCUGUUGAGGACAAGGGCAAUGUGGGAGCAGUGAAAGAGGCAGGGCACCUCUAUCUAGUCUGAAAUUCCAAGGGUUCAGAGAAAAGGAACCUUGAUGGAAAUGGGGAGGUCUUGCGGCAGCAGAAGCUUCUGGUGGUUGGAUGGCGACCAUAUCGGGUCAACCACUGUGGCUCAGGCAGAAGAGCUGAGCAGCAUCUGCUGAGCAUUCAGUUCUAACUUCUCUGCAGCGCAAGGCUUAUGCUUAAGAGAAUUAUUAGUCUCCAUUGUGCAAAUGAGAUGCACGGGGCGUGCUUCUAAAUGCUACAUUCACUCAGGCUUCUUCCCUUUGUAGGAAGUGAAAGUAAUUCAGAUUGAAAGCGUAUACGUUGCCCUUUGUAUACGUCUGGCAAUAGAAACAUGCUUGUCGAGGAAUGGAAAUGAAAUGGAAAGUGCAAGGGCAAAAAGCCAUUUCAUGUUUUGCAAAGUGAGGCAGUAGAAUGGAAAAGGCUGAACCACCACUCCCAGAAAUAGGAAACGUUUUCAAUCUAAGAAAGGGCCAAUAUAAAAUUCAUGUGAUCCCUAAUGGGUCUGGGGGGAAAGAAUUGUCUUACCUUGCAGCCCCUGCCUGAAAAUUUCUUUUGCAGUUUAUUCUUUAUGAUAGGAAGUUCUGUAUGCCCUCUUCCUACUAGGUGCCCAAUGCAAUGUUUUAUAUUGCAGUAAGACAGUUGGCCAAUCCCGCAGUUUGGCAGAGUAAGGCAGGCACCUCUCCGGGAUCUGAUUUUAGGUGCCAUCAAAGGGCAGCAAAUGGUUAGUUAUGUAAUGUAAUAUUGCUGCAUUGUUACUGCUAGGGAAAAAGAGAGGUGAUUGUGAGUUGCCAAAAUAACUUGGCUGGCCUUGGGUGCUAUUAGAGACAGACAAAUCAUCCUAUUUCCAUCCUAAGACACUUUCGGUUUUUGCGAAACCAGCUUGGCUUUGUCCCUUUACAAAAAAGAAAAAGCGGAGGAGGACUUAUGAGGACUUUUGCCUGGCACCUUAAAAAUUGCCUUUUUCUUCUUUUUAUAUCCUGCUUAACUUUUUAAGCUGCUCAGAGGAGAGCCAUGGCCAUGUGGUAAAUCGUGUCUUUGAAAAUGUUCCAAGGAAAAAAAGAUGGCUGCCCCCAUGUACCAUGUCAAAAAGGAAAAAGAGGGGAUUCUUAGAUCACCUUGUAACUAUUGUAUGGACUGAUGUGCCAUUUUGUCAAUUGAUUAUGUGACUUGACCCCCACAGAUCAGUGUUUCAAUCCACACGUGGGCCCAGGGGUGGGGGGAAUGGGAAAGUUCUUCCAAAAAGGUGGCGUGAAGCAAAAUCCUCCUCACCCCUAUAUAUUUAACUUGAUGAGAUGAGGUCUGUGCAUCAUUCACAGUUCUUCAUUGGGCAGCAAAGUAUCUUUAGCUGGUUGUGGACAAGAAGGUCACAGAAGCUAACAUUUUAGACCAAAUAUAUGCUUCUCCUGAGGCAGUCAUUUCCAAAUGCAGCCAAGAAUCUUGUGACACCUUACAGACUAACACCUUCAUUAUGGUGUAAGCUAUCAUGGACUACAAUCCACUUCAUCAAAUGUAGUCAAGGGAAGGUUAUGCCAUCCUGUGUUUAUGUUUAUUUGUCAUAAAGCGCCACAACACUCUUGGUCGUCGUCGUCUUCUUCUUCUUCUUCUUCUUCUUCUUCUUCUUCUUCUUCUUCUUCUUCUUUGCAGCAGAUGUCAAAAGCCUACCACAUGGAAAUUAUUUGCUGAUAUUUUGCUAUGGAAAGGGAACCAUCUUGCCUUUGACACUAAAUAUUUUCCUCUUUCCCACAGUUUGCCACAAUGCACUGAGUAUUAGAUUUACUGAAAUAAAUAAGUAACACAUACAUUAAAACCAGCACAAAAUAAAACAGAGGAAAAUCUAAAACUCAUUCGUAUUUUUAAAAGGCAGGGCUGUCUAAAAAAAACACAUCAUGCUCACAGCAGGAGGCUGCAGAAAAUUAAAAGCCAAAGGCCUAGUGGAAAAGAUUUAGUUUUGCCUGGCAAAAAUAGAUAAGUAAUGAUGGCACCCGGCGAGCCUUCCUAGGGAGAGAAUACUUAUGAAUAGAUAUGGUUAGGAUUGCAGUCUAACUUACACUAUCCCAGCCUAGCGUCCUCCAGGACCAUAACUCCAUUCAGCCCUAGCCAGCAUGGCCAGUGGUCAGGGAUGACUUGAGUUGCAGUUCUGGUGAAGACAUCUCUGUUUUAUGGAGUGGCUUAAGCAUCACUUCACCAUGGCAAGCACCAGUACUAGGGGUUAGCAUAGACCUAAAAGGAUGACUUACUGCUGUAUAUUGCAGCACAGUGACUCAUAUUACCCCCAUACAUUUAAAACACAUGUCUUCCCCCAAAGAAUCAUUGGAAUUGUAGCUCUGUGAGGGAUUCUGUGAGGGAUUCCCAGGGUUUUUUUUGGGGGGGGGAUAUGUGCCCUAAAUGUAUGGUGUGUAUGACUUGAAUGCUCAUUAAAUAUGGAAAUCUAAGUUUCAAAAUAGAUUGGAGGGUGCAAGUGGCCAUUGACAGUUCAAGCAAAACUUUGAAUUACCUUAAAAUCUGGCAAAAAUACAGAAUGAGAACAUACAGUUAAACAUUUCAACAAUUUCAAAUGCCUGUAUUGAUUCAGACCAAGAUUUUGAAAUAAAUGUUGGUUUAUCCCUCCUCUCUGCUGUCACUGUAGCACCAGAGCAUGCUUCAAAAGCGUAAUUCCUUCCUAAUAUUCCUCCUGGGCCUUGGUAGCUGUGACAGCCUUAAGCAGUGGCUUUGGGCAAAGUAAAGUCACUUUCAAAAAGCAGAAGUCAAGAAACAACAUCUAGAAAUGAUAAUCUGUUGAUGUGCCACAUCUGAACCUGCUUGUCUUGCUAUCAGAUGUUGUUAUACCAGCUGAAAAAUGUUCAUGCGAUUAAAUAACAGAAUUCUGUUUCAGUCAGUUUGUGGUUUUAACACAAGAUUCCUGUGACCCAUCUGUUACAUUAUAGCUUCAGUAAACGAUUUUCUUUUUUGAGGAGGGGGUAUGUAAAAUGUAGGAAUAAAAGUAUCAAAUAGGCUGAGGACGGAUUAUUUGUUCCAAGGACCCCCAUCAAAAGCCAAGUUUCCACAGUUUUGCACAGACAAUCUCAGGGGGGUCAUUUCUCACAUUUUGUCUUGGUGGCACAUAAUAUUUCUUUUCUGCAUAUGUCCCAAUUCCUAUUAAAACAACGAAGAGGAGUUUAUUUAUUUCAUGGGAAAAUAUGAGUACUUUUCCUGGAAAGUUUGCUCAGAGCUGGAGAAGUAUCCUAGUCUUUUCACCAAUAACAUUUCAAGAGGAUUUUAGAAAGGCAACCAAUAUAUAGGGCAGAGUGAGUCUACAGAGCAUAUAUCAAAAACAGUCUAGGACUCUAGUCCUAAUCGUUCCUUUCAGGGACGCCCUGUCACAAAAGAAGACUGAUUCUUGAGUAUUCCUUAAACAGAGUAAUGUAAAGGAAUAGCUUCAUCUUUUGGCAGUACAAGAAAUAACCAAGCAAUGCACUUCAGUGCACUUUAGGGUGGACAUUUUUCUUGAAUGCAUUUGACACAGGAACACAGGAAGCUGUUUUAUCCUGAGUCAGAACUGGUCCACCAAGCUCAAGCUCUCUAGGAUUUCAGACAGAGUUCUCUCCCAGCAACACUUGGAUAUGCUGGGAAUUCUACAGGCAGAACAGAUGCAGUACCCCUCCUGAGCAAUGGCGCUUCCCCAACAUGUAAGCCAAGGAGGCAAAGACUGCUGUUCUAGGCAGAUACAGUUUGGAGUAAGUCUGACUGAACUCUGUGCUGGGGCUUGCCUUUGUGCAAAUAUACAUUGGAUCAGGAUAUAUGAUGUUAUUGGCUCUGUAAGAGCCUUAAUGAUUGCUGUGCAGGAUGAUGAAAUUGACAUAAGCAUAGAAAGACAUACAAGAAAUAAAAUGAAAGGAAGGAGACUUGAAAAGAGAUUUGCAUUGAGGAGACAGGUAGUGGCGGCGUGAUAACACGGUGACAAGGAGAAGUGGAAGGCAGGCAGGAAAGGAGGUCGAAUGAACAGGAUAACAGACAGAAUAUUCAUAAGGAAACCCAAGGAAAGAAGGGGGACACUGUUUGAAUCAGCUUCCUCCACAAAAUAAGUGAAUUUAUAUUUCCUUAGACUGACACGAGGAAAUCAGGCCUCUGCAUUCAAGGAUUUAGUUGUUGUCUCUCCCCAAUACGCUCUCACAAUGAGUUUUUUGAAAUGAGGUGGAUGAAGCAUAGCAAAAGCAUCUGCGCCUUCUUAUAUAUGAUGCGAAAGCUGUGUUGCCUGCUGAACUAUGACAUUUGGACUCCACACAAACAUCAAUAAUGUAACAAGUUUAUUAAACAGGCUUAUAUACAGUGGCCAAGCAGGGCUCUUAGCGCAGGUCUUCAGCUGGGUUUCUCCAAGUCCAUGGGAAGUGGGAACCUGAAGGCUUGACUGUCCAUGGGGGACAGAGCACAGUAAAAUCAUUGUGCCUGAAUAUAAAAUAAAAUUUGCACCCAGAUAAAAAGAUUCAAAACAGUUGAACACCAUCAUACCGUAUUUUUCGCUCCAUUGGAUGCACCUAACCAUAGGACGCACUGGACCAUAGGAGGGGGAGAACAGGGAAAUUUUUUUUUCUUGUUCUCCCCCUCUAAAACAAGGUGCGUUCAAGGUACAUUCACCAGAGCUUGUGGGGCUGGCGGUGGGGGGAAGCGCUGCUUUCCCCCACCGCCAGCCUCAAAGAUCCCUGAAGCCUUUGGAGCGCAGCGCCCCGCUGCCCUGCCGAGGUUUGCGUGCAGCCGUCCCCAAGCUAGAGCAGCGAGACGGAGCCCUCCGCCUCGCUGUUCUGGCUUGGGAACAGCCUUGUUGCUUCUGCAGGACAGCGGGGUGAAGGCACCCCGCUGCCCUGCAGAGGUUUGCGUGCAGCCGUCCCCAAGCUAGAGCAGCGAGACGGAGCGCUCCGCAGUGCUCCGUCUUCCUGUUCUGGCUUUGGGCUUAGCGGCGCAGCCUGCAUUCGCUCUAUAGGACGCACACACAUUUCCCCUUAAUUUUUAGAGGGGAAAAUGUGCAUCCUAUAGAACGAAAAAUACGGUAAUUACAGACGGUCCCUGUAUCUGUAAGUGUAGCUGACUGGAAUUUAACUGGGUUCACAAAUAUUUCACCUCAUGGGUAGCAUUUCCCCUUCAUUCAAAACCAUCACGGUCAGUACCAUCCAAGAAAGAGAACAUGGACAGGGCUGAUUCACACAACUGUUUCUGCCACUGUGAGACGAUUGCUGGACCGUGAUUACAGGACGGCCAGUUGCACAACAGAGGACAGGAAUCCUAGAAUGUAGUUUAGAAGAAGGGAUUUGGGCAGGUGCAGUUUAUCUCAACUCUGCAGUGCUGUGACAUAGUAUCACAGCUGCUAAAACUCUCUCUUCUGCACAGCCAUUAAGAGCGUAGGACUCCUGACCUCUGUUGCAUUUAGUAACCCUGUCAUUUUAUGGCAUAGCUUUACAAAGAGCCUGUUAUUGUGCGCAGACCUAUCACGUACUCAAUGAUAAAGGUUGCCAGGAGCAUGAUGGUGUAGCAGUGAGAUGGCUGGAGAAGCUAGUUCCGAGAACUGGUAGCACAUUUAUUCGUUGCAAAGAGGCCAAGCAGCAGUUGUGCAGUUUGUGGGACAACCAGCCUCAUAUACCAACAAGCUUAAGUCUAAUUAAUGCAUGAAAUGGUUAAUACCAUUAGGGUUCCCAUAUUCCAGGGAUCAAAAACCCAGACACCUCCCACACCGUAGGGAUAACCCCCCACCAUCCAGCAUCUCCCUAGCUCGCCCCCUCCUUGCUGUUAACCCCUUCCUCGCCUACCUGCUCCCCCCUUCUUCGUUCUCCUCUCUUAUCGUGGAGCCUAGCACAGCCCCAGGAAAACUGCACAAGUUCCUGGCAGCUGCUAGGACCAGCUCAGGGCCUAGCGCGAUCCCCAGCAGGCCACUCCAGGCCACCCGAUAUGUGCUUUCUGUUCCGGGGCACCGCGCCUUCUGAGCAUUCAUGUGCCCCACAAACAGAAAAGAAAAUAACAACCCCCAAACCCAGACAUUUAAUCCGAAAAGCAAAAAUCUGCCCAGAUGGGGAUGUUGACCCCCAAAACAGGACGUCUCUGGGAAAUCCUGGACCUAUGGCAACUCUGAAUACCAUAAGCUGCCCUGCUAGGCUUAGCUACCUCAUUUCACCUUACCUUGGGAAGAAAUAGGUAAUCAAGCCUAUUGUUUCUUCCAGUCUACCUGAGAAGCUCAUUAUGUGAAAAGGUUUGAGUUGGUUGCUCCAGCUCAGCUGCAUGACUCUCAUCAGCACUCUUGAGUUCCUAUACCAAUAAUCUAGGAACUUUUACCAUUUUGUAACUAAGUUCUACUGCUUGUGCAGCUUUUCUGACUGAUGUUUGGAAAAGCACGUGAAGUGAACCUUUGAAAAGCUUGUAAGUAAACUAAUUUUUAACUUGCCAAGCGUGUGGUAUUUUUCUAUGCUAGGGGAAAUGGGAAACUUUGGAAGGAAUUUUAAAGGGCACAUUUUAAGGUUUUACAACCUAUAUUUCCACACUUUAAUUAGCUGCUUAUUUUGUGACUUUAAAUCUCAGCUGGGGUUCUCUCACCAAAGUGUACUUGCCCCAAACUUGGAUCUUGGCAUCCAGGAAUCCAGGAAUCCCUUCUUUCUUUCUUUUGCAUCAACACAGUUAAGGAACGCCCCCCCCCAAACCUACUACUGCUGGUAAUGUGGUGAUCUAUUCACAAGGCUCCUCUGUGACACACACUCCUUGUUGGUCACAGCUGACCAUUUAGAAAUCAUUGCCUUACGCUUGUUUUAGAAAUUUUUGAAACAUUCCUUAUACCCAUGUUGGUGUGGCAAACCAUUUUCCAUGUGUGUGUGUGUGUGUGUGUGUAUAUAUAUAUAUAUAUAUAUAUAUAUAUAUAUAUAUAUAGUCUAAAUAUUUAGCAGCUGAUUACCACCAGCUGAUAACAACCUGUGUUCUAAUAGUGGUCACUUUCACUUAUCUUAUCUACUCUUGCCCAGCAGCCAAGAGGGUGUCUUAGAAUCAAACCGUCAUUUCAAACUAUUCCUGGAAUACUAGUAUUAAACGAACCUUUGAACCCAUAAAGGAAGUUUUCAUUCUACACUAUCUGUUCUCUGUGAUGCGACACUGUGACACAUAGAAACAGCUGUUAAUAAUGUACUCACAUUCAGAAUUCAAAAGUGAUAUUUUUGGUCAUUGCUGUAAUAUCCAUGUUCAGAUACAGUAAAUGCAUUUGGGAUAUAUAUGAAUAAGCCUUUUGCCCGCAUGUGGAGUUUCUUUGUCCUUCCCUUUGGAAUGCAUAAAUAAAUAAAUAAACAAAUAAACCAAGCCAGGAACCCUUUAAUUAAUCAUAGUUCUUCUGUUUCAUCCAAACUGAGAAACUAUGGUUACCAGCUUUGAAGCGAGCCAGGAUAUUAAAUCAACUUCAGACUGUGACUUGAAGAGCAUUGUUGCUAGUACUGCAUCUGCUACCAUUGCCCACCUUCAGUGCAAAAAAGUAAAAUAGAAAGCAAAUACUAAAGAAACCACAAUACGUAGGGCAGCUCUGAACCUUGUGGCAAAUUUCAAGGCAUUUCCGUACAGCACUGCUUAUAAGACUGUGCCGAAUAUUCUAGGGUAAACAUUUUCCAUAUGAAAAAAGUGGCUUUUGAUUGGCAAUGGGCACCCAGAAAAUUACCUCUCUUUUGCUUUAGUAAAUGGCUGCUUUCAGUUCUGAUCAGCUGCAGCUUUGGCGCUUUACAUACGCAGUUGAAAAUAGCCCUUCUUCAUGGUGGUAAUAUCACAUGUCAGAUUUGGCCGCAUGUCACUGUUGAUAAAAAAAAAUAAUGUUUCCUUUCCCUCAGUAAUUUGCUUCAAAAAAUUCAAGUUUUAAAAAUAUUUGUAACAGUGAUAAAAACAAAUAGCAUUUUUCAAGCAAAACAUGGUGUCAAAGUUGCAGCUAUCGGGGCUAUGAAGAGCUUGUUCUAGGGUGCUUCUAACUGAAUGCCAGUCACUGGAAGAGAUACCCAGGGCCAGGGGCGCCAACUAACCCUCCCCCCACACAUUGAGGGGGUCCAGCGUCACAUGACAUCACACGCAUGAUGUUGUGUGCCCCUCCAUGCAUCCCGCCCCUGGAGCAUGAGCGCUCAUAUGGUGGGUGUGGGGCGUGUGGAGGGCGAUCUUCACCCAACAUGCCCCCUGCCCCCUCCUGGCAGGUGAGUGCUGCCCGCGACUGUGGGCUGUGGCGGAUGGCAGCCCCCUCAAUUUGGGGGGGGCUUAGACCCCUACCCACAAAUAUCAAGGGGGCUGAAGCCCUUUCCACCCCCUAUAGUCGGUGCCCCUGCCCAGAGCAUAGGGAGCCACUUGAACAUCAGUGGUGGCUAAGCCCUUACUAUCAGAUAUGCACAACCCCUUUCUCCCCUGAAAAUUGCUGAUUUUGCAGGGGUGUAAAUGUUCAUGAAUUUCACACAUGCUUUAGCCUAAGCAUUUUACUAACUUAUAUUAUUAAACUUGCCCGCACUGGUGGAUUUUAAUGCUCUCUCUCUCUCUCUCUCUCUCACACACACACACACAGAGCAAGAUUUUUCUUCUCAGUCUCUUAAUUCCCAAAAUAUUGCUUAAUAUUGCUUUCCAGGUGCACACGACCUUGAAAACCAGUUACUUGGUAUGUGAUGCAUCCUCAGAAAUUGGAAAUAUUGACAUAACAUAGCCAAAUAAGCCUUACUUUUUAUAAUUUAGUCACUGAGGUUGGCUCUGUCCUGUAUAUUGUAUUUUUGUCUGCCUCUUCACCCUGACUUCUUAUACCAAGUGAAAAGCGUGAGCGACAUGUAAACUUUCAUAUCAAAAAAAGCACAAGAGUAAUACAGACAACACAGAUUUCUAAACACAGCAGCCAGAUUUUAUUCAGGUUUUCUUUUUAAAAAAGCAUAAUGUUAUCUUAAAUGAUUUCUCAGUAAGACUGUAAUCUGCUUCUCCCAAAUAGCAUUUAACAGAGCUGUCAGUGUGAAGAAGCAGGCUUAAUCACAUGUGGAUUACAUUGCUUUGUUCUUGGUCUUAUUUUCACUCUCUUGCUGUCCUUUCUAAACAGAGAACAAGCUUGGGAAAUGCUAUCAGCAGAAUGGCCAGCAAUAUGAUCAGAAACCUCAAUCCCAUUUAGUUAGUGAGACUUACCUCCGGUUAAAUGUGCUUUGGCAGAUGCAGUCAAGGUCGAUCUUCAACCAGGCAAAAGUCAAGCCUAACCUGGAUGCCUUGACAGCUUAACCAGGUCAGGCCAGACCAAAUCAACAAACACAGUGGAUUUAUAGGAACCUUUUGACCUGUAACCUUGGUUGACUCACUGCAUGAGGCUAGGGAAGGGAAGUUUCCUGUUUCUAGCACUGGCAAUUCCUGCCACCCUCUCAGCCCCUGGAAAAUGUCAGUUUUGUGAAAGUGUACUUUGGUUUGGGGGACAAAAGGAAACAAUAUAUAUUUAAGAUCCAGUGCACUAGCCAGAGGCCCCCACCCCACUCCAAGGGAUAUUCCAGACCACUUCCUUGGGUUAUCUGCUUUCUUUAAAGCAGAAAAGAGAGUCUCUAGCCCAGGGAUGGGGGACUCCAGUACAUCUCCCCCAAUCCCUGUGCACUGACAAUGCAUGCUAGCUGCAACUGAUCAGAAUUCAAAGUCCAGCAACAUCUGGAGGGCAACAGGUUCCUCACCCCUGCUCUAGUUAUUUACAAGGGGGGGGGAGGCAGGCAGGAUUCACUAAGAAAUAAACAUUCUCCCAUCUUCUAGCGUUCCAUCAAAUGCAUGCCAAUGCUGUGGGAUGACUCUCACACACCUGGCAAUUGGCAUCUAAUUUUUAGGAAAUGUUUAAUAGUAUAUUUGAUUACUAUUAUAAUCAAAUAAUAAAUUAAUUGAUGGAGAAAAAUGCUUGCUCCUUUCUCAUAACGCUAGAACCCAGGGACAUCCCACGAAACUGAAUGUUGAAAGAUUCAGUGCAGAUAAAGCACUUCUUUGCACAGUACAUAGUUAAGCGAUGGAACUCACUCUCACGAAAGGCCGGAAUGGCCAUCAACUUGCAUGGCUUAAAAAGAGGAUUGGACAAAUUCUUGGAGAAUAAGGCUAUCAAUGGCUACUAGCCAUGAUGGCUAUGCUCUGUUUUAAUGGUCAGAGGCAACAAUAUUUCUGAAUGCCAGAUACUGAAAACCAAAGGAGGGGGAAAUACUCUUGUGCUCAGGUCCUGCCUAAGGCUUUCCCACACAUUUCUGUGUGGCCACUGGAUGGUGGACUAGAUGGGCCAUUGCUAUAAUCCAGCAGGCUCGUCUUAUGUUUUUAUGACCAGUCUGAAAUUUGUUUAAUUUCAAAUACAAGAGAAGGGGAGAUUGCAUUAAAAGGGACACACACACACACACGGUUAAUCUCUAGUUCCUAACUUCUAUAAUUUGCAAGCAGAGUAUCUUAAACUGAUGUGCAAACAUCAUGGGACCUGUCCUCUAGGAGAGCAAGCAGAGAUCCUCCAGGCAAAGAGAGGCAAAAUACUACUUUAUGAUGUAUUCCAGGAGGGAUGGUGAUUGAUGAGGGAUAGUAAGUAUCCAAUUAGGUAUGGUCCUGGGGUUUGUCAGGUCCAACAAGUGUGCAGAUGACAAUACUUAGUAUCUUUCCCAUAGCCCAUGGAAGAAGCUGCCUUUCUUGACAUAUGCUUCUGCUUGCAGUCAGGCAAAGCUCAGGAUGGUGUGUGUUGCCUGCUUUGCUGUUACAGAAGUAGGAGUCUUUGGCCAACAUGAGAAUUCCAGUAGUACUUACCUGUCUCCCGACAGCUGAGCCAGUGCUGUUUAUUAGGAUGGAGGGGGCAAAGUCAGCACAGUGCAAACGCACUGGCAGGAGUAGCAGAGUGACUCCACUGAUGCAUUAGCAUCGUGUUGAGCUUCUUGCUGCCUUGCCCAUUCCCUCCUGGUAAGCAGCAAUGACUCAGCUGUCAGGAGGUCCGGUAAGCACUGUCACUCCACCAUGCUGCCCACUACUGAAGAAUUCUUAGAGGGCUGGAGCUGUGAUUUUUAUCAUAGUAUGGUCCUAGGCGUUCCAUACAGCCCUGUUAAGAUACUUGUAUUCUUGGUCCUCUGGGAUGGAUUUGAGCAUGUGGAAGCUAUCAGUCAAGUCAUCUUCUUGGGCUUACUACCCUGUAAUCUUUCCAAAGCUAUUGUAUGCCACUAUCUUCAAGUGCAGGUUGCCAGACUUUCAGUUUGGGAUGGUUUCCAUUAUAGUGACUGCCAGCAUAAUCUUGCCGGGUGUGUCCUGGAAGCUAAUCUAGGUUGAUGGUGAGUUGAUAGUGACCAACAAAAUCAGGAAAAUUAGAGGUUGAAAGUUGUGGCCUUACCAGUGGUUGAGAGAAAGAUCUGAGGUAUGUGAUAUAACAACUGGAACUGAGUGGGACAAUAGCUUCCCCCACUUCUGCUUCUCUUAGAUUUAUAGACAAAUUAUGGUGCCACUAGCUGAAGCAGACCAUGGAGGAUAAGCAUCUGUGCAGCUUGGGGCCUGAGCAAAUGUUUCACUCUUGGCUGGAGUCUACAUUUUGUGUUUGGUGACUGAUGUGAUAUUUAUAAACCCCUCUUUCUGUAGAUUAGAUUCCGGCAAGUUUACUGAGCCUCUCAUCUGAUACAUUGCACUUGUAAAACACAUGGCCUUGACUACAAAAGUGUUGAUGCAGACUUUCCUAUACUCACUGUACUGACAAGACAGAGAAACUUUCACCCCCUGUCUUUGGAAACAGAUUAGCGCUCUUCCAAUUUGCUAAUAAUACACAUACUUCCCAGUGAUCAGUUAACAGAAUGGAUCAGCAGUCAACAACAAUCUUCUUUUAGAUGCCAGAAGCUUCUGCCUCUUCUUAGCUUCUCUCCACCCUCAUGCAUCACUGCUUCCUAUUGACAAGGCUGGCCCUGUGACAUAGCAGGGUGAACCAACUUCAGCACCAGAAGGAGAGAUGGAUGAAGGGCUGUACCGCAGCAGUGGAACAUCUGCUUUCCAUGCAGAAGGUCCCAGGUUCAAUCCCUGGGGAGGGUUGCCAGUGUCCCCUGCCUGAAUCCCUGGAGAGCCACUGCCAGUCAGGGAAGACAAUGCAGAGAUAGACGGACUGGUGGUGUGACUCAGGAUCAGGCAGCUUCCUAUGGUGCAGCAAGGCUUUUUGAAGGGUAGGGGUACCAUUUAGACAUCGCUCCAAUCAGCAAUGUGUUUUGAGGCGGCACUGCCAUCUCAGAGGGCAAUGAUGCAGGGAGAUGAGUGAGCAGAGGGGCUGGUGCCCAUAGCACUUAUUCAAAACUCUAAAUGUCCCCACAGGCCUCAAAAGGGUUGGUGACCUAUAGUCUUUUUUAAAAUAUAUAUAUUUUUAUUUUGCAACACAAACACACACACUAACAAAAGGAAAAAGGAAAAAUAACACAUAAAAAAUAAAAAAAUAUCAAAGGUAAAUACAAAAACUUAUACUAAGCAAAUAUUAAACAAUAAUUAUAUACCAUAUUUCAGUUCUUCUUUUCUUCCAAUUGACUUCCUUCAUCCUCAGCACGGUUCUACUUUCAUUCUCCUUUCAUUUUUACUCCUUUUUCUUUCUGUUUAUAGCUUUUACCCUAUAGUUUGUUUUACAAAAGUUAAUCAAAACAAGUCCAAGUAUUAAUCUGAGGGCACUGCUUUUUAAGGUACAGUGGUACCAUGUGUUACGUACUUAAUCCGUUCCGGAGGUCCAUUCAUAAUCGGAACCGCUUGUAACAUGAGGCGCGCUUUUGCUAAUGGCACCUCCCAUUGCUGCCGUGCUGCCGGAGCACAACUUCUGCUCGCAUCCUGGGGCAAAGUUCACAACAAAGGCAUCUACUUCCGGGUUAGUGGAGCUCAUUACCCAAAGCGUUCAUAAGGAGGAUAGUACGUAAUAUGAGGUACCACUGUAAUCUCUAUAUUUCCCCCAUUCUUUUUGGAAUUUAUGUUUGGUCUCACCCCUAAUUGCAUCUGUCAUUCUGGCCAAUUCUAUAUACCAGUAGUCAAAUAAUUUAUCUUGCCAUUCUUUUUUUGUCGGUAUUACUUCUUUUUUCCAAUUUUUGGCAAUUAAUGUUCUCGCUGCCACUGUGGCAUAAAGAAAUAUUUUCUUACUUUCCCUCGUUAUAUCUAUAUUCAAUAUUCCCAACAGAAAAGCUUCUGUUUUCUUGGCAAAAUUUUGUUUGAACAUUUUCUUUGGUUCUUCAUACACCAUAUCCCAGAAGCCUUUGAUUUUAUCACAUGACCACCACGUAUGCAAAAGCAUCCCCUCUACGUGGUUGCACCUCCAACAUAAUUUUGAUUUUGUUUUAUACAUUUUACAUAUUUGGGUUGGUGUUAAAUACCAUCUGUAAAACAUCUUUAUCAAAUUUUCUUUUAUCGUUAUUAUAGUUUAUAAAGUAAUGCUACAAUUCAUGUGGAGCCUCUUAAAAAAUCAUUCUCCCAUGACUAUUUUGUAAAGCUGAUUUACUUAGCCAGUUUUCUCUGUGGACAGCCCUGCUCAUGGCAGAUGUACCUAGGGGUUCAGUGUGUGUAGGAGAGUGUGCAUGUCCGCACAUGAAGUCUCCCCCCCCCUUGUUGCUGCCUUUCCCCUCUCUGAACGGUUUAAGAGAAAUCCACCAUUUAUUUCUGGUGGAGGUGAACUCCCAAGUGGGGUUAUAAACUUACAAAGAAAGGAAUCUUCUUUUUCGAGUGUUUUGGAAAGCUUCUCAUUCACCUAUUAUCUCUCUCUGCCAGAGAGUGCAAAGGGAUGGAGCAUGCAUAAAGUGAGCUUUUAUGCACCAGCAGAGAGGAGACAGAACAUUCCAGGCACUUGUUAUGAAGGAAGGAUGGAGGGCAGUGCAGUGGGUAGGCAACAUCUACACCACACUUAGGGUAAUUGAAGUGCUUUUGGGGAACUUCCAGCACAUCUGAUACCUGCUGCAGGUGCAUAACAAAGUGCUUCAGCCCACCCUGUCCUCCCACCUAUCCACAUUGCUGAGGCCUUAGAAAGCCCUAAUUCUUGGUAUUGUGUACUUUCCAACAAAGAAGUGAGUGGGCUUUCUGUGUUGCUUUUUGAAAAGCAGCAUUUUAAUAGCACAGGAGAAAAUACUGAGGCUUAGAAAAAAAAACCUAUGAUUUCCUACUUACAUAUUUAUUUAUUUUUACAAAACACACAUCAACCACUAGUCACUCAUCAAGGGAAUUGCUUAGGUUUGCCAUCAGCUGGACAAAGCUGUGUACAGCGCAACUGAUGCCAGGCAAAUUGGGCAGGGCAUGAUAAAGAUGAGGGGUGAGCAUGGAGUUACAUUGUGCUACUGUCUGCAUUUAGCACUUUCAGUCAACAGUCUGAUUAUGUGUGACAUUAGAAAGGAGCCAUAAUUCAGUGUUAGCGCAUACCCUACAUGCAGUGAUUCUCAAGUUCAGUCCCUGACAUCUGUAGUGGAAAGGAUAUUGGGUAACACAGCUGGGAACAACAACAACAUUUGUACAGUGCUUUCUUCAUAUUGUCUUCUAUUAUCCUCUUCGUCAUGAGUUGGUGAGGGUGGCUACCUGUUUUCUCUCUUGAAAAGUAUUGUUAUGAGUUUGUGGGUGCCACACUCCCCAUAAUUCCUGGACCCAGUAAGUGUUAGAAAUUAAUCAAGCCUCCUGAACACCUGGAUCCAGCAAGGGUUAAAAAAUAAGCCAGGCUAGAUUCCUUAUGAGGUAAUCACCUGGGAGAUGAGCUGUUAAGAAAGAACAAAAAAAAGGUGAUGGGCCAUUGGGAAAGCUAAGGAGUGGGGACUCUGGGCCAGAUAGCAAGUGGGUGGUGCCCCUCCUCUAGCUCUUAGAUAGAUAGGAGACAAAGCCAAAGUUUGAAGUAGAGAAGAAAGAGAAGUUGUAUGUGUGCACACAAACAUAAAAGUAGGACUCGGAAAAAGGAUUCUUUUGAAAUUACAUAUUUUUGUGAGUUCCCCCGCACUGCAACCAUAAUCAAAUCGCAUAUCGCACCUGUCUCCAUUAGAUGAACCAUAAUAUGGAUCCAAUGUUUUUCAGCACUGAUAUGGUGUCAAAACAUAGAUAUAUGUUUUGCUCAUCAUCCUUCUCAUCUUUUCCUCUGUUAGCUCAGUGGAUGUCCUUGAUAUUAUUAGAUAUAUUGGAACAAUAUUUUAUGACUAUUGUUUUGGUUGUUCUCUUGAGUGUAUGCCUAUCAUCUGCCUGAUGUAUAUAAGGAAGGGAGGAAAACAUGGAUCUGAAGCAUGGAUCCUUAUCAACCCUCAAUAUGUUUAGAAUUGUUUCCCUCAAAGUCCACUGUCAAAUCAUGGCUGAAAAUCCAUUCAGGUCUGUGCCUUGGAACAACGAACUGUAGUACAACCCUCACGGAGCUACAACCCCCAGCACCCUUAAGAAACUACAAUUCCCGUGAUUUUUUUGAGGAAGUCAUGUGUUUUAAAUGUAUGGAGUGUAUGCAUUCUCAGUUUUUUAAGACACACCCAGUUCAUACCUUGUUGAAAGUAGCCUAAUUACUUUCAUUGGGGCCUGGUUUUUGCACAGACAGACACAUCUUCCCACUCCCUGUAUCUCACAUAUUGCCUGGUUAUCUACUACCAUGAAAUAGUAUUCUACAUUCAGGGCUCGUCCUUAUCCCUCUUUCCCCCAAAGCCCUGCUCCUCAGGAAAGGAGAUUAUAAUAUCUUCAGUGUAAGAAAUGCAGUCAGUAGGGCACACUGGUUUCUGUAGUCUGAAACCUUGCUGUGCCAAAGGUGAGAUGCCUGCAAUUUUAUUGUUCCCUCUGAGCUGUCCUGGAACAAAUGUAGUUUGCCCUAAGCCUUCCAUCUGGCAGAGAUCUUUCUUUUUCUCUGUGGAGCGACACAUCAAAUGGAAUAUAUAUAUAUAUUGUGGGGGGUUGGACAAAGUUUUAAAACGGAAACCCAAAGUGUUUCUGAAUGCUCUGGAACAAAAGAUUACAUGGGAUCUAUUUGCAGCAAUGGAAAGCAUUAAAAUAAAUUGGUAUUUGGGAGAUCUGAAAGGAUGCCAUUGGUUGUCACUAACACAAAGACUGGAAUGUCACAGAUGCAAGUAGAUGGAUUCCCAGUCCCAUUGAAUUUCAAACUAGCUGAAGCAGGCAGGGAUCAGGGUUUUCCUUCUCCUCUUGUCAGAUAUCUUAGAUAGCAUGUCUGAUCAUCAUGUGGGAAAGGAAGUGCAUGUUUAAUCACCAUGUGGGAAAGGAAGCAUUUCAACCUCCACCUUUAACAGCAGACACUAAAUUGUGUCUAGAAACAUGAAUUAAAACUACCAGUAGAUUCCUAAUGCAGCAAGAAGAGAGUGAAGCGGUUCUGCUGCAAAUUGUGGUAAUUGGUUGAAAAUCAAGUGGCAGAGCUUCUACUUCUACUUUAAUUAUUCCCUGUAAUGCAGAAUGACUGAGCAUAUUUGGAGAGAUUCUGCAAGCAGACAAAAUGGAAAAUGUACCUCUGAUUGCAUCCGUUUUGCAUCUUGCACUCUAUUUCCCGGGGCUCUUGCCAACAUUCUCUUCCAGCAACAGGAGCUACAUCUACAUUUGCAAGUCCAUUACCACAAUUUCUACUGAGUUGAAAGCCUCUGAACUUUAAAUGCAUGGCUCUCCUGCAAGGACUGGACCAUAAAGAAGGCUGAUCGCCGAAGAAUUGAUGCUUUUGAAUUAUGGUGCUGGAGGAGACUCUUGAGAGUCCCAUGGACUGCAAGAAGAUCAAACCUAUCCAUUCUGAAGGAAAUCAGACCUGAGUGCUCACUGGAAGCACAGAUCGUGAAGCUGAGGCUCCAAUACUUUGGCCACCUCAUGAGAAGAGAAGACUCCCUGGAAAAGACCCUGAUGUUGGGAAAGAUGGAGGGCACAAAGAGAAGGGGACGACAGAGGACGAGAUGGUUGGAUAGUGUCUUCGAAGCUACAAACAUGAGUCUGACCAAACUGCAGGAGGCAGUGGAAGACAGAAGUGCCUGACGUGCUCUGGUCCAUGGGGUCACGAAGAGUCGGACACGACUAAACAACAACAUCCUGCAAGGAUAGGAUAGUGUCUCCUCUGAGACAUAAUCCCUUCAACUUGCUUUUAAAAAUAUCUGUGUGAAUUCUGGGAUGGGGGAGGACACCCACACCCACCCACCCACCCCCACCACAAACCUUGCUGGCUUAAAGGUGAUCAUCUGAUGAAGAACCGUCAUAAGCCCCCAAGGAACCACAACUGGCUUGUCCUGUCAUUGCUUCAUUCCAUUAAUUUAUUGGAUGAAGAUUAUUUGCCAGCCAUAAAAAGAAAGCCAGGACAACAUUUAAUCAUAUAAGCUUGCAAGAGCAGACAGUUCCAGAUGUGAAGGGAGGCACAUCUUUACUUUCAGCACAUAGUAUAUUUUUCUUAUUACGACAAAAUAUGCUUAAAAUAAUGCACAGGGCCCCUUGUGAGUUUCAGUAAAACUAUGAAAUUUUAUUUCCGUGCUGAUAUGGCACAAGGCCUGUAGGCUGCCUGGAGAACGAAGGAACAAACAAAUUAGAAUAACAACUAUGGCUUUAUCACAAGGCGAAUUAUACCUUGUGUCCUCAUGAACCCCCAUUUUAGAAAAUAUGCUCCUAUGGAGUUUGUCACUCUGUGCCUUAAGUUGAUAUUUGGCAGAAUGGAAGCCUUCUGGGAGAUUACUUCUGUGCCAUAGACACAGCUGCACAGAGCCAUCUGCACAGAGCUUCACUUGUGCUUGAAUCCAUUGUGCUGAUUAAAUCCGGAGAAAGGAAUCGGGAUACUACCAUUGACCUACAAUAAAUACUGUUACCAUGGGAUGUAGGGGGAGAUUGACAGUAACUUGUAGGUAGCAGAAAUUUCACAGCCCCCUGGGUUACAGCCAUAUCCCUUCCUUGGCAUUAAAAUUUGGUGAAAGCAGCCAAAACAAAGCAAGUUGUGCAUGCCUUGGGUUUGAGAGUCAUUAGUACAACCUACUUGCCUGUAGAGGACAUUUACUUUUUUAGGUCGGAAAUUAUUAUUUGGCCAGCAUUUAAUUCAGUGGCUAUGUGGAGCAUCAGCUACAGGCUUUAAACUGCAGCUGGGACUAUUCACCUCCUGUUUAACUUUUUAUUUACCUUGAAGCUUUAUCAUUGGGGUUGAGAUGCUUUCUCAGCUGGGCCUCCCCGCCAAAGGAUUCCUUCCUCCCCCUGCUAGGGGCACCGCUUUAAGAAGCCUUGCUGCACCCUUCAGGUACCUAUUCCUGCUUUUAUCUACUCCACCUUCCACCAGAGAUCACUGCAUCACCCUGUUGAAUGGCAGGACAAAGUGCACCUUCAUCUGCUGGAUGUUGCUGCUGAUGAAAGAGGGAAAUGAGAGAGACUGACAUUGGUCUAUAGCAGCUAACAAGUUUGUUGUGGUGGUUUAGCAGCUUCUGAUAGUGAGCACUUGGAACUCCAGCAGCACUAAUUCCCUUAAUUCUGUGUUGGUUCCUCAGGGAGGGAGCAUAGAAUUGGGAACUUCAACUGAAUGGAGAAAUGCCUUGUUUUGACACGAAGGCUGCGUACACAUGAUAUUUUAUUCUAGAAUCAAUGUAGACUGAGCACUCAUUUUUCCAUAUAGUCCACACACUAUCAAGAGCUAUUGCAAAUUGUUUGCCCCUGAAAAUUUUCGCUUCUUGAUAUUCCCCAAAAGAAAAGUUCACUGUAGAUUCAAGCGUGUCCAUUAGAAAACAGAUGAAAACAGUAACAGUUGUAGGUAGUCCCAGCAACUGGGGUGAGUAGCCACACCUGCCCAAUAACAUUGUAGGUGAGCAUAUAGCAAGACUGCCACCACCACUUCCUCCUUCACUCACCUGGGGCAUGUGAAGGGGAGAAAAGGCAUGGAUAACUUAAGCAAGGGGAGGGUUUUCAAAUUCAUAUCAGGUAAUCAUACUUGCUCUUGUGGACAGCAAAUUCUAGAAUCAAUCUAGAUUGAAAGCAGCGUGUUGAGGAUGAGCAUGAGCGAUUCAAGUCAUUAUUUGUGCUAAAAACAAGUUAGUGCGUAUGUGGCCUGUGUAUGAUGAGCACCCAAUCAGGAAUGUGAGGUGGAGGCAGCUAUAAGUGGAGAUGGCCAUAGGGCAGAACAGCUCACCUCUUAAUUAAAUAGUUUCACUCUGCUGUUGGUUUCUGUCUACUUUCUUUUAGCCUCUUCAUCUCUAGGCCAUCCCAGAACAGCACUCUUGAUGCCUUCCCAUCCUCAUCUGAAUCAAAGUCUUAGAGUCCAUUCAUUAUAUGUACAGUGGUACCCCAGGUUACAUACGCUUCAGGUUACAGACUCCGCUAACCCAGAAAUAGUACCUUGGGUUAAGAACUUUGCUUCAGGAUGAGAACAGAAAUCAUGCUCCGGCGGCGCGGCAGCAGUGGGAGGCCCCAUUAGCUAAAGUGGUGCUUCAGGUUAAGAACAGUUUCAGGUUAAGAACGGAUCUCCGGAAUGAAUUAAGUACGUAACCAGAGGUACCACUGUACUCCCAUUCAGCUUCUCUUGCCUUGCCUUGCCUCUUCCUCCGGCCAGCUCUUUAAAGUCUCUCCUAACUGCUAAAAUUUAGAUUAUAAAUUCAUUUUGGGGGGCUUAUGUUACUCUGUAAAGUGCCAUUUGUGCUUGCGUUGUUGCCUGAAUUAGUGCAUAUUAAAUAAUAAAGUAAAAACAGUAUGGAGCGGUAUGACAAACAGCUGAUUCAAGUGCCAACACAGCUUUAAAAUCACCUGUCUAAAUUGCCGAAUCCCCUAAAAUGUCUGAAAAUCUCAGACGCAGUGUUGAAUUCAUAAGGUGACCAGCAACCUUUCCCUUUUUGUCUUGUGGUGAGCUGUUUGUCAGAUGGGGUUCUCAGGGUGGGGUGGGGGUGGGGAUGGGGAUGGGGAUGGGGAAUGGCUUUCUCUAACAUCCUUUGUAUGUCAGGAGGAGUCAUACCGGAGGCAAACCUGCACAGCAUGCAGACCAUUCUGAGGUGGAUUGCCCCUGCCUGUCAGACAGCAAUCACUCCAGGAACACGAUCAGCACUCCAGAGAUGUCUUCGGCUGAUUUGUGUUCCAAUUUGAAUAAGUUCCAGGAAUACCAGCCCUCAUACCCCAUUACAUUCCCUUAGUGUAUUUCUAGCCCAGUUAUUUUUUCCGCUUCGAGAAACCAUUCAUUGUUCUGCUCAGACAGCUUUGAUAAGGAAGCCAGAGAUGAUCAGGUCCUUUUUAAAAAGUUAGUCUGCAGUUAGCAAUGUCUGUCACAUAAUUGCAUGGGCUCAGGUUGAUUCCUAGCUCUCUUGCAAAUAUGGAAUCUUUAAAGGCAGCAAGCCUGGGCUCACUUUCUCUGAAUGGAGCUGCUGGUCUGUAGGCAGCCAUGCAGCUUAAGACAGAGGGGGGCAACUAGCUAUUUUAAACCUGUAAAUGGCACCAGCUUGCUCUUGAGUCUACUGUUGUCCUAUUCACACAGUAACUUCAGCAUCUUUCUACAUUCCCAUCUCUUUAUGCCACCUUCUGCUCUCCCCCAAACACAGCAUCUGUUCCACAGCAGUGUAUGCGGAGAUUCUGCACCUUCCCAGGACUUUGCCCCCUUUUUAGGUGUCUUCUGUUUUCCCAAGGGCGACUCACCAGACAGUUAUAUGCUCACUAAUUAUCUUUGAAAAUGUGAUACUGCCUUCUGGUUAGGAAUGGAGGAAUCUCUCAAUUUCAGUUUCUCUAAAUUUCUAAUCCCCCCCCCCAACUUAUGUGGAAGUGCGACAAACUGAACUUGAGUUUGUACUUUUGUAAAACUCCCUACAAUAAUGAUUCAGUUGUCCAGUGUACAUUUCCCCUAACAGACACAUUUUUACCUAAUACACACAUUUGUGAAAACAAUUUUCUCCUAAUAUAAUGUAUUUUUGUCCUUCUCCAUUAAUAUAUUGUUAUAGGACUGGGGGUUGGUUUAGAGUUAGAUGAUGUCCUGGGAAUCCCAACCAAGCCUGUAAUUGUAGCAGAGGGAACCUCCUGAACUGGUUCAACUAGUCAUUUUGCAGGAUAAUGCCCCUAGCUGGCCUAGCUAAAUACCCCAUUAGUAUUCUAAAGAGUGGGCCAUGUUGCCAUAGAAACAGGUGAGUGGGCCCUUCCCACACCUCCACCUGGCUGGAUGCUGCUUCAUCCUAGGAAGAACAAUUGGCCAAUAUUAGGUAAAGAGGUAAAGGCGACUAUGGGGUGCAGCGCUCAUCUUGCUUCAGGCCGAGGGAGCCAGUGUUUGUACACAGACAGCUUUCCGGGUCAUGUGUCCAGCAUGACUAAACCGCUUCUUGCGCAAUGGAACAUCUUGAUGGAAGCCAUGGCACACGGAAACGCCAUUUCCCUUCCUGCCACAGUGGUACCUAUUUAUCUACUUGCACUGGUGUGCUUUCGAACUGCUAGGUUGGCAGAAGCUGGGACAGAGCAACGGGAGCUCACCCAGUCAUGGGGAUUCAAACUGCCAACCUUCCGAUCAGCAAGCCCAAGAGGCUCAGUGGUUUAGACCACUGCACCACCCAUGCCCCUAGACCAGUAUGAUACAUGAAGACUCCAUGAUAGUUUGAAAACUAAGAGUGUGAAAGGAAUAAUUGUAAAUUGCAGCUUGGAAAGUUUUAGGCUUAGCGAAGUUCAGAUAAGAUUAGCUUUAUGCUGCAUAGUGGCACAGAAAUAUCAGGCCCUCAGCUUUGCCACUAUUUGAUCCUUUAUUGAUCUGCUCCAUGCCUUUCCAAUUUUUGAUACUGUAGGUUAUUCCAUUCAUGAUUGCACACAAAUAAAUCCCCUGCUGCAUUAGCCCUUCAACUCUGGGCUUGGUGAGAUAAGGCAAACUUCACUUUGUUUACUCCUCCGUGCAAUAAGUCAGAGGUAUACAGCAUCUUUGCUCAGAAUCCUGCAGCCACUUUCUAGCAUUGACCUUUUAUCCCAACCCAGGUCUGCUGUUGCUAGUUUAAUGUAAUUGUUUAUUUUGCAGUCUUGCUUUAUAUAUCCAAGUUCCCGAAAGGAAAGAGGAAUUAUCCCGUAACAGUUAAUACUGGCCCCUUUCAGGCUUUUGAUCCAAGGGAGAAUCGGGCAUGACAGAGCCAGGACUACUCAGGAAGAUGCAGAUGAAAUGAAAUCAUUCUUGAGAAGUGCCACAAACUGCUCUGGCUAAAGGACAGCUAAGAGAUAAGAAACCCAUUGAUUUCCAUGGGGUUAAGCACAUGUAGCUCUGCGCUAGUGUGUUUAUGCACCGAUGACCUAUCCAUUGUGUGCCUCAGUUGUGCGACAUAGCAUACCACACAUGUUUAGAGCAAGUAUUAUUGUUCAGUCCAAUAUAUCAUAAGGUCACUGCUUACAUAAAUACGUGCCUCCUGUUCAUACAUCAUUCAUUUUGCUGUGCUAACGCCGUCCCAUUCUGCCCAACACACUCAAGAGUUAUGAAUAUGCAAACCAAUUAUUGUUAUUAUGAUGGGUAGGAUGCGUGCAGAGAGAAGGGGUGUCCAUUCCGGGGACCCCCAUGUCAGGGCUGGAAGGAAAGAAGGUCUUAUCCUUACAGCAAGUAACCUCAACUGCAGUAUUUUGCCCUUCCCACUCGUAAUGAAUGCCAAUCAUUUGCUUACAUGUGAGAUAGUAAAAGGGUACACUCAGAGAAGAAGCUAAACCUGUUUCCCCCCUGGUGACACAAGAACUGAACUUUCUCCUGUCUGCAUAGUUUCACCCUAGUUUCUGUAUCUGACAGGAUGUUGGGGGAAAGUAGCCACAUGCUGGGAAGUGGUUUGCAGACAGAAAGAAAGGUUAUUUAUUAAUUAAAUGCCUUUUGAGUUAACAUCUAUAGGAUGGUGUAGUUAAUCUCCUUCCUUUGAUCAAUCCAGGAGACAGCGAUUGCCAGUCCAGUCUGCCAUUAGGAUAGCUUCCCCUUGUAGAAAUUAAGGUCAACUACCCUUAAUAAGGCUGCCCUCCAUCUGUUUUGUCAGGGUAGAAACUCUCUCACAGUGCUUGUAGAACCUGGACAAGGUAGGCCAAGACGUUUUGCUGCCUGAGGCUGAGCAGCAAAUAGCGCUCGCUUGGAGUCAAGGUGCAUAGUACCUACCGGUAAGUUGUUUUGGCACUAGGACAGAAAGUCCUGCAAAUUCUUCUCCCUCACUCUGGCAAAAAAUAAAAAAAUAAAAAAGAACAGUAAGACUGCAUAAACACCAUACAUUUAAAACAUAUUUAAACACUUUCUCCCACUUCCAAAAUCCUAGAAACUGUAGUUGACCUCACCACAGAGCUACAAUUCCCAGCACUCUUAACAAACCAUGGUUCCCAAGAUUCUUGGAGGGGGGAAUGUAUGGUGUACAUGCGGAGUAAUACACUAACAAUUUACUGCUGUGACUUCCCAGACUAGCUACCUGAGGUGACCACUUGAGUUUGCCUCAUAGUAUGAACACCUCUCUUAAAAAGCAGAGACAUCACCUUGCCAACACAGGUCAGUAUAGUUAAAGCUAUGGUUUUCCCAGUAGUGAUGUAUGGAAGUGAGAGCUGGACCAUCAAGAAGGCUGAUCGCCAAAGAAUUGAUGCUUUUGAAUUAUGGUGCUGGAGGAGACUCUUGAGAGUCCCAUGGACUGCAAGAAGAACAAACCUAUCCAUUCUUAAGGAAAUCCGCCCUGACUGCUCAGUGGAAGGACAGAUCGUGAAGCUGAGGCUCCAAUACUUUGGCCACCUCAUGAGAAGAGAAGACUCCCUGGAAAAGACCCUGAUGCUGGGAAAGAUGGAGGGCACAAGGAGAAGGGGACGACAGAGGACGAGAUGGUUGGACAGUGUUCUCGAAGCUACCAGCAUGAGUUUGACCAAACUGCGGGAGGCAGUGGAAGACAGGAGUGCCUGGCGUGCUCUGGUCCAUGGGGUCACGAAGAGUCGGACACGACUAAACGACUAAACAACAACAACAUGAACACCUCUGGACCUGAACAAAUAUUGCACUACCAGUUUAAUGGAAGGAAAGUACAAAGAUUAUCACGGAACAAACCUCUUUUGGGGCAUUAGCUUUCAGUUAGAAUUCUUUAGAUUUGUCAAUAACAUCAGUAAACCUCUUGUAGAGGUCAAAUAAGUUGUUGCAAAGGCGACUGAAAAAUAAAAGGUAACACUUGCAGAAACCAACUAAUUUAGCAAUAUGAUAAUGAGCAAUCUGUUUUGACAGCUACAAAUGGGGUUAUCAAACAUAACACGUUCUGGGAAAUUGUUAAGCGAUGUUUUCUUAAAUGUUUUUGACCUGCCCAUUAAAUUUUCCCAUUCUCUGUUUUCGUAAUGAAUAAAAGAACUCUUAACAAGGGGAUUGUAGGAAAAUCUUCACUUUAGUUGGAUGCCCACAAAAUAGAGUUGACGUUGUAAAGUUAGAAGUAUGAAUCCCCAGGUAUGAAUCUAGGCAGUGAGCCAUGCAAAAGCUUAGACUUGGCUUGUUUGGGUACAGAGAUGACCUCUCUUAAUGAACAGCAGCCUGUAAGGUCAAACCAAUUAACCGAUAAGCUUUUAAUUAAAAGGGCUGCUAUGGCUUAAAGAUCACUGUCUGGAGCCAGGUAAAACAGUUUAUUUCCAAUUUAUAGUUGUUUUCCACAGAAACAGGGAACUGCGUAUUAAAUGCAGAAGUCUGGGUUCAAUCCCAUCUCAGCCAUGAGUUCACUGGGUGGCAUUUUCUUUCACUUAGACCUCUAUUUGUGAAGAGGGGAUAACACUAAGCGACCUUCCUCCAAGGUUCGCUCUAAGGUUCAGUACAAUAAAGACUGCAAAGCAAUUUAUGCAACAUGUAAGGGUCUUUGCAAAUGAUUAUUACAUGCAGUAAAAAUUAGAUAGUAUUUUGAGGCAGAAAUAAAAUCUUAGGAUUUACAAAUCAAAUCUUCUUUCAGUGUUUCUUGACCCCCAUAAACACCUGUCUUCCACCUUGGAGACAGGGACUUACCACCUUAUUUUAUUUACUUGACUAGUGAAUGAUCUAUCACAGUCGAUGGAGAAUAAUGGACAGUUCAUCAGUGAGCAAUUCUUAGCUCCAUAGAACUCAGUGGGAGCCUUGGUUAGCCAUUAUUGCCUUUAGCUGCGUAGUACUGCCUGGAUUGGAUGCGGGUGGCACUGUGGGUUAAACCACAGAGCCUAGGACUUGCCGAUCAGAAGGUCGGUGGUUCGAAUCCCCGCAACGGGGUGAGCUCCCGUUGCUCGGUCCCUGCUCCUGCCAACCUAGCAGUUCGAAAGCACGUCAAAGUGCAAGUAGAUAAAUAGGUACCGCUCCGGCGGGAAGGUAAACAGCGUUUCUGUGUGCUGCUCUGGUUCGCCAGAAGUGGCUUAGUCAUGCUGGCCACAUGACCCGGAAGCUGUACACCGGCUCCCUCGGCCAAUAAAGCGAGAUGAGCAUCGCAACCCCAGAGUCGGUCACGACUGGACCUAAUGGUCAGGGGUCCCUUUACUGCCUGGAUUCUAUUUCCUGAAGCCACUGGUCUGACAGAAUGCUGUCAGUUGACUUGUAGAUACUUGUAUGCAGGGCUUUUUUUGAACCAGAGCACACCUCUUUGGUGCGUUCCGGCACCUCUUUGUAGCAUAAUGGCAGCUGUAUCGAGAGAGGCACAGUGCCCAGAGGUGCCCAGAGCUGCAUGUUGGAGGCUUCUGGGUGGGAGUUCCUGCACCUCUUUUUCUAAAAAGAAGAAGAAGCACUGCUAUUAUGCAUUCCCCACCUCCCUGGGUGGUGAGAAGUUCCAGGGACAGCGCUUACCAGGGCUUGUUUUUGUAAUAUUUGAUUUAAUUACCAGUAUAUAAGAACAGUGUAAUUGGAGGCAAGGAACACUGACUCUGCUAGUGUGAAGCAUAUCCACUGCCCCACAUCAGAUCUCCAGAGAGUGAGAGACCUGCCCACAUACUCUCAGUACCUUCACUGUAAUCCUCUUCUCUGCCCCCAAGUCUUCUGGCAUCUAUCUUUAUGUCACCUUUGCCUCCACACUUUGUAUAUGUGCUGGAGGGCCUAAACCAGGGGUCCCCAAACUAAGGCCCAUGGGCUGGAUAAGGCCUGAGGGACUCGUUUAUCCAGCCUGCGGCGACCCCCGCUACCCGCUCUUACUGGCGCUGCACUGUGUGGCUGCCCACUUCUGGGUCAGAGGAGCACCGGAAAUAGCUUGUGCACAUGCGCACAAGCUAUUUCCGGUGCUCCUCCGACCCGGAAGUGCACCGGAAAUAGCGUGUGCGCACGCGUAUGGGCACACAUUCCCCCGCCCUCCGGCCCGCUGCGCGAUUGGUGCUGGAGACACCGGCCCGAGGCGCAGUAAGUUUGCUGACCCCUGGGCCUAAACCCACAGUAUUGUAAACACUCCUCAGGGUUAUAUGCCUGCUGGGACAGUGUCAAUACUUGUCUAAGCCCACAUUCACGUCACACAUUUAAAGCGCCGUGAUACUGCUUUCAAAUUGCAUUGCUUCCCCCAAAGAAUUAUGGGACUUAUAGUUUGUUAUGGAUGCUGAGAGUUGUUAGGAGACAAUUCCUCCCCUUCCAGAGCUACAAUUUCCAGAGUUCCCUGGGAAGAGGGAUUGAUUGUUAAACCACUCUGGGAGGGGAAUAAGGGUCUCCUAACAACUCUCAGCACCUUUAACAAACUACAGUUCCGAGAAGUCUUUGGGGGAUGCCCUGGCAGUUUGAGGUGGUAUCAUAGUGCUUUAAAUAUAUGGUGUGAAUGUGGCUAAGCCUACCUCACAGUUUUCAAGGUAUUAAAAAGUUCUUUGGCACAGGAGGAAAGUGAGGGGCAGUUUCAGCCGCUUUAGGGAGUUUGUAAAGCCAAGAUGCGCUUAAACAGCUAAAAAUGGAGAGCUUUAUUUUGAGUGAGGGAGUUGGGGGGCCUUCACAAACAUCAUCGCUUUUAAUUGUUCUAGUUUGUCUAAUGUGUUAUGAAUCUUCAUUCAACAUCCUUUCAAACGCAGAUCUGCCUCACACCUGCUGCCUUGCUGUUCUCACAAUAAGAGCUGUCUCAGCUUCACACCUGCCAGCUUUGCUUUAACAGACUCUGCUGCUUUUUAUCAUAUCGGCAGUUUUUGUAACACUAAUUAAAAAUAAGUGUGCAUAUUUUCAGCCCAUUGCCAUUUUUUUUUCUGACAAAGCAGUAAUCCAGUUCUUAAGGGAAUGGAAAUAUAUCCUGGAACGUUUGUAGUCUUUCUAAAUUUCAUCCAGCCAUGCUUGUGUUCAUGAGAUUCUCAUCAUACUUUAUAUCCUUGGAAACAUUUUUUGUGGAAACUAUACAAAGCCUAAAUGUUCACUCCUUUCCCUGUUUGCUUAACUGCAUGGCUCAAGGCAGAGAUCUAAAAGGAAAAAGACCAUAUAAAUUGAGGAAAGCUUUAAUUGCAGCCAGAAGGUUUAGUAAGCAGACAUGAUUUAUCAGGAAAUAUUUAACCAUUAUGAAGCCUUAGGUGUAGUAAAAAUAACCACUAAUCUAGUAGAAUUCAAAGCUGAUGAUCUCUGUCCAUCUGGUUGUGAGGUUCUUCACAUGAUGUUAAAAAGAUGGUAAGUUUCCACACAUGAAUUCAGACCAAUAACCUAUCUAGUUCCAUAAAGUGUUGCCACCUUUAACUUGGCAGAUAAUGGGCAGUGUUAAACCUUCGUCCAGGCUCCCACCACAUAAAUUUCGGGCAUAUUGGUUUACUCAACUAUUUUAUAUCACUACCUAGCAGGUCUGUUAAUACAGGCCUGCAAUUGGUGUUUUCCCCUAGCCUAAGGGAAAUGAGGGAAGGAGAUAGUCUGAGAACUGGGGAGGGCUAGACCAAGACAUUUGCUGCCUGAGGAAAAGAACACCACACUUGACCAGCAGUUAAUUCCUUCUUUUGUGCUGGCAAAAUGUUUGUCUUCCACUGCACCCCAGCUUAGGGGGCGCAAAACAAGCUGCAUGCACAUACAGCUCCUGCCCUCCAACAGAGGGGAACAACUGGGGGCUCAGGAGAAACAGCUGGAGGUGGGGGCUGCCACUAAUGGCGCCAGCAUUUGCCACCUGAAGUGGAUGCCUCACUCUGCCUAACAGUAGGGCCAGACUUGAGGCUGGGCUGAUCUUAAAAGAGUGCUUUUCAGUUAACCUCAUUGAACCUUAAUAUAACACACAGCCUUUGUCCGCAUGUCUGCAGGCAAGACUCAAGACAUGGAAUGACCUUGCUUAAGGUCAUACAAGAAAUGUAUAUGGUUGAGAUUGGAACCAAUCCCACUUUCCUUGAACCUGAGUCUUAAUCACAUUAUCAUCUUUCCUGGGAGACUAUCUCCCUCAUCGAGCUAGGCUAUCUUGACAUCAUACAACCUUUUACAGCAGAAUAGGAAAGGAUGGAGGCGAGAUACUGGUUUGUGUGUCAUGGAGAUAAUCUACUUUAUUACAAAGACAGAUGGGACUCCUGGUAUUUCAGUGACUGGAAAGAGCUCUGACAAUGACAUAUUGAGGAGCUUGCUGCAGCCAUUCUGUGCCAAAAUUAUUUGCUACCAGAAUUCCUGGUGACAGUUAAAUACACGCUGGGAAACCUCUAGAGAUGAAAGAGCCUCUUGUGAGGGGCCGGAUAUGUGACAAGCAAAUAGCUUUAUCCCUUGUGAAAUACAGUUUCACACCAAUCAUUUUAAUACAGUAGGAUGUGAGCGUUGCAUCUGGCAGGCAAGGAUCUCAUCAGCAAAAAAUAGCUGUUUGGCUCAGGAUGGCUGCUUAUUCUAUAAAUACCUUGGAACGACACAUAUCUGCAUUUUCACUUCCUUUCCCCUAAUGGAUUGGGAAAGCAAUAACUAUUUUCCCCCUACCUAGCUUGAGAUUUCUCUGCCCUCUCUGUCACCCAUUGUAGGAGCAAUGCUGCAAACUAAGUGAAGAAGCCCAGGGAGGUUUCUGAGGGACUUUCCACAGAAUGAAAGUGUGUGCGAUCUGAUCUAGACUGCGAAACUGAGGGAUGUUGUAUUUAUUCAUUCAUAUGUAUUUAUUACAUUUAUGCUCAUCUUUCCUCCAAACUGACAAACAUGGCUCUCCUCCUCCUCCCAAUUUAACCAAUUUAACCUGUGAGGUAGCUUGAGCUGGGAAGCAGUGAUUGGCCCAAAGUCACCUUUGAGUGGGGAUAUGAAUCUUGGUCUUCCAUGUCCUAGCCCAGUACUACUAUACCACACUGGUUCCUACCGCUCUCCUCACUGCUCUUGUAUCGCCAGUACUUCCUACCUGGCCUGGAAUUGGUGAGGUCUGACUGGAUUCUCUCUACUUAAAUAUUUUAUUUAAAGGUAAAGGGACCCCUGACCGUUAGGUCCAUUCGCGGACAACUCUGGGGUUGCGGCGCUCAUCUCGCUUUACUGGCUGAGGGAGCCAGCGUACAGUUUCCAGGUCAUGGGGCCAGCAAGACUAAGCCGCUUCUGGUGAACCAGAGCAGUGCAUGGAAACACAGUUUACCUUCCCGCCAGAGCGGUACCUAUUUAUCUACUUGCACUUCAUGCUUUUGAACUGCUAGGUUGGCAGGAGCAGGGACCAAGCAACGGGAACUCACCCCGUCGUGGGGAUUCGAACUUCCAACCUUCUGAUCAGCAAGCCCUAGGCUCUAUGGUUUAACCCACAGCGCCACCCACAUCCCUUAUAUAUUUUAUUUAUUAGUUGUUUAUUUUUUAAAAAAUUAACCUCACUCUUCAGCCAAAAUAGAUCCCAGAAUAGCUUAAAUAAUAUUAAUAACAAACAAAGCCCCCAGGCUGCCACAACAUAAAAGGAAAAAGGGGAUGAGGAGGGAAGAGGGAAACUGUCAAACUCAGUUCUUAAAGUUACGUUGCUCUUAUAGAAACUGUUCAGGGAGAGUAGGAGCCAAAUGGAGUUGGCGUUUCAACAGCACUGAUGAGGUGGACACUGUUUCCCAUCUCUCCUGCUCCAGCUGGGUGGAAUGGUUGCUGUUGCUUGGAAGAGAUGGGUUCGCAAGUCUGUGCUGUGGUAACAUGGUAAGCCAAACCACCAACCUGUUUCCCAACAGCAGGAUCAGCAGCGUGCACCAGCAUGUUGUUUGUACACCUUAAACUAUCAUUUAUUUUAGCUAUGGUUUAAUGUGACGGGCAAACCAGGCAAAUGGGUGUAAUGUCGGGCAGAAAAAAAUGGCAUUUUCAAAUACCGCAGUUUGAGUACUGAGAAAAUGCAACAUCUUCACAACUGAAGUGAAGCCUUGCGCUAAGAUAUGUGGCCUUUGUGAAAUGAGAAACAAGUGCAUAUUUAUGUUGUGUACUGCAGAGGAGAACGAUUGUACAGAAGGGCUCUUAAGAGGGAAGAAUCACCACGUGAAAGGAAACAUUUAUUGCUAUGCAUAGCAUAUGCAGUGGGCUUAGUCUUGAAUCUGUUUUCUCGCGCUGCAGGACUGCAAAAUAGAUUUCUUUUCUCUGUGGCUACUAAUUGGAUUUAGAUAAGCAGAUUUAGAGAUGACCAUUAGAAUUUGUAGGGGAAAUGAAUCAAACACUAUCUUUGAUCUUAUUCCACUGAAGACAAGGGACUUUUUCCUGAUACGUUUUAGCUCAAUAGCAGUUUUAGACUUGCCCUGCUUAGAAGCCUUGCCUAGACUUUAGAAUAUGGGAAAAGCAAACUAUUCCUUAUGCCCUUCUGACAUGGGCAAGAUCAGCAUGGUUUAUUUUUCCCUAUGGGCCUUUUUUCACCUGUGGUUGCUGAUCAAUAAUUUAAUCAAGGUUUCCUCCACCUUACUUCCAUUUAUGUACUAGGCACCUUACGGGGCAAUCUGUUUCCAAGGUCUACAUCAGUUUAUCCCAGAUGAGAAUUUGGCUCCCUAACUAUAUACAGUAGCUGUGAUCAGUGCAGAAAUAUGGAUGGAAAUACAUGGCCACUUCAGGAUGUGUUUAGUAUGUGCCACACAGCAACUGUGAUCGCAUGAUUUCAUCGAUGCAUGCUUAAUAUCCAGUUUCACUGGUUGGACAAAAGUGGGUUUUCCUGGGGUAUGCAGUAUGGUAACAUGAUUUGGCUGGUUUUGUAACAGCAUGCAACAUAUUUAAAAUGCAGUACCAUGGAGACUUCUGUGCACUGUCCUAGUUUAAUCUUCAUACCCUCAUUAUUAUGAGGCAUUUGGUUUAUUAUGUUUUGGUGCUGAACUAAGCACUUGUAAAAUGAAGGACUCUGAUAAAGACAUAUUUGAUAGAUGAAAUACAACAUUUUACAUUCUUCAGAAAGAAAGAAAAAAGACUAUCAUAGGUUUCUUGAGAAUUUCAUGAUGGGAAACAAUAGGAGGUAAAAAUCCACACCCACUCCAGUUGACACAUAAGUAUUAAGAGUACUAAGUAUUAAUACACAAGAGUAUUAAGGGAGGUGGCAUAAACUGCAAGUAUAGAUAUGAAUGGUUGUCUAAAAUGGGGCAUAAACACACCAUUUGGCCCAUUAGGUCAUUCUCAGAUACCAGUCUCUUGUCCUACUGGUUGAGUGCUUUGGCACUUAACCAGGAGUGCAGAAAGGAUCCUUGGGAGAAUAAUAUAACAUAUCAUCAACAACAAAAUAAGGUAGAAGGAAGAUUGCACAACUGGCAUUUGUUCUGUCCUGGUUCCCGUCAGCCAUGUGGACAGAAAGGGGUCACACCACCAUUUUAAAUCUGCAAAUCUGAAAUGCAGUGAUGUGAAACAUUGAAACACUACACUGGUCCUGAAACAGAAGUCAUCUGGAAAUGCCUUUGGUAAGCAGCACUUUCAAUAAUGUCCUCAUCAAUUCUGAAUUAGAGUGUAUUGAAAUAUUUAAUCUUUGUGAGGUGAAGCAUCAUUGACUUCCCAUAGCACUCUCAGCUAUCUUUCCAAUCUGUCUUGAAUUUGAAGAGACCACCCUGCCUGCCAGCUACAAGGGCAAUUCAAAAUCCAAAUGUCAGUGUUGGCAAGCCUAAAAUAGAAAGAAGCAAUAGGAAGAACUCCUGGCUUUUACAGAUAUCAAACCCUUUCAUGAUAUCUGUAAAAACAAUUCCAUGUCUUCACCACUAAAUCCAAAUGUGGUUAGUCUGUGGGGUGUGUGUGUGUUCUCCUUAGCUUUAUGAAGACUUUUCUAGGUGGACAGUUUGGAAGACUUAAUCUUGCAUGUUAGUAAGUCUAGCAAAGGAGUUUUUUCAUGACAAAGAUAGAUCUCAGCAGAAUGUCCUCAAGUAUUUCUCAUAAAUCACUGCAAUAGAAAGCUCAAUUAUUCUCGGGGAAGAAAGGUAUUUACACAGAAAAACAAAAAACAAAACAAACAUGACAGUGUUUAGCUGUUCCACAUUUGGGCUUUCAAAAACAUUUUUUUUUGGUUGAGGACCUUCUUCAUUAGCAGUGCCAGAUUAUUCUUUCGGAUAUGCGUUUUCCGGGUAAUUGUCCACUUAACAAUCUAGUGCCUUAAUGACAGUACAGUGUGGAGAGCUCUUUACUUAGAUUUAUGCCUUUCCUGGACCUGGGUGUAUGAUGCACAGACAAGGAUUCUGGGAUGUGUAACUGGUUCUUCCACGUCAAGAGCCAACUGUAAAGAAUGAGUGCCUCUACCUUUAGGGCUAUUCCUGAACUGUUUUGCAGGAAAGUUGGAACUUCUCUUUUGAACGUUUGCAGGUGGCAGUGGAGUUAUCCUUUUCUAGGGACGGAAGACUAAUUGGUUUGGUACACCUAUUAAUGUGAGCCCACCUAAUUUGGACCUCUUGAAACAAUGAAUGAAUUGAAACACAGCUAUCCCCUCCCCCCCCGAACAUGAGCUUCUUUGAUUUUUACAAUGUAGUUCUCCAACUAAGUGCAUAUACUAAGGGAGAGUGUGUGUGUGAAAAUCAUGUCUAUGUGAAAACAUUUAAAAAUGCAUUAUAUUAGGGAAUAUUGAAAACAAAAAUAUGUAUGUUAGGAUAAAUGCACACAAAAAUGCUGAUUAAGUUUUAAGAGGACUUAAAAAAUAAAUCACAAACUGAUGCAGAAAUGUGAACUGCACUUAAAGUUGGAAAAAUGAAAAAACUGGGAGAAACUGAUAUGGACAGAUUCAUCCAUCCCUAGCUUCUUCACAAUUGAUUUGUCUGUCAAAUAACCUCUGUGUAUCUGCAAUGGAAUUCUUGCAUGCUGCAGAGAAUGCAGUUAAUAAUGGAAGCCAUGCUUGUGGGAGGGGGUAAGAUGAAGCAGACGAUGUGCAGACAGGAAGAAACUAAUGCAGAAGAGUGAUGUGGAAGAAUGAUUAGGUGGUAGAAUUUGUCUCAGACUGCAGGUGGGGUUUUUUUUUUACAAUUUUUAAAUCUUCUAUCUGUCUCAAAAAAACCACCCCUAUUUAAAAACAGAAAACUAGCAUACGGGAAGAAACAGCCCAUUUCAUGUCCUCUUCCCCCACAUCCUCGCUGCAUUGGAGUGGAGGGUCUGAAGUGGUGAGCUUACUGGGAAGGAUCUUAGCUCAAUGGUAGAUCUCAAGUUCAAACCCCGGCUUCUCCAGGUAGGACUGGCAAUGCCCACUAUCUGAAACCCUGAAAAUUUCAAUACAAUUGUAUUUAUGUGAGGAGAGAGUGUCUCUCCCCCUGCCCCCAAAGGGCAAGUAUGGCUGAUCAGUGACUGUAAAGUGCCUUUGCAGGAGCUGACAGUCCACUGAGCUUCACCGGAUAUAGUAGUGAUACCAGGCGACUGACAGUUGGGUAGCCACGCCUCCUAGUCACAAUUGCCCAGGGUGGUUGGGGGGAAGUUAGGCUCUGGCCUCUAUUUUUUUUAUUUCCCCUUUUUCUGCAUUCUAGGUUUUAGUCUUCUUUCUACCAUUUCCUGAAGGCAAUAUUUUUCACAGAGGGCUGCAUAUAACUUCACUUUUGAGCUUUUGAUUGCUAACAACAACAACAACAACAACAACACCAAUAAUAAUAAUAGUAAAUUUUAUUUAUACCCUGCCCUCCCCAGCCAGAGCUGGGCUCAGGGUGGCUAACAACAGUAAAAUUACAGUAAAAACAUAAUAGGGGGGAAAACUCCAAUUUAAAAUACAGGUUAAAAUGCAAUUUAAAAUGCAGCCUCAUCAAAACCAUAAGGGGAGGGAAACAUAAGGGUCAGACUGAGUCCAAACCAAAGGCCAGGUGGAACAGCCCUGUCUUGCAGGCCCUGCGGAAAGAUGUCAAGCCCUGCAGGGCCCUAGUCUCUUGUGACAGAGCGUUCCAUCAAGUCGGGGCCAGUACUGAAAAGGCCCUGGCCCUAGUUGUGACCAAUCUAACCACCUUGCGACCUGGGACCUCCAUGAGGCAAAAAAGAGAGAUUUUAUUAAAUUAAUAUUGCUAUUUGAAUGAGAAUACACACACACACACUACCCAGUCAACCCUUACAGGUUAUGUUUUAUCAUAUGACUGCAUUCCCUGGGUGCAUUUCAUCUUAACCCCCCCAAAAAAGAGUGAAUAUUAUGGAAUGAAACAUGCCUGCUCAUAAAAAUGAUCUAGACAAUUAUGAAAUUAUGAAAUCCUUCAGCCACCUGGUUUUAUUGACCUGUUCCACACUCUGAUUCACAUUUCUUUUGUGACUUGAGCCAAUGUGGCUGAUAUGUAAAUUAUAAACAUGAAGCAGUUUGAGGAAAAUUUAUGAACUCCUAUUUUGGUUGUGGAAAUACAAUUCCCCCUUCCUUUCCCCCCCUUCCCUUUUCUGCUAGCUUCAAGAUUUGCAGGUUAAACAGAGCCUCAUUAAUUCUGCAGAGGGUGCCAGUAAGAACUGUGGAGAUAAUUUAGAGACCCAAUAUGUAGAUAACAAAUCUAGGAAAUUGCAGCUACAGCAACAAGACUGCACUUUAAUGCCUUUCCUUUCUGAUGUACAUAACUCCAUUGUAUUCUUACCAAGUAGAUCCAAAUGUCCCUUUAGAAAAUCAUAUCAGCCGAUAACUCUAAUAAUCUAGAUAUGCUUCUAAUGGAAAGCCUGGUGGCAGGCUGUGCAAGCCAAGUGCACACUUAAUGACAGGCGGGUCUCCUGGACCUUAUCGGAGGAAAAGGCUCAGACGUUGUGAAACUUCACAACUGCAUUAAACUGUUGUAGUUCAUCUGAGAAUGAAUUAUUCCAGAAUGCAGCCAUCCUAAUUGGACAACAGCAGCUCUACUAGCAUAUGUUGACAAGGUGCACCACAUGUUUAAUGUACCCAUGUUUGGGCACCAGACAGCUGCAUCUGGUGACAAAUAGAUCCAUAGUUAGACACCUCCAGUCAGCGGUGUAUCUAGCUGCUUGGGCACCCGGGGGCAGUGUUUGCACCCUGCGCACAUGCACCACACAUGGGGCGAGGCGAGCCAUUGGGGUGGGGUGCGCCAUUCUAGAGCCCCGUUCGCAACCUGAGCAGAAUGCAACCUGCGUCUGUGCGUGCGCAGGUCGCGAUUUGCCGCUUCUGCGCAUGCGCGUGACAUCAUUUUGAGCGUCUGCGCAUGCUCGAGCGGCGAAACCUGGAAGUAACCCUUUCCUGUACUUCCGGGUCACCACGGGACGCAACCUGAAAACGCUCAACCUGAAGCAAACGCAACAUGAGGUAUGACUGUACUUUUUUGAGCGGCGCGGAGCCUGCAGAGAGUCUGUCCGCCGUCUUCCCCUCAGUACUCCAAGCCUGAUGUUUAUUGUCACCCCCCAGUUUUGAUGCUGCUUCCUGUAUGCAAGUGUUUCUCAUAGCAUAAUGUUUGGACUGACUAUGAAAUGCAGCAAAGCUGGAAGGACCAACAAAUCUAUUUUAAUUUAUCGUCUCUUUCAGUUCUCUCCCUUAUUACUUCAGAUGGGCUGCUCUUAAAUUCCAAGAUGCAGGCUCCCAAGACCUUAAAUUAAAGCCUGGCUGUCUCAGAGCAAGUAUAUCUAGCAAUCAGGCAGAUCUCCACAUCAGUGUGAAAGCUCUGGCCAUUUAAAGCAACAAUACCCCCCCUUCUUUCCUUUGCUCUUUUGACUCUAUCUUGUUGGUGAGGGUAUGCAUUUAUUUCUUCCUUUCCAACACAUGGACUACAAAGUUUUUCGCUGUGAAUGUUCAUGAGUUAACAAACAUGGUCAUGUAAUUCAGCAAGAAUCUUAUCCUUCCCCCAAAAUGAAGAACUGGUAAUAAAACCAGGACAACUAUUAAUAUAUAAAUAAAUGAUGAUUGCAGUCCCUCAAUCUCCAAGAAGUUGGCUGAAAAACAGAUUUACAAGGCUGAGUGGCAUUUACUUUCCUAUCUGUCAAUAUUUGAAAGGACUUGUUACAGUGCAGUGCCAAGUUUAAAAUGAAUUAAGUGGUUAAUGGAAAUAUUAAAAUAGAAUUAAUCUGACUAACUAAAUAAACUCAGUAGUCUGUGUUCUGUAUGCUUUGAGGUGGCUUAAUGCACUUGCUGAAACAAAGCCAUGGCAUAAAACUGUCUUGCGCUUUCUGUUUUGGUGCAGUUGGUUAUUAAUUUGAUGUUCUGUUGCCAAGAACUGUUGGAGCAUACUUAUGGAUCAGCUCACAACUAAUACGGAGCACAAACGUGCCCUGGCCACAGGUGUCAUGCACUCAUGUCAAUGUGCUUUUGAGAACACAGACCUGACAGGCAGGCUUUCUGGCUGGCGAGCAAGCAUUCUGGAGGUACUAUUCUGGAAGUAGGAUGGCUAGGCGAAAAAAGGCGAUAGGACACCUGUACCUUUAACUGUUGUGCUGAACAAGGAAAAGGUGCUCCUACACCUUCAAUAGUUAUGCGGAAGGUGGCGUUUCUGCUGGAGUAGAUUGCAUGACCUGCUAAAUUUCCCACUUUUACAAUACUUUGAAGGAUGCAGCAGCCCUGUCCCCUUUUUAAAAAAAUCUGGCUGCCUCCUCUCCUUGUGAUAGUCACAUUUUAGACAUUCACUACAACAUACAUGUUAAGUUGUGGGUGAACAUAUCAAACGACACAGCGAUUCUUCAGACAGCUCUUGUUUAUUCACAGGCCAGAACAGAACUGGGCUGAAGGGUUCAGCCAACCUGCUUAUAUAGAGCUCAACUACAAAGCAACAGUAACAACUCUCUGUAACUAUCCAAUCACUGAAUGUCACUUUCAAUUCCUUAUUUGCAUAUGCGGACCUGAGUGAAAACUAUCUACAGUAUCCCCCUGCUGGCUCAGGGUGAGAACUUCAGUACAUAACAAUACAUGUGAAAGGGAAGGAAGAAAUCUCUGUUAAUGUGUAUGGUGCUCUAUUUGUAUGGUGCUCAUCCUAUGCAAGAAAUCUGGUGGAAGAGAAAGUGCAGCUCACUUUUCAGGCUUCACAGUAAAGUUUUUCUGUGCUGCUGUGCCAGGCUGAUGCCAGCUUUGUGCAUCAGCCUGGCACAACACCACCUCGCACCACCCCGGUGAUCCUCCCCAGAAAAUAAGGAUAGCAGUGACUGCUGCUGCCACAGCAUUCUCUGCAGAGCGCUGUCCUUGGUGCCAUCUUCUCCCUGCAUCCCAUGUAAGCUUCUUAAGUUAAGCAGGGACAAAUGGCAGCACUCAGCUCAGCAGAGGAGUGGAGAAUGACAUGGCUGCAGCAGCUGCCAUGUUUAUUAUCCCAGCAUGCCACUGGGACACAACUCAUACUCUACUGGGGCCUAGAAGCUUUCUGGAGUAAUAGGGAUGAUGGUUGCUGCUGCAGGUCAUAUGUACCCGAGAACAUUACCGCAUGGAAAAAAGUUAGGUGCCACAUCUUUGUGCUUGGACAAUAGAUCUCAGGACAAAAAGAAAAGGGUCAAAAGACUACAACAAUGUACAAAAAGGUCAGUGUAUGCAUGUGUGUGUCUGUUACUGAUUUGCUGUACUUUUUCUUGUUGCUGAAUAAACUGGUAGCUUGUAUUUUUGUUCCAAAAAGAAAGAAAGAAAGGGAAUAAUAGCUAAGCAGUUGAUAGACUUCAGCAGUUUCUCUUCCAGCUUCCUUAUGGACAAUGGCAGUGCUUCAGUUUUAAUUUUUAAAUUAAAAAAGGUAAAUGUUUUGAGAGUAGCUGAAUAGAGUCCCUUUGUUAUUUGGUAAGAAUGAGAAGAAAUUUGGAAUGCUUUGAAGGAGCUGCGAGUUGGACAAAGAGAGAUGGCCAGGAACUACAUCCAACACAAAACCCAAAAGCAAACCUAAAGCAAAUCACAUAAGCCACUGAUCACGUUGCCAACAACAGAUCACAACACAUCUCAGAGGAACACAUAACAGAAGCAAGGCAGGAAGAUCUGCCAAAUGCCUGACCGUUUCCCCCCGCCAGCCACCACAAAACAUUUGCCUGGGCCCACAGACUUUAAAGGGCCUUUAUUUCUUAUACUGUCUUAACAUCCAGGAGCCAGGUAGCCAAUUUAUGCACAGCCCAUUCAGUCAUUUCUGAAACAAGUGGUGCAUGGCGUUUGAUGCACAAUUAACAAAUGCUGUUUUAAGUUUCACCACAAAGUAUUGGAAAUUAACAACAAGGCAACCAUAAUUGUGUUUGUGAGAUUGGGCUUUUGCUUCUUCUUUUACUUAAGUUCCCAUUUCAUAACCAAAACAACUAAUGUGUUAGGAAACAGCUGGGAACUGUUAGGCAGAAAACCACCCCUACUAUACUCACAAUGUCAGGUAGUAUCUGCUGCUAUCAUUAUCCCAAUCUUGUUGUACUAACAAUAAGAUCAUAAGUAAUUAGACCACUAUUUACCUGAGUGCCCCCCCUCCCGCCUGCUGGGACACAACAAUUGGAAGAAGCCCCACUAAUAGUUAGGCCCACCUGCACUAUAUAUUUAAAGCAGUAUCAUACAGAGCUACAGUUCCAGAGUGGUUUAGCAGUCAAUCCCUCUUCCCAGGGAACUCGGAGCUGUCAUUCUGUGAGGGGAAUAGGGGUCCCUGUGCAAUUCUCAGUACCCUUAACAAACUACCACUUUAACGGCUCUUUGGGAGAAGCCAAAGUGGCACGAUCCUGUUUUAAAUGUAUAGUGCAGAUGUCUAGUCACAGUCACAGACUGUGGGCUCCUUUGGGCUUUUGAUACCAUCCAUGAGAUAUGCCAAAGCCCUGCUUAGCUUGUGUAGCACCACCUCUGUGUCACGCUAGGGAGCCCAAGGAACAGUUUGCAAGCCCUACAGAUCCUCUGCAUGGCCUCCUCUUCCCAGGGUGCUCUUCCAGCGCUGCCAUGCAUUUUCUGGUUAAGGAAGGCCCUCUGGUGGCAAAAUCCAAGGGAAUGUUAAGCAUUUAAAAAUGGGGCCUUAAAUCCGCUGGCUAAUGUCAAUCCUGCUCAAGGCAUACUUGGUUGCAAACUAUACACCUCUGCAGUCUGACCUGGUUCCCCCUGAAGCUAUUGAGAAGCUGCUGACUUCUCUGGAAGCAGAGCGAGAAUGCACAACAUGGUAUUUUAUGAGUUUCAGCAACUGGUAUGAGAGAGAGUGUAUUUCAGGGCAAUUAGCUUGAUGUGCCUCAGGUGGUGUUUUGAACCAUUGAAUCCAAAGCCCAAACAGAACAAUUUUAAUCACUUGAACAUGAGCAAUAAUCCCCUAGACAGUCACUGCCUGGACUUGUUGGGUAGUUUAGUCAUAGUGCCCUAAAGAGACAGACGGUGCACCUGGGCGUAUAAAAUAGUUCCAUUCUCUCGCCUCUCCCUCUCAUCUGCUCUGAGCUAGCAGGUCUUCAGAUAGAUGAACAAUUUGGACGGUCAAAAUACCUUAACCCAAGGGCAGCCAGUGUUGCACCCUUUAGAUGUUGUGGACUACAACUCCCAUAAUUUCAGACCGUUCCUAGGGUGGAUAGCUGUAGUCCAUAACAUCUGGAAGGCAGCUCAGCCUUAACCUAUGCCACUCUUUACUAUCUUGACUUUCCCUUUUUAUAGCUUAUUUUUGGCUGUAUUUUAUUGUCAAUGUAUUUUUCUAACCAUGUGAAUUGAAAAGCUUUUGAUGAAAAACAAAAACUGGGUUUGCGAUCUGAAAGCGGAGGAUUUCACUUCUACUUUGUUGUCAUGGCUGGGUCGCUUCCUGCUGAAGCUGAGGCUUACAGUGACUGUUCCCCUUUGCAAGGGUGAAGGACCCAUUCAGAUAGUCUACUCUCAGAAGCUAAUGGAUUCUAGUGGAUUAUGGGACCCUAGGGCAGAGGUGAGGAAACUUUCUCAGCCUGGGGGCUGCCAUUCCAAGGGCCCUAUGUCCGUGGCGGUCAGAGCCAAAGGCAAAAGUGGGAUGAGCAAUGAAUAUAAAUGUUACCUUUGUAUAGUAGGUUACUUUCUACACACACACUCGGACAAGCAAGAGGCGUUGGGCUCAUCCACACUCACUUUUUGCCCUGCUAUUUCCAGGCAGAAGUCCUUGCUUUAAUGUUCCAGAUGUGAGCAUUUCUUUGUUUCUUUCUUUUCACUUCCAAUAGGACGACAUUUGUUUAAGACGUUGGCAGAACAAACCAGAUGUCCAAAUUCAUAAUUAGACUGUGUGGUCAUGAAAUAGGUGCUUGGAAUUAUAAGACUUUUUAAAAAGCAACAAAUUAAAGUAAUUUUAUAUCCACCCCUAAAUCAGAAUUGGCAUCCCAAUGUUCUGUUGAAGACCCAGAUUUUCUUUUACACCCUGGAUUAUGCUAUUUACCAGUGGGCACUGCCUUGUGUAUUCAAUUCCAGGUAGGGAUGGGUGAAUGUGCCAAUUCCAGUUUCUCUCAUUUUCUCAUUUUUCCAAUCUUAAAUGCCUUUCUUCACAUUUCCACAUCAGUUUGUGGAUUUUAAAAAAAAAAAUAAGUCCUCACGAAAAUUCUUCAGUAUUUCUCCUAAUACACACAUUUUAAAUGCAAUUUUGCCUAAUAUACACAUGCUUGCAAAACAAUGCCCUCUAAUAUAAUGCAUUUUUGUUUGUUGUUUUCACCAAUAUAUCAAUUUUGGCGUACAUUCCUUGGCUAAAUAACUGCAUGGCAAAAUUCAGAGUGAUGCACAUUUCACAGGGUGGGUCCCUCUUGGUUUUGCCAGGUACAAAUUAGGUAGGUUUGCCUCGAAAUGCAAACUGGACUGGAUUUCUCCUCCAUCCUUAAUUCUAGUACUGUUCAAGAGCCCUGCAGCCCACCUCUUUCCACAGUGUGCAUACCAGCUGGAAAGAGGAAAGAGUUUUCUUAGUUGUUUCCAUUAAAUCCAGUCCAUUAACUAAGAUGGUUAAGACACAGCAAAGAACCUUUCUUGGAAGCAGAGCAUAGAGGGAUAAAAGAGCGGAGGGCAGGAAGGAAACAUUAUGGAGGUUAAAGGUUUGUGCAUCUCUCUUUUGAGGAGGAAGCGUCCAAAGCCACAGCCCUCCAGCAAUCUAUCUUUUAAGCAUUUUACUGGAAUGGUGCCAGAUAGGGUUUUUUUUUAAAAAAAAAUAAUUAGAUCAUGAUGCUGUACUUUGGGAUGUUGGAAUGCAUUCUGGCCCCUAAAUUGCUUAGGCUCUUUAUAAUCUAUGGUAAAAUCCUUAUAAUCUGUGAUCAACAAAGAUGCAGUUGUAGUCAACCAAGAUGCAUCUUUGAUCAAUGAAUAGAUUUCCUUGUGCCUACAGCAUAUUGUCAAAUCACAGGUGGGGGUUGCUAAUACUUGGCCUUGAUUGCCAUGGUGAUAGUCUUGAAGGAUGUUCCCAUACCUUUAGCUGCAUACAUCUCAAAUGAAUGGUUGCCAGUUGUGUAGCACUGUGGGAAGAAACAUCACACCUGAAUAGGAGCCCUCUUGUGGCAACCUUUGCUAACCCUGUGCCCUCCAGGAGCUUUAGACUAUAACUCUCAUCAACCCCAGAUGAAGAAAAUUAUUAUGUCAUCAGUUUUCAUGGACUGUAGUCUACUUCAUCAGAUGUUUAUCCUGAGUUACAGGAUUUUUAGGAGCAUUGGGACCACUUGAUCUAACCACCCAGCUGCUCAGCAGACAAUUCAUUUAAAAAGGCAAUGUAGCUUUUAGGGAAUAUGACACUCAAUAGCAUCAUCUAAGCCUUUAUGUAAGUUCUAGAGACUUCUUUUAAAAUAACUGAACAAAGCUUUUGAAAUUUAGUUUUCUCACUGCAGAUUUAAAACUUUACAGGGAUCCACAGAGCAAGGGAUGCUCAUAGGUUUAUAGGGGGGCAGAUGAAAUUCUCCCAUGGGCUGCAUCUUGGCCUUGGACAUUCCUGCUUUAUGUUGGAAAUUCCUGCUUUAAGAAACUGCAUCAGUACAGCAUCUCAUAGAAUCAGACUAUAAAACACACACACACAGUGGAGAAAAUAGAAACACAAAGAGCCCAUAAUGAUGAAUGAAGCUUUUAAGUAGGAAUGACAGGGCCAAGCACACACCCAACAAACUUAACAGCCUUGAAAAGAAAGUUGAUGCAAAAUAUUGGUGGUAUAUUUAGGAACAUAGGAAGCUGCCCUGUACCAAGUCAGUCUAUUAAUCCAUCUAACCAGCAACACUUCUCAAGGAUUUCAGAAGGGAGUCCCCCUUCCACCUUACCUGGAGAUUGUAGGGAUUGAACCUGGAACCGCAUAGCUAAGGCUUUCCCCUUAUUUCUCUGUUGUCUGUGAAAGAACAAUUUCAACAUCAACCUCCUGAAUAUCAAGAGGUUCGGUGCUAUCAUUUGUAGAUGGAACUGAGACAAAGGACUUUUAGCACCCUAUAUGUGUUGGCUUACCAUUGACAGUAUUAUCCAUAAGGGUCUUGUUAAUUAGGUACUUGCCACUUGUCUGUAUGUUUCUGCAUUUCAUUUCUCUCUCACCUCACUGUUUGCAGCUAUAUGCUUCAGGGUUCGCAGUCAUCACAGUUAUCUAGGAAUGGUUUCCUGGAAUUGAAAUACAUGCCUUUGUAAGUACAGUCAACUUGAAUACUGAACUACAGCCAGGUUUUCCCGGAUAGGAAUUGGAUCCAAGAUCUUAGUUACACUUACAAGUGUGCUUGAACAUUUUCAGUUACUCCACAAAGAGUCAAAGAGUGCUUUGUUGUAAAUGCAACCAAAUGUGUCUUUUAAGUAGGUUUUUUCACACACACACACCUCCCCGUUGUCCUGGCUCCUACCCUCAGACACAAUACUUGAACCUUUCUGUUGAUGCUGAAUGUUGCUAUGCUUUACAUUUUGCAUAAUGGUUUCAGUAGUCUGCAAGGCACCAUGUUCUGUUGAACUCCUCUUCUUAUGGCUAAAAAGCUUAAGUUGUCCCGUUGUCUAGUUUCCCUCUUUUUUUCUUCAAAAGAACGAUGCUUAUAAACAUUGCUGGGUCUGCAGGUGAAUGUUUGCUGGCUCAAGGUCACAGACAGGAGUAUGGGGGCAAAAGCAAUAGAGAUCUGAUUGCACAACUGACUUGGCUCUGUAUGACUUUGAUUUUUAGUCUCUGCUUGCAGCUGCAAUAAAAAAAUGGUUAGAAAAGUUUGGCAUUUUAUCACAGCCUUAGUUGAAUUCUUUCUGGGUUUUCCCCUUUCGCCUAGAGCAUCAUAUACCCUUAGCAGAAUGAGUUUUGGAAAGCAUCAAUUGCAGUAAAAGUCUCCCCUCCCCCCAAUGCUGCAGUUACCAGCAGUUUACAAGGAAAUAAUAUAGGUGUAAUUGUAAGGUGAGAAUAGGAUUUCGAAUACUAAUUUUCAAAGGGUUAGGCUGGUUUAGGAUUAUAGACAUUUGACAAUGCAGUCUUCAUAGGGGGAGGUGGAAUUUGAUUCAGUUUGCAUUUAAAAGUGUACCUAAUUAAUACUUUCUGAAACAAUAAGCGAACCAAAACACAGCCAUUCUUUGAAAUUCACACUUCUCAAUGCAGUUCUCUAGCCAAUUUCUGUGUACAAAAAUGGAUAUACUUGUGAUCAUAAAAAUGCACAUUAGUGAAAAUAAAUUCUAUGCAAAUGCUGGUGGAUUUUCAUUUGGACAUUUUCAUUUUCAAAAAAACAUAUAUCCAAAUGAAUGUGGAAAUGUGGAGAACUGGGCUUAAGAUUGCAAAAAUGAGAAACGGCGAGAAACUUAACGAAUCACUGUGUUCAAUAGGAAUCAGUGGGCUUGGGCUUGCAUCUUAAAUGAGGCAACACAAAUGCUGGCUUUUGGCCUUUGCAGUUGUGCUCUGUGUGGAGUCAGGAGGACACAAUUGACUGAGCAUGUUUGCACAUUCAUUCAGGUGGAUAGCUUUUGUAAAAUGGUCGUGUUCACGACAUUACUCAGUUUCCUCUGUGUAAACAUCCUCAUGAAAAAGUAUCUGCCUGAGUUUAGCUGCAGGAAAAAGUUUGUUACAUUCAGUGUGCUUGUGUACCUUCUGCUGUUGAACAAGGAAAAUGAUGUCACCUUGCAUGUUUCUCUAUUUGUGUUGGGUGGCAGCAAACCGAGAGCCAUAUCUGUGGCUCAGCUCUGAAUGUAUUUCCCCCUCUUAGUUAUGUUAUGGCUUAUAACUAAAGAAAUAAAACUGUUACUGCCAUUUAACACACUGUAGCCAGCCCCCUUUGCCUUCCCACACAUUGCCUGGUUCAGAAGCAACACUGCUGCUUGGUAGCUAAGAGUUGUGAGGCGACACCACCCAUAGCUAUAGCAUGAGAUGGGAAUAUCAUACAUCCUUAUUUUCAAGAUGAACCUGACUAGCCAAUAGAAGGGCUUUGUCAAGAAUGUUGAAAACCCUUGUCCUGGGUGAUAAUCUCUUUCAUCUUCUUGAGAAGUCCCACUGGCAAGGUUGCAGUCACAGCGGUAGAGCAAAUUACUAGGGAAAUGGUAUUUUAAUAACCUUUCCUUGAUAGCUGAUAUUUCAUUCCUUCUUUGACCUGCCCUUCUGAAUUUUGUAUAUAUAUAGAGAGAGAGAACAUGCAAAAAAACCACCCCAGCACAAUCCCACACCCCAAUGCAGCACUAAAAAUUGUGUAUUAUUAAACUACUUUUAAUAAAAGAGAAUACAGUAAGCUGUGAAAUUGAAGCCUGGAAUCUCCUGGGGAUUUCAGACUGAGUGCAAUACUAACACCCAAUAUUUCCUGUUUUUUAUCACAAGACAGUAAAGAAGAGAGGAGAGUAAUCUUUUCCCCCUCCUAUUAUUAACUAGGCAACUUCAAAGUUUGCAUUGGCAUUUUUAAGAGCACUGGUAAAACAGGGUCAGAUGUGAAGAACAAAGUUCUACAAAGGCACUUUUAAAAAAAGUAAGCAGAAUUUUUUUAAAAAGUAGAAUUCUUUGCUACUUUCCUCUUGAGGCAAUGGUUCUCAAAUUCCCCCUCCCCUCCAGAUCUCUUGUUGGGGUUUUGGGUGGAUCUUUUGUUCUCAUUUAACAUACCUUCACUGUCAAAACCAGCGUUCUAUUCAAAUCAUGAGCCAUAGCUAGGCCACUGAAAAGCUCAUUUUUAUUGUUUGAAGGAAAAACUAGUUGAUUGCACCAACUCUGAACUAAUAAAAUCAUGAGUCUUAGGCCAGGGCUUUGAUAGCUGUUAUGUACUAAGCUUGGAUCCAAGAACAAUAGGCAAGCAGGGUCCUAGAAUGCAACAACUGAUUGGCUUUCAGGAAAAGACCAAUCAGGCUCCAGGAGGAAGUUAAUCAGCCUAUUAGGCUGGUAGGAUGGUAGAAUGCAACAACUGAUUGGCCUGCAGAAAAAGACCAAUCAGGUUCCAGGAGGGAAGCAGAAUCAGCCAAUCAGGCAGGACUCAUUGUGUAAAUAAUGUAUACAAAAGCCUGAGGUUUUGGGGGGGCAAUUCAAUCACUGUUUUACAAGCUGCAAUAAAGAGCAUGAAAUCACUACAGGACUCCGAGUAUAUUUCAAUAGCCUGUUUGAUAAAUCCAGCCCUUGUUAAAAUGGCCUUGGUCUCUGUUAUCAGAAACAUAAAUCAAGCUCAGCAUCAUGUACAAAUAUUUUUGGCUGUUCCACAGACUUUCCAUGGCCCAUCUGAAUGGAGCUCACAGACCACGGUCUGAGAACCUCUGCUUAUGGAAAGCAUGCAAUUACUAUGUAGAUACUGUACCUGUAUGCUUUGGGGAGCAAAUAGCAACUUCAGGGAGGGAGAGAUUUGAGUCAGAGAACCAACAUGGUGUUGCAGUCCCAUUCCAAGUUUUGUGUCCUGCAGCUGCAUUUAUUCUUCAGAGGAAGCAUGAGAGAGAGAGAUCUAGUUACGGACCUUCUGCCGUCUUGUCUCAACUGGUACCAGGGUCAAGAAAGUUCAUAAUGGGGAUCUCCUGCCAUAUUAAGUCAGUGUUGGCCAAACUUGGGUCUCCAGCUCUUUUUGGACUACAACUCCCAUCAUCCCUAGCUAACAGGACCAGUGGUCAGGGAUGAUGGGAACUGUAGUCCCAAAACAGCCGGAGACCCAAGUUUGGCCAACACUGUAUUAAGUUAUGCCAACCUUCUUACUUGUGCCAUGAUCUAAAGUAAUAAACCAUAGGAAAAGUUUGAAUUAACACAAACCUAUCUCUCCCGCAUCGGUCUCUACAGCCACAGCAGGUACUGCAGGCUUCCAAUGGUUUGACCUCACCUCCAUUGCCUCCUGAGACAGAGAGAUGCCAACAAUUCACAGUCUUGGCUCCAAAUGAAGAGUUAGCAUCCAUAAUAAGCAAAAAGUGUGGCCACAGGGGACCAUCGUUCAUACUAGUCCCAUGCCAGCUGCAGCGGGCCUCAAAAGAGUUUAAUCUGUUUGAGGUAUCCUAUUGGGUUUCUUCUGUGCUGUGCCCUCUUGCCUUCAUAAUUGCUCAAGGGCAUGGAUCAUUGUGGUAGGGCUCUGACUGAAAACCAUAUUUUUAAUUGUUCUUGUAGUCCGGUAUUUUGUAGUGCCAUCUGGCAUGUCUGCUUUCCUGCAGUGUAGGUCACUACAGGUCACUGUGACCUUCUCACCUGAUCUAGUGCAGUGCCCAGAGCACCAGCAGCUCUCCUUAAAAUAGCUGCUGCCUCCGCAAUAAAAGGCCAGGCAAGCCAGCGCUGUACACAUGGGCAUAUUUUAUAGGCAGUUUAGUGUUGGGCAUUUUAUAGCUCUUUUACACACCCCUUCUGGAAAGGGGUCAUUUCUGGCACUGUAUAUAUAUAUAUAUAUAUAUAUAUAUAUAUAUAUAUGGACUGCAACUCUUACUUUUGACUCUCUAAGCUCUGGAGACACCAGGGACUCCUAAAACGCUUUUCUUCUUGGCAUUCAUGCAUUUGAUUUCAGAAGUUUUUAAAAAAUUAAGUUGCAUUUGUCAUUUGUGACUUUGUAGCUCUCGAAAGUUACAUCAGUGGCACCGGCUUGCUUCUAAAAGUCUAGCAGUAUCGUGCUAUCAGACUGCCAACUUCAGAAUAACACUUCCUAACCAACUGGGCCCUAGUCAACCAGACCUUAUGCCCCAAUAAAUCUGUUAGCCUUUAAGAUGCCAAAAGAUUAUAUUUUUUUUCUGUGCUAGAAGAAUGAUUUAUUCUCUUAAUACUGAUACACAGUGACAGAAGGAACUGGCAGCCCGGCAAGAUGAUAGCACAUGUUGGCUGCCGUCUAUGAAAUGCUUCUUCCGUGACAGCCCCAGUCAUUGGUAAGAAAUGUGUCCUAUCAGCCUUCCUUCGUCAGGUGCCCGCCAGAUGUUCUGGGCUAAAACUCCCACCAGCCCCAGCCAGCAUAACACUUUACUAUUAGCCUCAUACAUUUAUUGACUCCAUAAAAUGCACACGAAAAGGACAGAAAUUUGUUAAGGAUGUGCAAAAGUGAUCAGCAGCACUACCUCUAAAAUUAUUUCUUGACGAAACUUAAUUUGGAGUCCAGGUUUCUUUGCCGCUCCUGGGGUGGUAGCUAAGUUAUACUCAGAGUAGACCUAUUGAAAUUAGUGAAACUAACUUAGUCAUAUUCAUUAAAUUCAGUAGGAGGAAAAAUUUGUUGGAUAGCACACCCCUGGUGUUAAAUUAGCAUAGCAUAUCUAGAAAGCAAGUAUUAUCACACUGUGUGAUAUUGCAAAUAGGUCAUUCUGUCCUUAUGGUGCAUAAUGUACCUUUAGGCUUUGCAUCAAAAUGCUACUGACCUGUUGCUACACAUUACAUUUUAUGGCCCCCACUGUUUCCAGUUUUUCUUCACUGUGUUUGUGUGUGUGUGUGUGUGUGUGUGUGUGUGUACACCAACUGAAGACCACAGCUAAUGCACUUGAUGAACGGGUCUAGUCUAUGGAUGCUUCUGCCACAAGAAAUUUGAUCAUCACAAAUGCACACCCUGUCUCUCUGUUGCACAGAAUUAAAAACAGUAGCACCACUGGAGCAAAUCACAAUAUAAUGCAAAUCAUAUCUGUUCUGUAGUCAAUCAUGCUGUUUACUAAUCUUCAACAAGUCAUAUUGUAUUACUUCAUGAAUCUCCUCCAAAGGAAAUUCUUUGGCUCUAUCAGAAUAGGCUCCUCCAUCCAGCAACAAACAGCAGCUAUUGUUUUGUUGAGCUCUUUGCAGAAAGUUCCAAUCGUCUGUCCAAGUUGUCCAUUGAUCAGCCAAAUUGUCUCUCUUUUCAAAGGAGUUGGCAUUCUGCCUAGCUAGCUAUUUGUUUUCCUUUUCCAUCUUUUGUGUCUUUUCCUUUUCUUCUCCAGUAGUGUCUUCUUCUUCUCUGCUCCCCUUAUCUCCCAAUGCUCAUUUGCUUUAAAAUUCCCCAAAGGUCUUUCUCUCUGUGUCUCAUGGAAUGGCAGGACAACAGGGAGGAGGGAGAGGAUUCCAAUGAGGGAUGUGGCCGGGAUUGGGACACACUGGGGCCAGCUGGGCAUGGCGAAGGAGAGGUUGGUGUAGGAAGUACUCAUGGGGUGACAGAGGAUGAUGAGGGGAUGGGGAUCAGUGCACAGGAACCAGAGCAGCAGGACACAUCACCAGAGCCAGAGGGGCUCCUGUCUCCAUGAACAUGGUGGACUCUGAUGUGUAGGAAGCAGCAGAGUGGCACUGUAGGAGGUUGAGGCAGGCAAGAGCCCACAGCCCAGCUCCCUAGCUGGCCAGGUGGGGCUUACUAGCUCUUCAGCUGGAGUAAACUCAGAACAGGUGAAGGUCACAUGCCUCAUCAAGCCCAGGGCAGCAGAGCUGAGGUGCUAUGUCUUCUCAACUGCCCAUGUUGAAGGAUCUCAGUUUGGAUGUGCCAGGAUUUCUGUAGGAUUUUGGACAUGUGGAUUGACCCUGGACUGGGGAUUUGACAUACUGACUUACUGCCAGGUAGGCCAGCGGUUCAGGACACUCUGCUUCUAACUUGCUCUCUCAUUGGUCUAGUUUAGGCAUGGGGUACCUGUGGCCCUACAGAUGCUGCUGUACUGUAGCUCCCAUCAUCCCUGGUCAUUAGUCAUGCUGGUUUAGGAGUUAUAAGACAUCAGUGCCCUGACCAGGGCAUUGCACCUCCCUUAAACAUUCCUACCAAGGCAAGCCCUACCAUUAGGCAGAGUAAGGCAGCUGUCUCAGACAUCAGAUGCUGAAGAACAGAGUAGAUAAAGCUAUGCGUGCCGUGUGGCUUGCUUUGUGUCCCCUAAGCCAGCCUACUGCCUUGCUGCCAGUGUCAAAGUAAGAUUAAGCUUCAAGUCUGUAUAGCUUUUGUACAUGCAAGGUGCUAUCUUGUCCUUUAUCUCAGGCAGCAAAAUGUAUUUGGCCAGCCCUGAUUUCUGGUAGUGCUUCAGUAUUAACUGUAAGUCGGACACAUUCCUCCAAAUGGAAGUUAAGUUGAUGAAUAUUUCUUAAGGGGAGGAUAGGAAUGGAACAGAUGUGCUCCUUGAACAUCUAAAAAAAAUGUACCUUUCUGGUGGACAAAUCCAGAUAUUGUGAAAUAUUCUGGUUCAAGAUGGAACAUCAAAAUGGGCGGGAAUGGUUAAGCUAAAGAAAUGGCCCUCUCUGAACUGAAGUGGCUGGUGGUUCUGUCAGCUGGGAAGCCUCUCACUUGAGGGCCUCCAGGAUUGAGUUUACUGUUUCUUAGGCUCUGUUUUAUGCUUCUAAAAUGGAGAUAGUUUACUUAUUUCCUGAUCCUCUGUAUCUUGUCUAUCCUAUCAUUAUAAUAUUAUGAACAAGAGCAGCCUCUCAUGGACCAUAUAUAGUGAGAGCGGCCAGGGUCAUUUCUGAAGGGUCAUGGGAAAGCAGCUCUAAGGUGGGCAGAAGUGACUGGGAUGUUCCAUUGGCAUUAGCCCUACUCUGGCUUUGUUGUUGCAGGCAGCUGAGAAGUGGAGAAUGGUGCUGUUUCAAUUUUUAAAAAAUAUUCCAUUCUAGAAAAAAAGAGAGUAGCCAGUCUAGCAGCUCCCAUGGGAUGCUGAACUGCCGAUCCAGCUCUCAUAACAGUGGAGUGAGAUGUAUUCCUUAUUUGGCAGGUUGGAUUCAUUUUCGUGCCAUGUUUUCCUGAAGUUAUACUGUAUGCUAGGGUCAAUUAUUCCUAAUGAAAGGUCCAGAAACUUAAGAGGAGGGAGGAGUCUGUGGAGUUCAGAUCAUCAGAAAGGCAAAGCAUGAGCUGGCUUUCAAGUGCUUUCGGCAACCUCCGUUGCUCAUAAUCAUAAAUCAGAACCAAGAAGGAAAACCCCAUGGAUUUAAUGAUUAAUAAAAGUUGUUAAAAAACCAAAAAUUAUAAAACCUCAUUAUGGCUUCUUAUACAGUAAAUCAUUUUGCUAUCCACACUUGUGUGUGCAUGUGUAUGCUAUGCAAAGGUUUAAAAAAACCCUUUAAAAAUGGAAGACAUGGGUAUUCUGAUACAAUGUUCAGCAUGAAGAGUCUGGGAAUGCUCAGUGGCUUUACAUGACUGCUGCUGUCAUAUGGGCAAAAGGGCCAUAGGGGGUCACAGGGAGCAGGGGUGAUGUGGCCAGGAAGGAUCUGAAGAACACCUAGUUCCAACUUCCAUCCAGGUGGGCAGUGCCUGUUCUUGAUGAGCUCCAGUGCAAUGGGUGGUGCAGAUUAUUAUGUUUUAUUAUGACUUUGUUUGGAUCAGAUUAUUAUAAGGUGUGUGUUCUUUGUUGUAUAUUUUGCUGCCGUAAACCACCUUAUGUAUAGUAAUGCGGAAUGGUGGUAUACAAAUUUAAAGUGUAAUGAAAUGAAAUAUAGUGGUACCUCGGGUUACAGACGCUUCAGGUUACAGGCUCUGCUAACCCAGAAAUAAUACCUCGGGUUAAGAACUUUGCUGGGACCUGGGACCUUUAUCUUCUCUGAGGCCAGGGGCAGUCCUGGCCCCCAGGAGACCCGCCUCUCCUGGCCUUAAGGCGACCACUCCUCCUGGGAGAAACCAGUUCCCUCCACCUCUCUGCCCUGAGCCUCUGCAGUUCAGGAGAGGCUGGAGGGUUACUGGACCCAGGGGGAGACUCCCCUUCCCCUGACAGGGCUGGGGGAGGCGCACCUGUAGGCACUGUGUCCUCAACCACCUCCGGAGCCAGGGUGGAUUCACCUGGUGCCUGCUCCUGAGGAUCCGGCACAGGUGCAGGCGCUUCAGAAUCAAGGCCCUGCCCCAGUUCAGCCGGCCCUGGAGGCGGGGACUCCUGUGCAGGCUGGGAUUCCUCCGGUUCAGCCUCUGAAUCAGAUUCCCAGGCCAUCACAGUGCCUUUCUGAUGUCGUUAAGAUGCCAGAUGAUUGACAGGUGGUCACCCCACCCAUCUGUCAAUGUGGCCCAUGAAAGGUGGGGGAAGGUCAGUAUCCGGUCCACCAGCCAGGAAAGAUUCCCCAUCCCUGACUUAAAGGCACAGCAAUGUAGUAAAGGUAAUAUGUAGUCUGGCCCUGAUCUCAUUUAACAAUGAAGAUAAGAUACAUUAAAUUCAUGCUCCAAAGUGUCGCUUCUCUUGGAAAAAAUUUCAUGCAUUUGUUAUACGUUUCUGGAAAGACCUCCUGUGUUCCAUCUCUAAAUUGCAGGAUAUGGAUUGCUGUUUUUUUAAAAAAAAAUCUUUGGGAUUGUCUGAAGGAAUUAUUUAUGCAAAAGAAUAGAAGCUUUAUGGCAUAUCUUCUUGCAGCUGCAAAAAUAAUGUGGGCAAAAGACUGGAAAUGAUUUACUCACAGCACUAAAUGCUUUCAAAUUGCUCUUUCAAAAGCUGCAGUUCCAGGCACCGCUGUUUACUGGCGUUUCUCUGGGGUGGGGGACAGAGGACAAAGAAAAGAAGGAAGAGCAAACAUUACAUUUUUGACCACUUUCCUACCUUACCCUCAUUGCUGCUAUUAAAACGGAGUUUAAAUCCAGAUUCUUGGCCAUUUUGAAGUUUUCCUUUAAUAAAUAAUCAUACUGUUUUCCUGUGGUUGAGCUAUGGUUUCACACCAAUCCUCAUUAUGCUGGUCCAAAUAGUGAUGUUUUCAAGCUUUUAGAAAAAAACCCAAAACAUUAUUAUAAUCUGAGGACACUUCCAACUUGUUGCAGUUUUCGGGUAGGAUUAAAUCACAUACCAGCAAAUUCAGGCUGCUCGCUUAAUGCUGACUGAUUAUUUAUUCACCUAUUUAUAAUCUGCACUAUCAUUAAAAUGUAUCAAGGGUGGUAUAUGACAUGUAGCAAAAAGCAUGAGCUAAAGCACCCCCCCAGAACCCCCCUGGCAUUUUGCAGUAUAGAAAGUGAUGGGAAAAUGCACAGGAAAGUGUAGGAAUAAUGUGGAUGCAAUGGUGUAUACACUCCCCACAAACAAAUUUUGUGGUUGAAUGCAACCUGAUAGUGUGAGUUCAGGAUUCAAAACAAGGUUUAAAGUUCAGAUUCCUUGCCCUGGUCCUCCUCAAAAGUUCACAAAGUACAGAAGGACAAGGCAAAAGCAGCUCAUACAUUUCUCUUUGGUAAAAACUAUGAAAAAUGGAUCUAGCCUGCUUAUUUCCAGGAGCAUGGUAAAGCGCAUCUAAGAGAUCACUCUAAUUUCAUAGCUGCAUUUCCAAGGGCUAUCAUUCAAAUUAAAAACCAUUACUUUCCACCCACAUAUCACAGCAUCAAAUUCGCAUUGAAAAACAGAACAACCAACCAGGACAAACACGAAACCUUAGGUGAUGAAUAACAUAUAGUCGUUUCUUCCUUCGUGCUCAGAAGAAUAUUAGAUUCCUUACUGCUUAAUUUUUUGCUCAGGGUUUGAAAAGUAAAUAAAGUCACAGCGUUUCUACCAAGUUAUCUCAUUUUAGUUGCAAAGGUAAAUGAUGCCUGCAUUCCUAGACAAUACAUUCCCCAAAUUGCUUUUGAAUGGCAGUGAUGUCAUCCCAACUUAAUGUGUUUCUAAUAAAUAAUGCAUUAGGAAAUUCUGAUUUUCCAGAGGUACACAAACAAACUGUUUUUUGGUUGCUAUCGGCAGCUUCGCCUUCACCCCUUUUGAGUGCCCUGCUCCAUUUCUUUUGACUUGUUUUCGCAGCGCAGAAUUGCUAUGAAAGAAAAUAUUUGUUGUGAGAUGCCAAGACAUUGAGCUUAAUUUAAUCUGCAAGUCUGGAGGUAUGUGGUUCUAUAACUAGACACAUGUCAUGGUAACUUACUAAGAAUGGAACGGAGAGGCAUCUUUUAGUCACGGAACUCUGUGCAUGAAAAUCCCUUCACUCACCAAACCACAACAUUAAUGCAAAUAACGUCUGUGUUUCCUCCUUGAUGGGAAACUGGAAUAUGUUCGUGAUGCUUAACCGGGCUGAGAAACCGCAUACUUUACUAGUGAAAUAAUUCAUAAGCUGCCUCUGUAGGAAUGAUUUGAGCACAGAGAUUCUGUGCACCUCGCAUGGGCACGACACAAAGAGCUUCAUUUGCUGGCACUCGGUUUGGAAAGUGGAUCAAAACAGAAAAGCACCUCAGCUUGUAUGGUUUUAACAUUUGCCAUAUACUUGGGGUUUUUGUCUGUGUUUUUUAAGCAAUUUACACUAAGGCAUCUUUUUAUAUUGGACAUUCAUGAUGAUUUGUGCUCAUGAUGUGGCAGUUAUAUGCAAUCCCGCUUUCAAUACUGUUUGUGCCUGCAAAAGUUUCAUGGUCCGUAAACUGUCUUCUUUCUAAAUGAUGCACCUCCCAUAGCUUCCUGAUGAAACCCUGUAACUUUUCAUACUACAAAGUUUUUGGUUCUGCCUUAAUUGCAUUGUAGCAAAGGAGUGCACCUCCAGAUGGCAAGUAAUGUGGCAACUUUAGGGUAGCACUGCAGAACAACUAACAAAGCUGGAUGGUUUGUGGAUGGUCUAGUGUAAGUCCAACACUAAUGCAUUAUCACUGCAUCAUUGGCGUGUUACAGAAUAUAACAGCAAAAAAGAACCCCAGUCUGGAGGAGCCCCAAGGCUUCAGUCAUUUGCAUAUUGAGAAGUCCCAAGUUACUUCCAAGUAAAUAUGCACAGUGGUCCCUCGGGUUACAUACGGUUCAGGUUACAGAUGCUUCAGGUUACAGACUCCGCUAACCCAGAAAUAGUACCUAAGGAAUAGUAACCCAGAAAUAGUACACUUUGCUUCAGGAUGAGAACAGAAAUUGUGCUGCGGUGGCGCGGUUGCAGCGGGAGCCCCAUUAGCUAAAGUGGUGCUUCAGGUUAAGAACAGUUUCAGGUUAAGAACGGACCUCCGGAACAAAUUAAGUACUUAAUCCGAGGUACCACUGUAUAGGGCUGGGCUGCAAAUCUGCUUGUGUAAUCAGUUCACUAUUAUUUGUUCUUCCAAAUGGACAGGUUAAUAAGUUUUGUGACUGUGUUCUUAGUUUGCUCCACUGUAUUGCUGACGAGCAGGUCAAGUAUUAAGCAGCUGUUGCACUUUACCAUUAGAGAUCUAAACGGUUGGCUGAUCAGAAUGGGCCUGUUCUCUUAUUUGUUCCACAGCACUAAAAUUAGUAUCUGUAAAUUUUAGAGAGUGGUGGCUUUUUUGGAGAGAGGAGUUCACAGAAAGGCUAAUUUAGGUGGUUCCUGAACUCAUGGCAACUUUGAGCAGGAAUACAAGAGGAUUAAAAAUGGUGGUCUGUCAUGCUGAGAAAAUGGUAGAGGUAUUAAAAAUGGGAGGACUCCAUUUCACCAGAGAUGGUAAAAAAAAAAGCGAAGGACUUUAAAAAAUGGACUGUUUUACAGAUCUGCCAGCAAUAACCCUAUUUGGGGAUUAGUCUGUAGGUCUGCUUCCCUGGACACUAGGCUAGCAGAGAAAGUUCUCCUUAACAUUUUCUAAUAGCACCAUACACAGCAACAGAUUAAAAGGUUAAAACAAUUCUGCUGUCAAAAAAAAUCAAUAAUGCAAUUGCAACCUUUAAAUACACAGGCAUUUUAAAUGCAUAGUGCGCACACAGUUUACUGUUUAAAGCCAUUUAAAAAUUGCUGGGGACUCCUCUGCCUUUGUGUUUGCUGGUGUGGGUUUUAAAAAAAAUCUCUUUCAACUCAGAACUGUAAGGAAAAGUGCAAAGUAAAUGAGUUUUAAUGAUUAAUUUUCUAAGCUAGAUAGAAUCCAGGAAAUUAAUGCAGAUAGGUAUUUUCAAAAGUGUUUAUUUUCUAUGAUGCUGAAUAGAAGACCAGUGCUUUCAAUCCAGUGGAGUUAUUUCUGAAUGCCUCUCUCUUUCUGGUUCUUCUCGAAGCCUAGACAGCCUAGGGAGAGGAGCUGGCUGCCCCUUGAGCCCACACCUUUUGGUUUGAAAUACCAGGUAGGCUGUCCAAUUGGCAUCCAAUUUUCCAAGUCUUGGCAUAGAGAGGUAGGGGAGCUCAUUUAUGUUGGUUCAGAUGCACCCAAUUAGGUUUUCUGGUUUUCAUGAGCAAGUGAGUUGGGUUGGGCAUUGUUACAAAGGUCCAAAAGAUUCUGUAUCCGUGACUGUACUGAUCAUCUCACUAUCAUACACCAUCGGAGGUGUUUGAGAUGGUGUUAGAGGCCACCAAAUCUUGUAGUGCUGAUACCUCUUUGUUGGGAGCAACUUGGGACUUCUUGACCACCAUGGCAAAGAUGAAUCUGUCUCAGCAUCUAAUUCAUCCAGCACAUAUGGCAGGUCAUGCAUGAAGCUUAGUGGAUAGCAUUGUGAGUGGGGAUGCAAUAACAACUUCCUUACCAUGGUCAGAUACGUUUCAGUUAGUGCGGCUAUUACUGUACCACUUAGCCUCUGCAGCAGUGGUGGAUCAAUUAAGACAGCCCACCACUAAUGGCUGGCUGAUGGAUCUGAUUGGUUUCCAAAAUGUUUUAGGAAAUUGUCAGUUAAACUUCACUGGAUCUCCUGUCAAAGACCGGUUGCUGAUUGGAAUAUAGGAUUGAUGCCUGGAAUAUGAUAGAUUUUAGAUAGGUUUUAAGUGCUGUCUUCCGUGUCUUCUUCACAAAUCUUCCUAGCUUCAGACAAUUAAGUAGCAGGGAAGAUGGGAUGAGUGACAGUGAUGGAAAAUUAUAAUCCACCCAACCAAGCACAGAUGAGAGCCCAUUUGCAGGAGGUGCUGCCGCAGGAAGACAUCUCCAGGGAAAAUUGGAUGUGUGUUUGCCAGCCACUGGAUCAUGUCCCAUUUGUCUCUCUGCAGCACAGACCUGUUCAUUCAUUCACCCCAUGCUAUCUUUCUACAUCCUCUGAUGCAUCCUUCUAUAUCCUCCAGAUCUUUUUUCGCUGGCCUCAUAACUGAGUGACACAAAUGCUCCUAGAGCUAACCUUUCAAAAGCUGACACGUUGAUCACAUUUCCCACUCCUGAGGUUUGAGGCACUUCAUUCCCUCGCCACACAGAUUUUUCAUCCCUGUCAUUUUGUGCACCAUGGCCCCCAAAUGAAUGUUCAGUAACUCACUGACAUUUACAUAAUUGCCCUUGGAGAGUGAAGUUCCUUUCCCUCUCUUUCCUGGCAAAGUGCAAGCUCCAUUGGUGACUGACAGUUUCCCUUCUGUUUUCUAAUCUUCUCUUGAGCGGUUUCAGUUGCUUUGGUUUCUCGCCGUUGCUGGGUGCACCAGAGCUCAAGUGAGUCCAACGACAGUACAGACGUGGGUCCGCCAGAUGGCAAGCUAUGAAAUUAGGCCAAGGCUUUUAUGCACAGAAUUCUUUUCAGAAUGGAGAAAUGAGAAACACUCCCCUGGAAGGAAACACAUAGAGCAUGCACCCAUAAACAGAAGGAGAAGAGAAAGUCAAAUUUAUUUAUUUAUUUAUUGGGGAGGGAGCUUUCUCGAAGGAAAGCAGAACCAUCUUAUUGUUUCUACAGUUCUUGUGCAAAUCUGUUCCAGUGCACAAUUUGAAUUAACAGCCCAGUCCUACAUAUGUUGUUCAGAAGUCCCAUUUUAGUCAAUGGCUAUUAUUUAGAUAACAAGUCUAUCUGGGAUAGAGAGACACUUAUUUUAUUUUAAUUUUAUUUUACUUUUUAUUUUAAAACAAUGGCUGCUAUCUUUAUAGUAUGCUUUUGGGUUACAGCAUGCUAUAAAUGACGUAUAUAAGGUGGCAACAGCUUCCUAAUUAAACGAUAUGGCCAAAUUACAUACAAGCAAGAAGAAAGCUUAAAAACACACACAACACAAGCAAGAGCGUUGAUCCAGUCCCUCACACUACAGCCCAUGUAUGUAGCACAUGCUAACCCACAGUUUAUAGGUUGUCACAACAUAUUAAAAACCUUCCUGGUUCAGACUGCCAUGGCCAACCAAUUGCCUCAGGAAACCUGCAAGGGAGGCAUGAAGACAGUAGUUCUCUCCUGCUGUUGCUCCUCAGCAACUUGUAUCCAGUGGCACACUUCCUCUGAAACAGGGGUACAGUUUAGCCAUCAUGACUAAGUGCCACUGACAGAGCCACCUUCCGUGAAUUGGUUUAAUGCCUUUGAAAGCCAGCCAGCUCUGCUAAAUACGUAUACUUUCUUUUCUUCUGAAUCUACUGACAAUCAGUUCCACUGGAUAACCCACACAAUGAGGGUAGUAUUUAGUUGUGGCAAGUGGUCAGUUCUGAAACCUGGGGAACCUGGGCUUAGUUCCUAGUUCAGUCGUGCACUUAUUGCAUGAGGUGGGACAAGCUGAGCCAGUAUCUGGAGAUCCAAACCUACUGCCCCCUCCCAGAGUGCUGCUUGAGGCAACUGCCUCAGGAAGGUUCAUGGUAGUGUCAGCCCUGCCUGACAGGACAGGGCUCCUGUAGAUAGGUAGUUGUUGUGGCAGGAAACUGGGUGUCUGGCCUGCUCUGAAUGGAGUUGCACUGCCCUUGAAGGAGCAGGUACAUAGUCUGGGGGUGCUCACCGAUCCAUCUGUGUCACGCAAGACCCAGGUCCGCUUCCAGCUCUGGCAGGAUCGCCAGCACACCCUAGUAACUGCCUGUCUUGAUUACUGUAAUCCACUUUGCAUAGUGCUGUCCUUUAAGACAGUUCAGAAAUUGGAGCUGGUGCAGAAUGCUGCUGCUAGAGUAUUGCUGGGUACUAUGAUAUAAUGCCCAGCAAUACUCUAGCAGCAGCAUUCUGCACCAGCUGGGUACUAUGAUAUAAUGCGUGGGACGCAGAUGGUGCUGUGGGUUAAACCACAGAGCCUAGGACUUGCUGAUCAGAAGGUCGGCGGUUCGAAUCCCCGCGACAGGGUGAGCUCACGUUGCUCGGUCCCUGCUCCUGCCAACCUAGCAGUUCAAAAACAUGUCAAAGUGCAAGUAGAUAAAUAGGUACCGCUCCGGUGGGAAGGUAAAUGGCGUUUCCGUGCACUGCUCUGGUUUGCCUGAAGCGGCUUAGUCAUGCUGGCCACAUGACCUGGAAGCUGUACGCCGGCUCCCUCGGCCAGUAAAGCAAGACGAGCACCACAACCCCAGAGUCGGUCACGACUGGACCUAAUGGUCAGGGGUCCCUUUACCUUUACCUUUAUGACAUAAUGCCAUAUAACACCUGUCAUGAUUGGAUCUGUACUGGUUGCCUAUAUACUGCUGGGCUCAAAUUAAGAAGUUGAUUCCAAUAUAUCAAGCUCUGAAUGCCUUGGGACCUAGGCAUUUGAUGGAAUGCCUUCCCUCAUAUUAUCAACCAGCCCAAGCUCUGAGAUCAGCUGAGCAAGGGCUUUCUUACUGAGUGUUGCUCAUUGUGUGGGGACCGGGAUAAGGCCUUCCCUGUAGUUAUGCCCCACCUAUGGAAUACUCUCCACUUGGAAGUAUGGAUGGCUAAACCACUGAUAAAUUUCCAUAGCCUAAUCAAAGCCUCUCUGUUCUCCCAUGCAUUUUGAAGAUUUGGCUAAGCUAUCUCUGGAGCUUACGAUUUCUUUCUUUAUUGUGCAGAAGCACUGCACUGUUGCUAAUUUAUGAUCCUUUUAAUUGUGUUUUAUGUUUGUAAAUGCUGUGUUAUUUUAUUGGUCACAUUGGAAAGUGCUUUGUGGCUGCAGUGUGUUGAAAAGUGGUUUCUAAAUACAGCAAAUAAAAAAUAAAUAAAUACCGUGCUUUGGGUUGAAAAUGAAGAAAAUCUAUUUUCCACUUUUUCACAUGUUUGAAUUUUUGCCGAUGAAGGCAGGUUGCCAGAAGUACUUCUGCUGAAUAAUUAUUCAAGGAUUUAUUUCCCUGAGUGCAGUAGAGUUUCACAAUUUCCAUGGUAAUUUUCCCUGUGAAAUUAUUUAAUGUACUCUAAUAUAUGAAUGCACCCUUAGAUAAGUAAGAGCAGGAUACUGUGCAGGAUACAUUAUAAGUGAGAAGAACUGUACUUUUCUAUUCCCCACUUUCAUAAGCGUGCCUGGGGCCAAUUAUAUGCAAAAUAUGCAAUUCUUGGUUUUGAUGGCAGGCAAGUGGGAGGUGUGUGUGUAUGUCUGUGUGGGAGGGAUUAAAGAUACUUUCAGCAGCUUUUCUGCUCACCCCAAUGCAGAAGCUGGGGCAGAAUUCAAAUUCCCUCUCGGGGCCGUUGUGUAUUUUAGAAAGCUAGGCCACCUCAGAGUGAACGGAAAUAAGAGGAGGACAGCUCUAUGGAGGUUAGAUUUGAAGGAAGCCCUACUCGGAAGGAGAUUACUAUGCAGAUUAAGCGAUUGUUUGAUAAGGCAUAAAGAUCUGGAAGUAUGGAGAAAGAUAAGUGCUGCCAACCUAGUUGUGGCAUAUGCCUCAAUUGCAAGGAGCAUAGUAAUGCUCCCCCCCUCUCCUGCCAUCAAAGCUCUGAGGAAGGAGAUGGGGCUGCUGAGGGGGUUUGUGUGGUGGCAGCUGAGAGGCAGAUCUUUCUCUCUGUCUGCAGAGCAGUGGCGGACUUACAUUUUUGGGUCCCUGCAGCUUGAAGCACUGUUACCUUCUCCAAUGGGAUUGCUGCAUGACAAAUCACCAGCCUUUUUUAAGUUAACUACAACACCUCAGAUUUUGAUUAGAAUUGCUGUACUGGAUUAUCUCACAUGUCAAAGUCUCUGGUGUGCAUAAAAAUUUCCUUCACCUUAUAGUUUUCGAGUUGUGCGACUCUCGUUGCGUCUAAUAGACCCCAAAAUUUUAAGCAAUGUAGACUAGAGUCACUUCUGGGGCCCCUCCGAGAUUAGGAGGCGCUGAAGCUGAAGCUUCCUUAGUUUCAUAGUAGAGGCACACCUGCUCCAGAGAGGGAGGUAUGCAAUAUCCUAUGGCUCCUGUGCAGGAUUGUAGGGCUGUAGGAUUGUACAUUUCAUUGGGAAGGGCCACAGGCCAGUGGGUUAAAACAUGGGUAGGCAAACUAAGGCCCGGGGGCCGGAUCCGGCCCAAUCACCUUCUCAGUCCGGCCCGCAGAUGGUCUGGGAAUCAGUGUGUUUUUACAUGAGUAGAAUGUGUGCUUUUAUUUAAAAUGCAUCUCUGGGUUAUUUGUGGGGCAUAGGAAUUCAUUCAUUCCCCCCAAAUAUAGUCCGGCCCCCCACAAGGUCUGAGGGACAGUGGACCGCCCCCCUGCUGACCCCUGGGUUAGCACAUCUCUGUUGCAUGCAGAACGUCACAGGUUUGAUCCCUGGCAUCUUCAAGCAGAGCUUCAUGAUCCCUCAGUCUGAGACCCUGGAGAGAUGCUCGGGGGGGGGGGGCACUAGGGGCGCCUUGAAAGAUGGCUGCUAAUAACAUCUUGUCCAGCUUGCAAGAGGUAAUUAGAGGCUGAUAUGGGGAGUACAUCAGCCUCCCUUUGUCUUUUCAGGGAAGGAAAAGACGCUGCCUCACCUGCUGUUGCCAUAAAUCACCCCCGAGUUCGGAUGAACGAGGGGGUGAGAGGCACUAGGUGGAAAGCCCUCGGGCAAGCUUGGAGCUCCCUGCCAGCUUCUUUCAGGAGCAAGCCUGGCUGCGAUGUUUAAAAAGAAGAAAAGAAUUGGACCAAUAAACGCACAGGCUUCAAGAGAAAUCAGGAAUGCUUUUAUCUGCUAAUAAAUUUACCACUGAGUGAAGAAGAUCGAGACGGAAGGACGAAGGACAGAAGGAACAGAGAUAACACCAGAGAACUGCCGACAUUUUGGUAUGUGGACGGUACGAGGGGGGGGAGACUUUUUUAUUUUAUUUUUAUGUGAGUACCUGAUAACCCUCCCCCUCAAAAAACCGUCUCGACGACUAAUUUACAAGUGGGAGUGAAAAUGAACUGUGUGGAAAAAAUUAUAUGUCUGUGAAAGAUUUGGAAACAAGUGAGUCUCUCUCAGUGACGCAGUAAGAAAUGCUCCGUUGCGUAGGCAGAUCUCGGCUGCAAGAUGGAUGGUCUAGGGAGGAAGAGCCGCUUGGAUAUCAGGCUGGAAUCGUAAAUCAGAAAGGGCUGUUAUCCUCCUGGAAGACUAAUUAUGAGGCAGCGGGUCUGGAAAGUAAACGAGUGGACAUUUAGACUGUAUUCCACCGGAAUGACAGGACGGAGUGUCUGCUCGAAAACAUGAUGGUUGGAUUUGUGGACAUAUGAGAGAGCAUUAUAAAACCCACACAGAGACAAAAUAAGACUGUUCCUUUUAAUCCACUUGUGGAGAAAACUCGGAGGUGACAGAAAAGGAAAAUGAAUAAAUGACAAAUAUGAGAAGAUGGGACUGGAAACAUCAUUGCAGUAAGGAAAGCAGCACGAAUUUGGAUCUUUGGAUUCCUGACGAUUGAGGAGCAUGGGUACCCCCCACAAUUUUUUUUUUAAUUUGGAAAACAUUUGGACUUUAUGAUGUGUAUUGAUAUAAUUUGGACUAAUUGGUAUGAUAUGUUUAAUUUGGCAAAUGGAAACUUAAUAAAAAUUAUUGAAAGAAAAAAAAGAGAGAGAUGCUCAGGGCAGACAACAUUGAGCCCGAUGAUCCGACUUGGUCAGCUUCCUAAAUUCCUAUGACCCAAUGAUCUAGGGUCUAUAUUUAGAGUGCUGAGGAAGCUACAUUUUGGCAGUCCCGAAUGCAGUUCAGUUCGAAGACCUGUGUUGGAAGCAGCAUGCCACUGAGUGCCACUGGCUGGGAAUCGCAAGUGGGGAGAGAGUUCUUGUGCUCAUGUCCUGCUUGUGGGCUUCCUUUAGGCAUCUGGCUGGCCAUUGUGGGAGCAGAAUGGGCAUUGCUUUGACCCGGCUGGACCCUGAUGUCCCUAUACAGGAACAUAUCUCAAAACAGAGACAGACGUUAAUGCUUUCAAAAACUUCAGAUAGUCAUCUGAAGAGUGUGUGCUUUAACCAACUUUCUUUAGCUCAAUGCUUUUUUUUUUUUACUCAUCUGAUGUUUCUAUAUAGUUUACAUUUCACUAGAAUAUUUUGUUUCUACUUAUAUGGCCUCAUAAAGUACCUCUUCCUCUUAACAGCACCGGAAGAGUUUGUUUUUCAUUGGGAAUAAAAGUAUUAAGUACUAGUAGGUCUCUGAUUUUAGGCAGUAAUGCAAGCGAACGCGUACUGGAAUCCUGCUGGGUUUUGAGAGGACAUUGAAAUGGCAUGUAAAGCGAGAAGCUUUUAAAUCACUUCGGUAAUCAGAAACGUUCCUAGUCGUUACAGGCUUAAACGCAUAAAGGCAUAGAUUUUCCAGAAUGUGGGCUUCUGCAUCAGUAAACUCUAUGGAAGAGAUGAUUGGUUGCAAGGUAGAAAGGAACACUUGCACUAUUUGAAUAUUAAUGUAAUCUACCCAUGUGAGAAGCUGCACUAUCUUCCUGCCAGAGGACUAAAUUGCAUAGAAGAGACUCCUGCAUCAGGCACAUAAUCCAAAGGAAACCCUAAUUUAUAUGCUAAUUAGCCCACAUGUUAAGAAUUACAGGGUUAAUUAAGCAUAUCAUCCCACCCACAAUUUUAUCAGUGAUAGACAUGGAGGUGCAGAGCAGAAAUCUUGCCAUUCAAUCGAAUUAACUACCUAUAGCGAUUCUUUAGGGGUCCUUCUUUCAAAGCAAGCCCAGCAAGUUAAAUCACGUUUCAUUCAAAAUAAUGUCAGGGCUGUGUAGAAGUUUUUGUGUUAAAAAGGCAUGGUGGGGGCAGGGAGUUGGGAGGAAGCGGUUUAUACAGUGUCCUACAUAGCCUGAACUUUAUGUUUAAUUAAACUGGGUUGGCUUCAGUUAUUGAACAUGAAAUAGCUGCUAAUUGAUUGAGAACACAGCCACUGAGGUUCAACAGCUUUGUAAUAAAUGCAUCUCUUAUGGCACAGUUGUUAAAGCUAAAUAUAUUUUAAUCAUCAAUUUUGUAUUUAAUUAGGAUCCUGAACCCAUCUCAUUACAUAAAAAUUAAAUCCUUAUUUCAGACUCUUGGAGCCUGACCAUAUAACUGCACGCUGGGCUUGCAAAAGGGUUGCUGACAAGUCAUUUUGUUAUGUAGCGCUUGGCCCCUAUGUAAGAAAUGUGCUGGAAAGAAAUGUGAAAAUGAUGUGUCUUUAUCUAGAAAUGGAUGCAGCUGCUAGCUUGAGAAGCUGUGUGAAGGCAGGUCUUAUUAUUGGCAUGGCUUCAAUGGCUUCAAUGUGAUUAAGAAGGAAAGGCCUAACAAUUCCUGUUUCAUUUAAGGGACUACUUCUGUCAAUUUCAUGAGGCUCAUGAGAUGUCAUGGAGGGGAUGGUCUGACCCAAAGGAGGAGUGGGAGGAGAUGAGGAAUUGGAGAAUCGUUGGGAAAGUUCCAAUGGGAUGGGGAUGGUGGAAUUGGGGCCCCAAGAAGUGUCAGAUGCUGAGGGAGGUCUUGGUCCCUCCUUAGGGUCUGAAACUCCCGUUUCAAGUAGAUUGUCAAAUGAACGUCCCUAGCCUAACCCCUCCUCCUCUCAGUGAGGAGCCUGCUUCUUCUGGCAAACUGGUGCACUGGUGUGAGCAAACCUCACAGAGGAGUGCCUGUUUGCUUGCUGAGUCCCAGGACUCUGGCCCCUUGCUGAGCCCACACCACUCUUCCUAAGGAAGGUGCAAGGUGGGUGUCACUUGUUGGAUCAACGCCUCAGCUUCUGUUCCACGGCAUAUAACUUAGAUAACUUACAUUCAUUUCAGUGCAAAGGAAAUGUGAAGAUAAUCUAAAUCCCUGUGAUCAACUAUGUAUUAUUUGCAGAAUUAAAAUAACCACCAGCAGCAAUGUAAAUGAAUGUCGUCCUAUUCACUUGACUAAUUUCUAUUCCUGAUGGCAAGCAAACACACGAAUUGCAGCAAUUUCUGCUUCCUCCUUCAUUUUUUGUUGGAAUUCUCUGACAUCCCUAAUCACACUAGAUUUCUGGUAUAAAGAAGCCAGCUUUAUCCCUUGUGUUAGAUUCCUGAAAGAGAAAUAAUGGAAUAUUUCACAUUUUGGCUCUAAUCCUCAACAUAUUUCCUCUGAAGUAAGUCCUAUUGGUUUUGACUGCAUUGGCUUUCAAGGAACCAUUAUUAGGGUUGGAGUCUUAUUUCAAUUUCCAGAAGAUUAUUCAAUUAUAACGUCUAUGUAUAACUUUCCCAGGCUAUUUGUCUGGGAAAGAACAUGUCUCCUGCCCUUUCCCCUCGUCUAGGGACACCUAUGAUUCCAUAUUCUCCUUGCAAGUUAGCCACUACAGUCACUUGGUUCCUUGAUGGGACAAUUGGUUCCUAAUCUCCCUUGGUUCCGCUCCUUCCUCCUGGGCCGUGUUCAGAAAGUGGUGUUGGGGGAUGAGUGUUCAGACCCCUGGGCUCUCACUUGUGGGGUGCCUCAAGGUUCUGUCCCCAUGCUUUUUAACUACAUGCAGCCGCUGGGAGAGACCAUCAGGGGGUUUGGGCUAGGUGUUCAUCAGUAUGCAGAUGAUACCCAGCUCUACCUCUCUUUCAAAUCAGAACCAGUGAAGGCAGUGAAGGUCCUGGGUGAGUGUCUGGAGGUGGUUGGAGGAUGGAUGGCAGCUAACAGAUUGAGGUUGAAUCCUGACAAGACAGAAGUACUUUUUGGGGGGGACAGGAGGCGGACAGGUAUGGAGGACUCCCUGGUCCUGAAUGGUAACUGUGCCCUUGAAGAAGAAGAAGAAGAGUUUGGAUUUGAUAUCCCGCCUUUCACUCCCCUUCAGGAGUCUCAAAGCGGCUAACAUUCUCCUUUCCCUUCCCCCCCCACAACAAACACUCUGUGAGGUGAGUGGGGCUGAGAGACUUCAGAGAAGUGUGACUGGCCCAAGGUCACCCAGCAGCUGCAUGUGGAGGAGUGGAGACGCGAACCCGGUUCCCCAGAUUACGUGACUACUGCUCUUAACCACUACACCACACUGACCAGGUGCGCAGCCUGGGAGUCAUUUUGGACUCACAGCUGUCCACAGAGGCACAGGUCAAUUCUGCAUCCAGGGCAGCUGUUUACCAGCUUCAUCUGGUACACAGGCUGAGACCCUACCUGCCUGCGGACUGUCUCGCCAGAGUAGUGCAUGCUCUAAUUAUCUCUUGCUUGGACUGCUGCAAUGCACUCUACGUGGGGCUACCUUUGAAGGUGACCCGGAAACUACAACUAAUCCAGAAUGUGGCAGCUAGACUGGUGACUGGGAGCGGCCGCAGAGACCACAUAACACUGGUCUUGAAAGACCUACAUUGGCUCCCAGUAUGUUUCUGGGCACAAUUCAAACUGUUGGUGCUGACCUUUAAAGCCCUAAAUGGCCUCGGUCCAGUAUACCUGAAGGAGCUUCUCCACCCCCAUUGUUCUGCCCAGACACUGAGGUCCAGUGCCGAGGGCUUUCUGGUGGUUCCCUCACUGCAAGAAGCGAAGUUACAGGGAACCAGGCAGAGGGCCUUCUCGGUAGUGGCACCUGCCCUGUGGAACACCCUCCCACCAGAUGUCAAAGAGAAAUCAACUACCAGACUUUUAGAAGACAUCUGAAGGCAGCCCUGUAGUUUAAUAUUUUGUUGGAAGCUGCCCAGAGUGGCUGGGGAAACCCAGCCAGAUGAUUGGGGUAUAAAUAAUAAAUAAAUAAAUAAAUAAUUUAUUUAUUUAUUUAAUUUUGCACACACACCACCCAAACCUUAUUGGCCUCUCAACUGGGUUCUAAACGUUAAGGAGGGAAUCUGCUGGCAUGGAGGUGGAUGCAAUUGAUCAAUAUGUAUCUUUUGUUUGAUCUUUCUAUAUACAUUCCAUUUUGUCUUUCAAGGAGGGGUUCUAAUCUGGAAUCAGCAAACAGUUCCUGCAUUUCUUCCCCAUUCCCCUCCUAGCUUUUUUCCAACUUCCUGUACAGGCUUUUCUGUCUGGUGUGAUUAACCAUCUAGUACUGAGAUUAGGGUACAAUAUCUCUGUGACAUUAAUCACUGCAUGGCAUAUGCAAAUAGGCACAGCCAUGUGAAUUAUAUUUACAUUUCUCCUCAGGAAGAAGAACUGAAUCUAUUCAGGCAUCUACUCAGCCUUUAUUGGCCUGAAGCAGAAUCAAACCAGAACUGCAGUCACAGCUGUACCUGAACUGGAACCAAACUAAUAAUCUGUAAUGAUUUGAUUCCCUGCCCAGAGACCCUUGUACCAGAAGAUGCAUCCCUGUAGCAUCUUGCCAACCUGGUGCCCUCCAGGUAUUUUGGUUGUUUAAGAGUUGUAGUGCACGGCAGUUGGAAGGUGCCAGGUUAGCAAAGGCUGGUGUGACCAUUAACCAAGAGAGCUGCCACCUAUGACAAAAAGUUCAAGGCCAUUUCAUAAAAGGCCUACACAACAUUCACCAGACACUUGGAUAUUUCCUGUAGAAGACGUUUACUUUCUAACGGUGCGUUCCUAACCAUUUCCGUUCAGAAGUAAGUCCCACUGAGUUCGCUUGGUAACUGGGGUUGCAGCCUUAGUUGCCAUCCUUCCUGCCAGUGCAGUCAAGGUGGCCCUCCAUUGUUAAUAAUGGCUUCCAGUUGAAGAGUUGUGAUAGAUAUAAAGAAAAAGGAGUGGGCAUAGAAGGGAAGGGAAGAGGAGCGCAGACAAAUCCAAAUACCAACUGAUAUCUUACAUAAUCAAACAUGAAAGCCGAGCAGCUUAUGUUACAUUGGAGCUCGGCUGGCCAGUGGAGAAGAAAACAGAAAACAGAAAUAAAUGCUCAUGAGAUGUGCCUGAGCGUACGUUUCAGCCUUUCCUUCUGAUUAUGCCACAUGAGAAUUAAUUUAAGACGGAAUUAUACUCUUUUGAUCUUUGUGCUAAUUUGUUUGGUGCAUGAUCAACUGCUUCUAUAAGCAGGCGAGUGGGAACACAUGAGAAGGAUCAGAGGAUAGGAGGGUAACAGCAGCAGACUGUAAGGUCAGCUUUGGAACAUUUGCUGCUUCUGUUUGAACGGGCUCCUGCUGUGGCGUAUCCAGCCAACAGCUAGAGAGUCCCCUUCUAACAUUACGUGGAGGGAAAUAGGAACUAUCAUUUUUUAUCAAGUGCAUGAGACACCCAUAGCAUACUGCUAACCAGAAACCUAGCUAAACAUUUGGAAAACGUUAUUGUCCAAAUAACAAAGGUUACUGAAUUUUGGGGAAAGCAUAUUUGGAGAUAUUGAACAAAAUAUUGAAGGAGAUUCCAAAACUAUUUUGGCGCAAUUUCUCAAACAAGGAUCCAUAUGUCAAAAUAAGCACGUUUUCCUGCAGCAUGAGCUGCCUUCAGAUGAUCAGUCUGAAUGCACAAAGGGGCACACAGGAAUUUGUAGGGCAAGCCCCCUUUCCCUUAAUAAUACUGCAUAUACUGGACAUGGUCCCUGCCUGAUGUGUGCUUGGAGCGGCUGCCUUACUCAGGUUGGGUCUCCAAGACAGGAUGGGAACCCUGAUUGACUAGCGCUUCCAUCUGUGUUGGAAAUCCUAUGUGCAAAUGAGCCACUCGCCUUCUGACUCAUGCUGACCACUCAUUGGCCAGAGAGUGCACCUGUCAUUUAGGGACACUGAGGUACAGUGUUUUCGAGUUGGGUGGGGUUCCUUCUGCCCAUUUAUACUUGCCCCUUUGCACAUUCAAACUGAGCAUCUGAAGAGGACUAGAGCUAAAGGUUUAUUGUUUCAGACAACAUAUACCAGGCAUAGGCAAACUCGGCCCUCCAAAUGUUUUGAGACUACGACUCCCAUCAUUCCUAGCUAACAGGACCACUGGUCAAGGAUGAUGGGAAUUGUAGUCUCAAAACAUCUGGAGGGCCGAGUUUGCCUAUGCCUGACAUAUACCGUACUGGCCUGAAUAUAAGCCUCACUUUCCCCCCAAAUUCUGACUGUGAAAAGUUAAAGUGCGGCUUAUUUGCGACCUUAUGGUAUGCAGCCAGGAGCGCAGGGCAAACAGCACCAGGAGCGUGGUUAAGCGCUCCGGUUAAGCGCUCUGUGUGUAGUCCCUUGUCCUCUCCCCCAAGGCUGGGAAGGGAGAGAGCGAGGAAGGGGAAAGGCUGCCGGCAACACAGCGCGGCUCUCGCCCCCCGCCCAGGAUGCAGCCAGGAGCAACAAGAAAUGGAGUGGCUUAUAUUCGGGUAUUUCUCUCUCUCCCCCCCCCCUUCAAUUUUAAAGGUGCGGCUUAUAUUCAGGCCAAUACGGUACUACCCAAACAUUAACACAUACCCCCUGACGUUUCUCAGAUGAAAAUACAGUGGUACCUCGGGUUAAGUACUUUAUUCAUUCCAGAGGUCCGUUCUUAACCUGAAACUGUUCUUAACCUGAAGCACCACUUUAGCUAAUGGGGCCUCCCGCUGCCGCCGCACAAUUUCUGUUCUCAUCCUGAAGCAAAGUUCUUAACCUGAAGCACUAUUUCUGGGUUAGCGGAGGCGUAUGUAAUCUGAAGCGUAUGUAACCUGAGGUACCACUGUAGGGACCUUUCUCACCCUCACAACUGACCCUCCUCAACCCCACCCCCAUUUUUUGCUCCCCACCCCCAUAGAACAUUUCUUAGCAGAAGAAAGGCAAGUGUCGCAAUGGGACACAGCACACACACCCUCCACAAUCCUGAGAAAACCCCUUAAUCCUCAUUAUUUUAUUCUUUGGUAGAUUUAUAAAAAGAAAAACAUAUACCGAUAAAUUUUAGAAAGGGGCAAGAUUAGAUGUGUACGCAAAGCUUAAAAACAACAACAACCAAGACUCCUUGUGCUCCUUAGGCUCCCCAUUUCUUUCCGCCCUGGACUGCCUUGCCCUCUACCUGCCCUGGAGAGCCAGUGCUGGGCCUCAGUGGCAGCAACCUCUUCUCCUCUUCUCCCGUUCUCCAGCAGCCGCUACAGUGGAGAGACCAUGGAGAUAAAACGGGAUGCUCCCGCACAGCUACCGCCACUCAGGACAAGUGCUGGUUCACCCUCUUCCCUGAGCUCAGUGGUGGCAGUGCUGGCAGGGGAAACAGCGACAUGCCAGGAUCAAAUCAGAACCUGGGCUGGCUUUCAUAAUUCCAGGACUGUCCCUGGAAAAUUGGGACACUUGGCACGUAUGUUAACGUUUUUUUAGAAGUUCAAAAGGAUGAACUCUCAUCGAAGUCCUUAGUGUUUCAAUCAGUUUGUGUCUCAUUCAGAUGAAGUUGUAGCAGUUAAAUAGGAAGGCUUGCUGAUGUACGCAUGAGAUACACUUUCAAUUUAUGCUGAUUACUGGAACGUAUAGACCUAAACUGCAUGUUGCACACAGAUGUGCUUAAUAAAACCCUGCCAGCUGCUUCUUUUAGUCAAGGCAACCGAGAAAGGAGUUUUGUAGUAGUGAAGUGCUGAUGAUUUCAUGGAGGGUAAGGCUGUCGAUAGGGACACGGGUGGCGCUGUGGGUUAAACCACAGAGCCUAGGGCUUGCCGAUCAGAAGGUCGGCGGUUCGAAUUCCCAUGAUGGGGUGAGCUCCCAUUGUUCGGUCCCUGCUCCUGCCAACCUAGCAGUUUGAAAGCACGUCAAAGUGCAAGUAGAUAAAUAGGUACCGCUCCGGCGGGAAGGUAAACGCCGUUUCCGUGUGCUGCUCUGGUUUGCCAGAAGCGGCUUAGUCAUGGUGGCCACAUGACCCGGAAGCUGUACGCUAGCUCCCUCAGCCAAUAAAGCGAGAUGAGUGCCACAACCCCAGAGUCGGUCACGACUGGACCUAAUGGUCAGGGUUCCCUUUACCUUUAAGGCUGUCGAUGGUUUCCAGCCUAAGGUUACCAGACGUCCCCGUUUCCUGGUGACAGUCCCUGUAUUUACAAAUCAGUCCCCGUGAUAAAAUCCAUCUAUUUAGUAGGAAGUUGAAAAGUGUCCCCGGAUUCAUUGAAAAAAAUCUGGUAACCUUAUUCUAGCCAAUAUGGCCCAGCUCUGCCUCCUCAAUCAGAGGCAGCAGUGCUUUUGGAUACCAGUUACUCAAAACAGCAGGAGGUGAGAGGGCUCUUGCAUGUGGCUCCUGCUAGCAGAUUUCCCACAGGCAUCCAAUUGGCCAGUGUGAGAACAGCAUGCUGGACUACAUGGCCCAUUGGCCUGAUCCAGCAGGCUCUUAUGUUCUUACAAGGAUGGGCCUUCCUCUUCCCCCUGCCUUUCUGUUGCAAUGUCCUUUUACAGAGCUUCUCCCUGCACCCACUCCAUGCCGGGUGUUUCAGAUCUGUGCUCAUUGGAUGGAUUUUGUUCGUUUAGUUAGCAUUACGUUUAUAUUAGAAGCAAUUCAUUGCAAGCAGUGAACACCUUUCCCUCCUCAAGGAACUCCAGGUGGUAUACAGAUUGCUCUUCCUCCCCAUUUUAUCAUCACAACAACCCUGUGUAGUAGGUUAGGCUGAAACAGAGAGUGUCUGGGCUGUGGUCACCUACCGUGCUUUAUGGUUGAGUUGGGAUUAUGUUGAAUUAUACUCUGCAGAAGAGAGGGCCGGGGUCAAAUUGCAGUAGGGAUGUGACAAUUGGGAAAAGGUCAGUGCCCUGAUGAGGUUGGAAAUCGCCCCAACCCUGGUCAUCAGAUAGUUUGACCAGUAGGAAGGAGGUGAUAAGCCAGGCUUCCUCAACCUCGGCCCUCCAGAUGUUUUUGGCCUACAACUCCCAUGAUCCCUAGCUAGCAGGACCAGUGGUCAGGGAUGAUGGGAAUUCUAGCCUCAAAAUAUCUGGAGGGCCAAGGUUGAGGAAGCCUGUAUAAGCCCCCUCCUCCACUGGUCUACAUACUUUCAUACACACAUAUAUAUACCUCUAUAUAUAUACCUCUCCUCUCUCUCUCUCUCAAUCCAUUUCGGUUAAAAAGAACCCAGAUUAAGGAAGGAAGGAUGAUGUGAACUGAUUGUAAACACUGCAAAAUAAUGUGAUAAAUACUUGUGAGCACUAAAGGGUAGAUGGAAGGUUACUGCCUGAGAUUUAGCCUGCUGCUUUCUGAAUCUCCUGUUGCCUUAAGGUGUGGUUCCCUUAUCUCUGAACUCCACCAUGCCUUUAACAUCCAAUGGAUACAGAUUUUCAAGUCAGUAUUUUUCUCUUGUAUUAUUAACUCUUCAGUAGGAAGUGAGUUUGUCAUGUGUGACAGUUAUGGGGUGAUGAGAAGCAGAUUUUGGAGGUACCUAUUCCUUAGUAAUGUACUGGUCACCUUGGAACAGAUGGUUUCUCUCCUGCGGUUCUCCUCAGACGUGUAUUUGGCUGAUCUUUAUGAGUACCCAAAGGAUCAUCCCAACCUUUAAAUGUUUUUAUAUCCUCUCCCACCCUAACCCCCCUCCAUCAUAAUCCUAAAUGUAGCGCAACCUCCUGGCUUAUAAAACAAAAAGACCUCAUCAAGACAGGGGUGAGCAGAAGGUAGAUCAGAAUCUACUGGAAUGUCUCUGACUGAUUUGCAGCAGAUCACCUGAGAUUUCUGACUGACCAGUUGUUUAGCAAUUGCAAACACCUACUUCCCCCCUCUCCCACCACACCCCCCAACAUUAGGAUGCUGAAAUAAAGAAAGCCUUGGGAAUAACCAGGAAAAUGGCUAAGAAUGUUCACAGAUAAUUAUGCAAAGUGACCUUUUUUCUAGAGGGGUUAGGAAAAGAAAAAUAUCAACAAUUUUCUCUGAAACGUUCUGAGAAAUUUGGUCUCAGCUCUAAAUGGAAAUGUUUUCAGGCCUUUACAGUUCCCUAGUACCCCAAUACCCCUAAGAGAUUAGACCGUGUUAUUAUCAAAAUAUAGAACUGCACUCAUCUUAAUUAUAGCGUACAGAAGGAACCAUGGUGCAUAAUGCCAAGAGGGCAUAUUGUUUUUACAAUCAAGGUUGUUACAAAAGCAGCUAAAUUGGUCUCUCUCCCCCACCCUGCCUUCAAGCAGCGAUACAAGGUGUUUUUAGCCAGGGAAUCACACGAACCUGCAACUUUAUAUUUUCUUAAGCUUGAACGAAACAUGACCUAUUCCCCCCCCCGCCCCGUAUUUCUGUUAAUCCCAAACCAGAACAGAUCAAUAUAUAUGUAAAAAGAAACAAACAGCUUGGUUAAUCACUUAUCAGCCAGUUUAGGUUGCACAGUUCUAGUUGACUGGGAGGUCUUGUGCAACAAACCUGUUUUCCCCAUUGAAUAUCAGACCUUUCUGUGAUAUGGAAAGCGAUGGAAAAAAUGCCCUGGAAAGUGUGGGAUGGAACAUUGUCUAAUGUCAGGGCACGAGCCAAUAAUAAAUCACAUGGAGUAAGUGAAGUUAACUCUUUAUUUGAAGAAAUAAGGAAGACCUGCUCAGGGGUGCCAGGCCUAAUUAGUAUGGCAACUCUUCUCGUGGGUCUUGUCCCUAUGAGGCAGUUGCGGAGGCUGAAAGUCCCCGCCUUCCCACAGCAGCCUAAAUCUCCUACUCCCACAGGUCCUUCCCAAGCAAUCUGAUACUCCACCAACAUGCCUGUCUCUGCACCUCCCUCUUCAUACCUCUACAGGUCCUGGUAGCCUAGGGUGGAGGAAGGCUUGUUGCAGCAGAAAGAAGAGACUCUCUGGCUUCUUCAUCAGCCUGAUUCCUGCUUCGGAUUCUGAUUUAGGACUUCCCUCUGUCACAUAUUCUCGCAGCUCACUAAACCUUGUUACCUCUUCAGCUUCCAACACCUCCUCCUCCCAAGCUUCCCCCUCUUCUUCCUCUGACCACUUCCUCUGACCGUCCCACCACCAAUUCCCAGGCUCUGAACCAUCUUCCCUUGGGGGUUCCCUAGCUAGUGCCUCCCACUCUUCCUGUGUCCAGCCAGUCCAUGACAUCUAAUCUCUCCGUAAACACACCAGGAUGAAUGUUUAGUAGACAGGUAUUGUACAUGAGCUGGAGGUGGGGGUUGCACCAGGUAGUCGUGCAUGCCCAUUACAGAUUCUCCAACUGUCCCUAUUUUCCAGGGACAUCCCUAGUUUAGAGAAGCGGUCCCAGUUUCUGAUUGGAUCUUGGAAUGUCCCACUUUUCCUUAGGAUACCCCUAUUUUCAUUGGAGAAAUGUUGGAGGGUGUGGAAUUAUCUGGCUCCCGAGCCAUCUGAAGGCAAUCCUCUAUAGGGAAUUUUUAAAAAAAUGUUUAAUGUGAGAGCCAGUGUGGUAGGGUGGUGAAGAGCGGUGGACUCGUAAUCUGGUGAACUGGGUUCGAUUCCCCGCUCUUCCACAUGCAGCUGCUGGGUGACCUUGGGCUACUCACACUUCUCUGAAGUCUCUCAGCCCCACUCACCUCACAGAGUGUUUGUUGUGGGGGAGGAAGGGAAAGGAGAUUGUGAGCCGCUUUGAGACUCCUUAGGGUAGUGAUAAAGCGGGAUAUCAAAUCCAAACUCUUCUUCUUAUUAUUAUGUUUUUAUAUAUGUUGAAAGUUGCCUGGAGUGGCUUGGGAAACCCAGGAAGAUGUGUGGGGUAUAAAUGGUAAAAUUAUCAUGAUGGAAUGGGACGUCCCUAUGUUCAUCGGAGAUAUGUUGGAGGGUAUGCCAUCAGCUCCUCACCCUGGGAUCUGUGUGUAUAGCUGUUUGUGUGAAAGUUGCCCUCUCUGCAGGCCCUGUGCUGGAUACAGAGGUGCCUGGUGGAAUGGCUGCUCAACAUGACAGCAGAGCCCUGGGACUUCUUGGCACAGCCCUGCUCUCCUGUUGCUUUUACUCAUAAUGCCCAAGUACAUAAGAACAAGAAAGACCCUGCUGGAGCAGGCCUAAGACCCAUAUCAUUCAGCAUCCUGUUUUCACAUGUAUUGAGGUAGAACAUAUACAGGGAGAAUUUGUUACCCAUUCGGUUUGCCUAGGCUUCUUUACUGCGCCCUCUUCAAGCAUGGAAGAAACUUCCAAGCAGUUCAAAAGCUUCUCUUCUGACAAGUUUAAAAUAAAUCCCACCAUUGUGUCUGUGCAGCUAAAACUCCAUUUUCCAGCUGCAUCCCCUUUUUUACACCCAGAAUGUUGUCAAGUCUCUGGUACGACUGCGAACAAAUCAGGCUACUAAAAACCUCUUGUUGUGACAUCAUAUACAUAAAAAGGGUAUUCCCAUGAGUGCAAUGCUGUUUGUGAAUGAGGCCUGAGAAUUCAACUCUUCCCAUAGCUUUAACUCAAUUUUUAAUGGCGACUCGUAGCUAUCUAGAGAUAACGGCUUGGCUUUCAUAGAGAAGUUUUCACAGAUACAUUAAUCAGGCUUUGGAUUUUCCAGAAUCUACUAAAAUCUUUAUUGCUACUUAGUCACACAUUCACCCAGCCAACACUCGCCGCCAGUUGAAGCCAAACUUCACUCAUCAUUGUCUGUGAUUUAGCUAACAUCUUCUACAGCUAUGUACUAAAUGUAAGUUCAGCAGCACUUAGAUUUUGCGAUGCAUUACAUCUAAUUUCUCAAGUAAUUAAUUUGUUAGGUAGCUUAAUGAAACCCAGACGCUAUAACUGCGACAUGAUUUCAGACAUCAUUUAAAAAGGUGAAAGACUCAUGGGUAUCAUACCGGCCCAUGGCAGACAUACCACUGGCUCCCUGGGAAACAAUGGUUUGCAAACUGGGAGCCAGCCUUUUCUUAAUCUCUGGGGUGUUCUCCCUCCUUUCUGAGCAUUAAACGUGGUUUCACAUUACACUUGCACGCAAACAAGCCAUGGUUAGCACAAACCAAGUGCGCUGUGACCAUGGUUUGCAAACACUUUGAAGACUGUGAUUACCAUCUGUGGUUUUUGAGGGGAUUAUUGUUUGUCGGUUAUGAUUUGAAUCAGUACACAUAAGAUGCAAACCAUGGUUAAUCUGAGAAAAGGAAAGAAGGGGAAUUACUUCCUGUGUCUGAGUGGGCUAAGAAGAGAGUACCCAACCUCUUUGGGAGAAAAGAUAUCUCAUGUGGCAGUUGCUGCCAGAGCAAGUGAAGUAUUUUUGCCUAUUCUUAUUGAAACAAAGUCUGCUAUUGAGGAAGUUAGGUGCUGGGUUGCUGCACAGCAAUAGAAGCAGAUUUCUCCUUAAAACUAUGGGUCAGUGAAAGGGGUAAAGCAAGUGUUUGAAGGGUUUUCCUUGUGUCACUUUAUGUAUGUGUUGAUUGGCCUCUGGGGAAGUGAAAUGUGUUGAUUGGCCACUGGGGAAAGGAAAUCCAAUCUCUUAAUCUGUAAUUCUGACAACAAAAGUGGAACAGGAAUACAUACACUGGAUAAUAUAUUAAUUGGCCCCCCUUUCUUAGACCUACAUGCCUAGGGCUGGCAGCUACAAGUCUACUGUACUAUAAAAUGGCACUGGGUUGGCUCUCCUGUUAUACAUUUUUAUGAAGUGGGGCUCCACUGUUCUCCAGAUGUAUGGCCAAACUAGUUAUGUAUCACAGUCAUGAGUUUGUUACACACAGGCUGUAUACACACUGUACAUUUAAAGCACAUUUGAAUUCCCCCCCCAAAAAAGAAUUAUGGAUAUUAUAGUUUCUUAAGGGUUGUGUAAUGAGUAUGGGUUGCUCGUGCGUAAGUUGCCACCUCUCCUGGCUAUGUUGCCUUGUUUAAACCUUUCUGUCUGGACAGCCCUUCACUUUGUGGCUGCCUCAGUCGCUAGCAGAAUCCGUCAGUGGGCGUUUCUUAAACCUUUUCCAACAUAAAAGUUGUUUGACGCCAAGUCUCCUCCUACUCUCCCUGCGCGGAAGCCUUCUGCACAGGGAGGGCGUGGGUAGCGGAGGACCCGUGCUCUCCCCGCUGGUGUCCGGUGAAGAGUCCUGGAGCCCUCUCGCCGAUUCCCCCAUCUGCCCCCCUUUAUCCCUGGUGUUGCACUUUUUUGCUUCCCCAUCUGCUGAGCUGCCUCUCUCCCUGCUGGGCCCUUCUCCAGCAUCAUUUGAGAGCCUCCCCUCCGCCUCUAGCUCCGAUGUCAGUUCCCUGACAGGUUGCUAGGAACUGUAAUUUUGUGAGGGGAAAACUACAGUAUCCAGAAUUCUUUGAGGAGAAGAAUGUGCUUUAAUGAAAAGUUGUACACACAGCCUCAUAGUUGCUCCAAUCACAUAUAACGUAGAGGAACGGAGGUCUACCUUUUACACAAAAUAUGAGCUCAGAGGAGAGGGGCUUGAAAUUGUCCCCCUUUCCCUGUGUUACCUUGUGCUUUAGUAGCUCUGAAGCACUUAGCCCUCAAAAGUGAACCAAGCAUGGGGGGGAAAUCACUUAUUUUAAAAAAUCAUUUAUUAUUAUAUUUAUGUCUCAUUUCCACUGUCACUGGAGCUCUAGAUGGUGUACAUCAUUGUUCCUAUCCCUAUCUAAUCCUCACAAUAACCCUGUGAGAUAGGUUAGGCUGAGAGACCAUGACUGGCCCAAGGUGAGCUUCCUGAGCAGGAAUUUGAACCCUGGUCUCCCAGGUCCUAGACCUUCAAUCUAACCACUUCACUGCAAUGCAGUGUUGUGUAGUGCUAGGUAGGGUGGGGUGGGUUGUGAACAAUUUUCCUUCUCCUCUGUAACAAAACUCUAUUUAGUAUAGCCCAGAGUUAUGUUUCUGGGUCCACCAGCUUUACAGUGGUACCUCGGGUUACAUAUGCUUCAGGUUACAUACACUUCAGGUUACAGACUCCGCUAACCCAGAAAUAGUACCUCAGGUUAAGAACUUUGCUUCAGGAUGAGAACAGAAAUCGUGUGGCGGUGUCGUGGCAGCAGCGGAAGGCCCCAGUAGCUAAAGUGGUGCUUCAGGUUAAGAACAGUUUCAGGUUAAGAACGGACCUCCGGAACGAAUUAAGUACUUAAGCCAAGGUACCACUGUAUAGGUGUUUGUGAACAAGACAAACUGCAUGUUCAACAUACCUCUGUGAUUGCCCUGUAAGGUAAAGGGUAAAGGGGACCCCUGACCAUUAGGUCCAGUCGUGACCGACUCUGGAGUUCAUCUCGCUUUAUUGGCUGAGGGAGCCGGCAUACAGCUUCCAGGUCAUGUGGCCAGCAUGACUAAGCCACUCCUGGCGAACCAGAGCAGCGCAAAGAAAUGCCGUUUACCUUCCCGCCGGAGCGGUACCUAUUUAUCUACUUGCACUUUGACGUGCUUUCGAACUGCUAGGUUGGCAGGAGCAGGGACCGAGCAACGGGAGCUCACCCUGUCGCGGGGAUUUGAACCGCCGACCUUCUGAUCGGCAAGUCCUAGGCUCUGCGGUUUAACCCACAGCGCCACCUGUGUCCCUGUAGUUUGAUCCAAAGAAAGCCUGUGGUGGGGAAAACAGAACUCUUGCCAGACCAGCAGUUUGAAACUCACUUGGUAACUUAAUAGGAGGAGGUGUUUUGAUCAUUAGCUGCUACUGCUGUGCAACGUAGCCAGAUAGGGCUUCCAUUAAUUACAUGUGAAGUCAUCUCUGGCAAACUUCCAGCAGGGGAUGGGGGCUUGCUCAAAACUAGUAAUGAAAGAGCCAGAUUCUUAUGGGAUAGCAAAAAUAGGCUGAUGGUUUUGCAGCAUCACUAGCAUAAAAGAAACUGAUCCUUUUGAGACAUGCAAGAAACAUGGAUUUUGUUAACAGAUAAAGGGAUUUGUCAAACAGACAGAAGUGUACCUACCUAUUGGCUCCUUUCGUUUCUGUUCAAUUGUUAGGUGGAUUUUCACUAUCCAUCAAGUGCUUUUCUUCUUACUAACCUUGAUUAUUUUUAGUCCAACUACAUCACAUGCAGUUUAUUUCUGAUUUAAAGCCUGUCCAUUCCAACUCUGGGUCAAUGGUUUCUCGACUGUCUUUGGUUAACAAUGGAAUUCCAGCUAGCCAGCCAAAAUGAAAGCAAUGACUUCAGGGACUGGCUCCACUUUCAAAGUGAAGCGCUGAGAUAGGAAUGCAUGUCAGAGAUAAGGAACUAAAUGGAAACAAUUAACAUUGGCGUGAAAACGGAUGUAUGGAAGCAAUUACCAAAUGAAUUGCAAAGAGAUCUGUAGGACUCCAGACAGACAGGACUGCGUGUGCUCCUUGUGUCUGUAAAAUUUGCCUUGCAAGCAAGGAAUCCAGCAUCUGAGGUCCUGAGAAUCUGUUUUUAUAUUGUCAGAGACAUGUGCUUUGCAAAAAUGUGUAUAUCAGGGGAAAUUCCAUGCAAAAAAGGGUAUACCAGGAAGAAUUUUGCACUGUAAUGCUGAAGAAUUUUCAUAUGAGAAGCUGAUGUGGAAAUGUGAAGAGCUGAACUGAAGGUUGGAAAAAUGAAAAACCAAGAGAAGCUAACACUGUCCUAUUUGCACACCCUUACCUGCAGGUUUAAAAAAAGGCUAGUUCCACAGGAUACAUUUGUUAGCUCCAUUUAGCUUGGAUAGUCUGUAGAACAAACAUUGCUAGCAGUUGGAACAGAGGACAUUAAGAGUGCAUUUACUUACUUUUUCUUUAUAAGAAAAGUGAAAAAUCAAUAUGCCAUUCCUGGCAUUUUAAACUCUUUCUAAGUGACCUUUUAGUGACCUCACCUGCUUUUCCUUUCUUCCCAGAAGGCACCACUUCUCAAAAACAUCUGCUUAGACCCCAAGGCUAUUUUCUUCUACUCUCCAACUAGAAAGAAGGGCGGAAAAAGCAAACAGAGGAAGCAAUUUUAAUAUAGAUGCAAUAUGUUACUAAGGACUGCAUCAGAAUUUUCUCCUUCUGGAGGAGUGAGUCAGGAACAGCCUUGGAAAAGCCUGCCAAUAGGCACACUUAAACAAGUAAUGUUUUAGGUCUUAAUACAUUAGAAUAAACAAGGGAAGAUGUUCAAUAACACGAAGGGAACGCUUGUGCGGCUCUGAAUAAGGCUGCCACCAACAUUGACAAGGAUUUUAUUUGUAUUUGUCCAUUUAUUAAAAAGAAAAUUAGUAGAUGGCCUAUCUAUAAAAAUAUCCAAGUGGUGAACAAAAUGUAGAAAUACAAAACAGUUACAUUAAAACCAUCAUAGGUAAAGGUAAAGGUAAAGGGCCCCUGACCAUUAGGUCCAGUCAUGCCCGACUCAGGGGUUGCGGCGCUCAUCUCGCUUUAUUGGCCAAGGGAGCCGGCGUGCAGCUUUUGGGUCAUGUGGCUAGUAUGACUAAGCUGCUUCUGGUGAGCCAGAGCAGCACACGGAAACGCCGUUUACCUUCCCGCCGGAGCGGUACCUAUUUAUCUACUUGCACUUUGACAUGCUUUCGAACUCCUAGGUUGGCAGGAGCAGGGCGCUCACCCCAUUGCGGGAAUUCAAACCGCCAACAUUCUGAUCGGCAAGUCCUAGGCUCUGUGGUUUAACCCACAGCACCACCCGCGUCCAUCAUAAAACAGCACUAAACUACAAGUAAGAUUGCAUCCUAUAACAGGGAGUGGUGGAGCUACCCUCCUAAAACUGGCGCUGCUGCUUUGCACCUGGGACAGUGUAGCAGAGGGGCAGAAUGGCAGCAAGGUCAGGGCUGUGUGGGUGUGCUGGCAGAACCAAUCCAACCCUCCCACCAGUGCUCUAAUGGAGCCCCAACCUUACUGUCAAUCUGCCCUGUCCAGUUAUAUAGCAGUGAUGCUGGGGUUGGGAGGAUAGCUGCACAGUACUGCCACACUGCAUCAGUCACUCCUGUGUUUAACAGUGUGAGCCACAGGCAAAACUAAUAACAGUUCAGUUGACAAAAGUCUAAUGAAAUAGAAAAGUCUUCAGUAGGUUUCUAAAAGAGAAAAUAGAAGGCAGUUGUCUUGUCCCUGCAUCCAAGUUCCACUAAGCUGCUGCAAUCACAUUGAAGACCUUAUCAUAGGGAGUGGCAAAUAUGGCAGUUAAAAUUUCUUUCAGUUUUUCAUUUGUCCAGUCCUUAAGUCUCCACAUUUCUUCAUAGGUUUGUCAUUGUCAUCAUCAUCAUCAUUUUAUAAAACAUGCUCAUAAAAAUCAUCAGCAUUUUAGUGCAAUUUUUUCCUGAUAGUUUUUGUGUGUGUAAAAUUGUGCCUGAAAGACACAUUUUUGCAAGCAAUAUCCUCAUAAUGCAUUUAAUACUGUAUUUUCAUUAAUACAUUUAUUUUAUGCACGUUCUUGCUUAAUAAAUACAUUUUUGUUCACAUUUAUUUAGUUGGAGACCUGCAUUACAAAAUUUGGAGAACUGCAAAAUUUGAAAAGUAGAUGGGUUGUAAUUCACAUAUUUUGUUGGAAAAUGCGAAUUACGUAGAGGGAAAAGGAAAUGCAAGGGCCCCUAUUUUUCACCUGAAAUUGAAAUUUCAUGCUUCCCCCACUCUCCCUGAGAAAAGUGCAAGCUGUAAGUGGAUUUGGAAUAUGUUUAGGCACAUAGGUCCAGUUGUGGGCGAGGUAGACUUGGUCCAGUCAAAUCCCUCUGCAGCCACUUAACUAACUAGGUGACCCUGAGCCAGUUAAUGUCAACCUAUCCUAGUUUAGUUUUUGUAUUAUGGUCAAAGGAAAAAUAUGUUUAAAGGAAAAUGCCAUCCAUCUAUUCUCACAUUUGGAUGUUGCCCUUCUUCCUCAGAGCUGUUGGUGGCAAGGGAAAAAAAAUAGGUAUAAAGGAGAAUUCCCUGGAUGCCAAGAUCCAGGUUUGGAGCAAAUACUCUUUGGUGAGAGAACCCCAGCAGAGAUUUAAAAUCAUAAAAUAUGCAGCAAAGUAGAGCGUGGAAAUACAUACUGUUAGAUCUUUAAAUUAUGCUUCCCUUAGCAUAGAAAAAGAACACCUGUUUGGUAAGUUAAAAAUGGUUUUCUUCAUGUGCUUCUCCAUACAGCAUUCAGAAAAGACAAGCAGUAAGACUUAGAUUCCAAGUAGUGAGAGUUUCUAAAUUAUUUGCAUAGAAACACAAAAAUGGCUUGCUUAAGCCAUGUGGUCUAAGCUUGGAACAUCCAGCUUUGACCUCCUUCCUGGAAGGGUUCUCAUGGUGCAAAAAGGCUUCAUAACCCUUCCUCCUAAGGUGAAGGGGAGUGACUUAGCUAAGCCUGGCUGAACAGCUAACUCUAUGGUCUUAACCCCUUCAUACAUUAAUUAGAGAUAAGCAUGUUGGCUAUAUGAGGCUGAUUAUCCCAUACCCACCUCAGAGUUUUUACACUGAUAAAAUGAGGUAAUAAUUUUGGUGUUCUUUUAGCUAAUUGGAAGAAGGAAAAUAUAGACGUGUGUACCCACACACCCACACACACCCACCCACACCCACACACAUCUCUGUGUCAGACAGAGAGAGCAUACCAGAAUGAACUAUUGAAGCCUGAAUCCUGCGAUAGUCCUACUUUAGAAUAUGUGGUUUGAGGGCAGAAACCUAAACGUUUUAGCAGGAUUCAAAUAGGAUGAGAUAUUUCUGUGGAUAAUUAAGACAUUUAUGAUUAUAGCAGUGUGGUUAAAACCACACAUUUUUCAUCGCCUAAACCUUCCUGUAAGGGAUUCUAGAAAUUUCCCUUUCUGUAGGUGAGUCCACAAAUGUCUUCUAGGGGGAAACUGAAUUUCCCUGAAGUUUUUGAUAUUGGCUGUUCUCCAAGACAUUGACUAAUGACUUGAGCUGGGCUGGCUGCUAUUGAUGUCUCAGUAGGCAGCUACAAUAUGAGAUAGCCAUCCUUUGAUGUUGUUUUGCUGCCAUACCUAUAAGUCAUUUCUAACGGAAAUGUUUACAAGGUCCAAAUUAAGUAAUAUUUGCUUUCCCCAGUAGGGAGGUAAUUGACUUACUGAUUUCUUAGUGAAAUAAGCAUGCAUUUUUUGUGUGGUUUCCAUAUCAUGUUGUAGGAAGUGUGGAUCCAAUAGUCCAUGAAAAACAGUCACCUUCUUGGUGUCCUUUCUCUCUUUUACAUCAGACUCAAACAGCUGCUACAUUUCCAGAUGUUCUUAUCACUACAGAAUAGGGAUCUUUAAUUAUUCUGAUGGUACAAAAUACACUUACUCUGAUUGUAUGAGCAUUUCAUUAUUGCCAAGCAAGUAAAAAAGGGACAAGCGAUGCCUCAGAAUAAGGAGUCUUUCAUUAGAGAGUAAAAUAGAAGAAUGAAAUAUAUGCUGGAGUGCAAGCAAAACAUUUAAGCGCAUGGGGAAAAUGUUUGUCUUUUGGGAUUGCUUUUCUAAAGUGAACCUGGCAUCUUGAAGCAGAUUCUAAACUGAGACUUUUGAGAAACUGGGCAAGAUGGUUUCAAGUGAGUUCUUUUCUUUUUCAAACUUCAGUGUGAUUGGAGCUAUCCUAUUUAUUGUGUGCUGCUAGCUAUCCUUCUCACUUUAUAAGUCUUAGCAAUUGUCACUAUAUCCAUGAUAAGCUAAGGGCCUGUCAGCAUGAUGGGCGAUGAGUGUCAUCAAACUUUCCUGUUGAAGGUCCAGACUCCCUCCUCCUUUUUGGAGCAGAGCUACACAUUACCAGCAACUUUCUUUUAUAGCAGAAAACCACCACAGCUGACUUCUGAUUGAGUGGUGUAUAUAAGGAUAUAAGACACUGAAUCUUCUCCCUCAUAGUUUGCGGAGAUCAAGAGGGGGACAUGUUGAGAAGCGCACUGAUCCUUGGCUUAGCCUGAAGGCAUCUGAAGCUGCUUUAUUCUAAGAAGGAAAGUCCACAGGAAAAUAACCAUGGAACUACAGGUAAUACGUAGUUCUGGGUUUGCUUUUCCCACCUCUGCUUCAUCUGCUUAUCCAGUCUUUCUAGAUCUAGAUGACUUGCUCUGAUGUUCCAGCUGUCUGGACAUGACCUGAUCUGGAUAUGAGGAGGCCUCAGCAAAGUGCCCACUGGUGUGUCCCGUCCUAUGUCCAGGAACCCCAUUUCCACAUUUCUAGGUGGGUGGAGCUUUCCACUGUCAACCACUUGAUAUCAUUAUGGCAUCAGAUGAUGACACUGAAGGUGCUCACUGUCUGUGCCAGUCAAUUGAUUGACGUAAACACUGAGCCCAGCAAUGUCCGUUUGCAGGAGUGGCUUGUAUCUAAACUGUCCCUACAAAUGGGCAUUUGUCCUCUGCAGCCCCUUCUCCCUGACACUAGUUUUCUUUGUGAAGAACAUUUCUGUUGUGUGAGCUGCCACCUUCAAGCUGAAAUGGUAGAGCCUAGGCACAGAAUUUUCACCUCAGUAAAAUGCUGUACUCAGGGAACAGGAGAUGAAAAGUGAGCUGGUGAGAAAGGGAUGGACUAGCUUAGGGGAGUAGAGCCAGGGGCCAAGCCUCCUCUGAUCAGCACACAGCUUUUUGCAAUCAUCUUUAUUACAGACCAGAGGUCAGAUAUGAAUACUGUUCCUUUCUUAUAAUACUAAACAGUUUGCCUGGGUUUCCCCUCACAAUUUUCAUCAUAAUAGGCAGAAUUUCUAAGCAAAGAGAGACCACAAUUUUCUAUAAUUUUGUUCCCGGCCUAUCAUUAUGAGGCUAGUUGGUAUUCACAGAUAUUAUUAUGAAUUUAGUAACAAUUUAAUGCAAAUUUAAUAGCAUCUUCUCACAAUGGGCCCUUUGCCAUCAUACACUUAAAGGCAAUCAAAGUCAGAGCAGCAGCUAGACUGAUAACUUGAGGUUCAUUGAUUGUGUAUGUGUGUGUGUGCACAACUAGCAGCAUACUUUCUGAGUAUCCACUGAGAUUCAAGCCAGAAACCCAGCAUAGCUCAGAGGAGUUACGGUUAUACCUCUUCUCUAAACAGCCAUUUUGUUAUGUGCACAGUAGCGUCAGUAUGUAUAGCAACAAAUCCUAAGUUCACUGGUAUUUCUCAGCACUUUUUUCUAAAUAAGCUACAAGAGCUAUUACUAUUUUUUAAAGUAUAAAAUGAAUGUGAUUUUGUUUGCCAGAAAAAAAUGCUAUUUCUUGAAUGCUAGACUGAAGAUGUGACAGGCAAAACUGGAAAGAGAAAUUCUACUACUACUACUACUACUACAGUGGUACCUUGGGUUAAGAAUUUAAUUUGUUCUGGAGGUCCGUUCUUAACCUGAAACUGUUCUUAAGCUGAGGUACCACUUUAGCUAAUGGGGCCUCCCGCCGCCACAUGAUUUCUGUUCUCAUCCUGAAGCAAAGUUCUUAACCCGAGGUACUAUUUCUGGGUUAGAGGAGUUUGUAACCUGAAGCGUCUGUAACCCAAGGUACCACUGUACUAAUGUUUCUAUCCCACCUUUCCUCCAAGGAGCCCAAUGUGGCAUACGUGGUUCUCCCCCUUUCCAUUUUACACUCACCAGAACUCUGUGUGGUAGGUUAGGUUGAGAGAUUGUGACUGGACUAAGGUCACCCAGUGCAGUGUAAACCCUUAACAGUCAGAGGCAGCAAUGCUUCUGAACAUCAGUUUCUGGAACCCACAUACUCUUAUGCUCAGGUCUUGAUUGGGAGUUUCCCACAGGCAUCUGGGAGGGCACUGUGAGAAUAGGAUGCUGGACUACAUGGGCCAUGGGCCUGAUCCAGCAGGCUCUUCUAAUGUUCAGAAAGCCCCCUUUGCUCAGCGUUGCUGUGAACAGACUUGCCACACAAUGGAUCAUGGCACACAAUGGAUCACUGCUGCAAGGGGUGCAGCGAGAUGUCAAAAGACUAACUAGUUUCAUCAUGGUGUAUAUAAAUAACUACCAUUUUGGGGGGAUGAUAACUAAUAUAGCAAAGUGCAUAAUGGAAUGCAGCGGGUAAUGGGAGGGGAAAUUAGAACCUGUUGUUUUCUGUUGUUGUGUCUGAACACACAAUGCGGGGACAUUUGUUGAUGCUGUUUUGCAUCUGAUCUACCAGGACAGUGGUUGCAGCGGGAACCAAAGUCAGUGUCUGCAAUGCUUAAUAUUGGAGUGGGGGCUCAACUGCUAUGGAGGAAAACAGCUUCGUAAGGCAUUGUGCGAAAUCCGUGCAGUAUUGCACUAGGAAGAGGCGUAAUGCUGCAAUAAACCAAAAGACCUUGAGAGGCAGGAGCCAAAUUAACUUAAAAAACCAAACAAAACAUCAGCACAUCCCCCACCUCGCUCCAGCACUUCUCCUGUUAUCUCUUCCAUGGGAUAUUGAUAUUGGCAGCC